This 104557-nucleotide long non-coding RNA is filed under the name Micromonas pusilla. RNAcentral's name for it is "long non-coding RNA (MPUS_LNC000148)". The stretch from base 85301 to 85374 matches the Rfam family "tRNA". Lineage: Eukaryota; Viridiplantae; Chlorophyta; Mamiellophyceae; Mamiellales; Mamiellaceae. The record is from RNAcentral.
AUCGCGAGCGCGCUGAAGUCGACGUCGUGGCUGACGCGCAGAGCGGAGGUGAGGGAGAUGUACGGUCCGCACGCGCCCGAGCCUCCGGCGGCGUGGUGGAACGAGACGUGCGAUCGCGCGCUGCUCCUCGGGACGCUGAAGCACGGGUACGGAAAAUUCGAUUUGAUUCGCGCGGACGAGACGCUCGGCCUGGGCGCGAUCUGCGACGCCGCGAUCGCGGCCGCGGAGGGACCGUCGACGCCGGAGAGCGAACCGAUGGAGGAGGACGUCUCCCCCGGAGGGACGCGUCGGUCGAAGCGGAAGCGCGCGCCGAUCGACGCGGACGCGAAGGAGAACGCGAAGGAUGGAAACCAAAUCCCGACCGACGACGACGGCGACGACGCAGGGAAACUGGUCGAAGACGCGCCGACGACGGUCGCGGAGUGGCCGCUCUCGCGCGUCCUGAGCCUGCGCGUGCGGCGCAUGUGCUCAGCCCUCGGCGGAAAACAAGUCGCGGUGCCUCCCGCGCCGAAGCUUCCGAAGCCCCCGCGCGCGCCCAAGACGGGCGGCGGCGGGGGCGCGCGCGGCGGCGGUCCGCGCGCCAACGCGGGCGGCUCGGUCGAUAAGAUCGCGCGCGCGAAGGCACAGGUCGACGCGCUUCCGCGCUCUCGCGACGGCGUCGUGAUCAUGCCCGUCGGCCCCAUUCACGGCGUCACCGUGGAAUCACUCGGGGAAGUCCAGCCCCCUGAUUCCGCGGGGUUCCACUCCGCGGCGUACAUCCUCCCGGUCGGGUACAAGACGUCGCGGUCGUACAUGCGGUGCGACGACCCGAACGGCGAGCGGACGCGGUGGACGCAGGAGAUCGUCCACGGCGUCGACGGCGCGGACGGUCCUUGGUUCAAGCUGACCGCGGACGAGGGCAUGGACGAGCCGAUCCUCGCGAAGAGCGCGACCGCGGCGUGGGCCGAGGUCUUAAAGCGCGUCACUGCGGCGAGGGAGGCGCUGGGGGAGACGGCGAAGAAGACGGCGAUCAGCGGGCCGGAAUUUUUUGGGUACUCGCUCCCGCACGUCCGGCUGCUCAUCGAGGAGCUUCCCGGGGCGAGCGAGUGCGCGGAGUACAUGCCGCUGCUCGAACGCGCGGCGACGGUGGAGGCGGCGGGGGAUGGCGCGGCCGCGGCGGUCGUGGACGAACCCGCGGCGUGACGCAACGAACGAAUAAAAUGUUUUGAAUAAUGAAUGUUCUUUCGACCUCAUCAGGCUACGAGUUUGACCGAUUAAUACGUAUCCCCUCCCCCCCUACGCGAACCUAGGCGAUCGCGAAGUUCGGUUCUUCCAGCGCGAGCUGCCACCACUCGUGAGCGUACUCCUCGAUCCCCGCGCCAUCGCGAUCGGUCUGCAUGCUGUCGUCGUCGCUGAGCCGGUCGUCGUCGCGCGAGUCGAAGUCGCUCGCGUCCGAGAACGCGCGCGCGGCGACCUGCUCCGACUUGGCGUUCUUCGCCGCUAUCUUCUUGUUCACGAGCACCUCCGCGUGUCGUUUCUUGUAGAUCGUCUGUCUGAUCUUUAAGAUGUGAUCCGGCCACGCUUUCUUGCCGUUGUAGAAGCUGUUCAGGAGGCUCAGGUCGGACUCGAGGAGCGCGGCGUAGGUUUUGAUCUCUUCCAUCAUGGCGCGCGCGCGCUCUUCCAUGUCGACGUCGUUCCCGUCCAGCGCGCGCUUCAAGUGGACGGUGAGGUCGUAGUACAGGUUCUUGAGCGACAUGAGCUUGCGGUACGGCCAUCGCGCGAUCCCGAGGGUGCGGCAUCUGUUCGACGCGGGGUGAGCGGCGCGGCGUCGUGAGUCAGCGGGUCAGAAGACGAGUGACGCGAAAAAGACUGUGUUUUUUUCAUCCAGAAUCAUGCACACGUGUCUCAAGCUGACGCGUUUUUGCGCGGUCGGUCUUCAACAAACACGUCGAAAGCGGUAAAGGGGUUUUGAAGGAAAAAAACCCGUUCGGGACGCGCACCUGGCCUUGAAGCGCGUCGUUCCCAUGUUGAACGCGCGCGCGGCUUCGGCCUCGGUCAGCAGCGCGACGGACGCGAGGCUCGUUUUCGUCAUCGUCUGCGAAAAAAACGCGGUCGCGGGGCGCGAUAUCGGUCAGGUUCGGACGCGCGGAGGGCGAAAAAAAGAAUGCGCGGAAUAGGAAUGAGGUAAAGCAUCCGCAAAAGCGGCGCGCGAGGGGCGAGCGACCGUCGCGCGCGCGCACCUUGCGGCCGUGUUCGGACCGAUCGCACGUCUCGAGGUCGACCUCGCGGUCGCGCUUGAGCGCGCCGCCGCGGUCGCGCGCGCGUUCGUCGGCGUUCGUCGACCUGUCGUCUUCGUGGCCGCGGUAGCGGUCGGUAGAGGCCUCUUCCGAUCCAGAUGAUGUCGUCCGCGAGAUGAGAGAGCCGCUGACGUCGGACAUCGUUCAGUUCUCGAGGGUUCGGCGGCGGGAGGGGCGGGGGCGGGGGAGGUUUCUUCGUGCCGAGGGGUUCGGCGUGCGCGCGCGCGUGCGUGCGUGCGUGCGGGCGUGCGCGCGGGUGUACCAGGGGCGCACCAAACUCGGUAUUCCACUUUAGGCCGUAGGAUUUUUCAGGAAAUUUAUUGGCGGCGCGUCUGAAGUCGCGCGUCAGCCAAUCACGAGCCGCGGUCGGCAUCCACGCUGUCUAUUACGUGUCCCAGAUACGCGGUUUACAGGAUAUUUGUGGUGGAUAUUUGAUACUUUUACAGGAUGUAAAGCACAUGCCGCCGGCGCGGGGAGCGCCCGCCUGCUGACGAUGACGCGUGCGUCCCAGCGCGCCGCCUCCAUCCCGCGCGCGUUCGUCGCGAUUCCCUCGCUCGCCGCGUCUUCGUCCGCCGCCGACGGCGGCGUCUCCGCGCGCUUCGCGUCGUCAUCGCGCGCGUCGCCCAGAUCCACGAAAUCAUUACUAACCAAUUCUCGCGUCCGUCCCCCCGCGCAGCGACGAUAUCGUCGACGACGAGCGCAUCGCGCGGCGACACCCUCGGAAGCGCGUGCGCGCGAGGCGCGGACGAGCGCGAGCGUCAUCGCGCGAUGCCCGCGACGCGCGCUCGCGACGGGCGUCCCGAUCAGCCGCCCGCGACGACGUUCCUCGCCGACGCGAAACCGGGAAAAAAAGAUCGAGUUCGGUUCGCCGAGCUCGUUCGCCUCGAAUCCGCGACGAUCCGCGGCGGCGCGCGCGACGACGGGUGCGUGACGUCCCCGCGGCGCUUCGACGAGCGUCGCGAUCGCGACCCGGCGAAGGAUUCCCCUCGCGUCGUCGCGGCCGCGGCCGGCGACGACGACGCCGCCGACGCCGUCGCGACCGUGGCGGCGGCGGCGACUGAAGGCGCGGAACCCAAAGACGCCGCCGGGGGAAAGAAACCCGUCGGCGUCUUCUCCGCGUGUAAGAAGUUCGUCACGAAGACCGCGUCGUACGCUGGGGAGAAGGACCGCGACGCGCCGCGAGCGAGCAGCAUCGCGGUCCCGGCGACGCCGUCCGCGAAGAAGGCGACGACGUCGCGACGCGCGGCGGCGCGUCUCCUCGCGUGCGCGUCGGAGACGCUACCCGGCGGUCCGAGCCGCGGCGCGCGCGCGGGGUCGCCGCCGCCCCCCGCGCGGCGACGCCCGCGCCGCGCGUCGGAGAGCGUCGGCGGUGCCGUCUCCGGGGGUCCGUCGCGGGCGUCCACGCGUCCGACCCUCCGCCCCGCCGCGGCGGCGGUAGUCGACGUCGCCGCGGAGGAGGAGGAGGAGGUGGAGGAGGAGGAGGAGGAGGAGGAGGAGGAGGGCGACGGGUCAGGUUUCGGACCCGAAGCCCCUCCGUGGGUCGAGCGCGACGGCGCAGACGCCGUGAACUUGUACGUCUCCGGCGCGACGAGCAUCAGCGCGGCUUUGCUCGCGAUCGACGAGACGCACCGAACGCCGGCGCGGACGCGAGAGUCGAAAACCGGCCGCCGCGCCGCGCCGCUAAGCAAGCAGUCGUCCUCGGAAGCGCUCGCGCCGCGCGACGAUACUUCGGCACGGAAGAGCCCGCCGUCGCUGCUGACGCCGAGGAACCCUGGCGACCACCCCGCCGGUGACGUGAAAUCGUCGAUGCCGACGUGGACAUCCGACGCGGCGGCGCCGGCGCGCCGCGUCGACGACGGCGCCGGCGGCGCGCGCGCCGAGCGCGCGACGCCGCCGCUCCCGCCCCCGGCUCCGGCCGAGGACGACCUCGAUAUCGGCGUCGCCGCGGGCGGGAUGCACGACGACCGCGACUUCCUGCGCAUCCUGAUGGAAAACGAAAUCAUCGAAAACGAGAGCGAGGACAGCGGGUCGGACUUGAGGGACACCGCGCCGCCGUUCGAUACCCUGGAAGACGUCGUCGCGGACGUCGACGUCGGCGGGUAUUUCGCGACGCGCGACGUCGUCUUCGACCCGCCGGGGUACGACUUCGCGAUGAUGCACCUGCUCGAGACUGCGGCGAUGAGCUGACGCACCGUGCCGCGCGCGAGGCGACGCGAGUGCAUGUAUACGUGUAGAUGAUCGUGUUGGUCAACGGGCGAGCGCCCCCGCUUGCAGCCUGCUUUUUUUUUAUUUUCACCUUUCUCAUGAAAAGUUUUUACUCGUACAGUGUUCGAUGUUCAUACAAACAAACGCGCCUCGUCUCCCUCCGCGCGCGCGUCUCCCACCUCCCCACAACCCCCACGACAUCACAUCACAUCGCAUCACUCGUCCUCUUCGAGCGCGAUCAGAUCCAGAUCCAACGCGGAACCGAACGUGUUCUCGCCGCUGUACGCGAUGUACAAAAACCCGUCGUCGUCUCUGUGAUCGUCGUACACCGCCGACAUCAGCGCCGCCGUGGGGGGAAGGACGUUGUUCACGAACACGAAGAUCGCCUUCUCGGGCGAGAGCUUGAUUCGCUUGCGGAUGACGUACACGAACUGUCCGACGGUGAGGUCCGCGGGGACGAGGUACCUGGGACGGGGAGGGAGCGAAAGGAGCGGACGCGUCGACGGCGAGGAAAAGGGAAUAUGCCAAACCAAACACGCGCGGAACGGAACGCGCGCGCGGGCGGGGCGCGCACUUCUUCUUGUCCAGGUCGGGGAUGUCGCUCUUCUCAGCCUUCUCGACGAUGACCUGUUCGCGAGAAAGGUAGGCGGACGAGUGAGCGCGACGUGCGGGAGAGACGACGGGCGCGACGCGACGCGGGCGGCGCCGUUAUCCGCCGCCGGAUAAAAAAGCACGCGUCGCGACGACGUGACGCGGCCGACGAACGUUCAAAUGGUUUGAAAGGGGACGCGCGCACCGGGAUCCGGUCCGGAUACUUGUCCCGGAUGCGCUGCGCCUCGGCCUGGCGCUUGUCUGCGAGAGCGAGAGAAGAGGCGGGGACGCGCGCGCGUCAGGAAGGCGGACGCGGCGGGUCCGGACGCGACGCGCCGCGCGGGAUGAGGGGAAGGGCGCGACGACGCGCGGCUCGAAUCUAUCUUCUGACUCCGUCUCGCGCGCGUCUCCUCGUCCGACGAGCGCGCGCGCGUCGCGGCGUCGCGCGCGCGCCGACGACGCGGAUCUGACCAGACUCCGCGCGCGGCGCGCGAACGCGAUGGUCUUCUCGCGAACGAUGCGGGAGGGUACGACGCGCGCGCGCGUCCGCGCGGCUGGCGCGGCGCGAGCGCGCGCGACGUCCCCUCGGAACGCGCGACGGGGAGGACGAAUGAACGGGGGACCUCCGCGGGGACGCGCGCGUCGACGAAAAACGACUCGCGAAGCGGGCGCGCACCGAGCGCGUGCUCCUGCUUGAACGUGGACCGAGCCGACAUCGCGGGGUUCGUUCGUUCUCUUCGCUCGCGGGGGAGGCGUCGCGUCCGUCGUCGCGCGCGCUCGUCGUUGUGACGCGCGGGACGCGCGAGUCGUUGUCGUUUUUCGAGUUGACGUCGGCGAUCUUCGCGCCAAAUCGACGAGUUUUUCGCGCUCCUGACCGGUCGUCUGCCGUUCUCAUCGAUGGCGCGAUCGCGGUGAUGAGAAACCAACGGCUUUAUUUCUCGAUCGAUGGCAUCGCGGCGCUGCACUCUCUGCGAAGUCGAGCGAAUCGUCGCUGCCAGUCGUCCGUCAGUUUCGCUCGCGCGCGCCGCACGUCGUCGCUCGCGAUGGACGACGAGUUCGCGCUCUUCGCGGCGGAGAUCGGGCAGCUCGAGGAGAAGGCGAAGGAUGAGCCCCCCGCGCCCGUCCCCGCGCCCGCGCCCGUCCCCGCGCCCGCGACCGCGACCGCGACCGCGACCGCCAGCGCGACGACGCGCGCCGCCCCCGCGCGAGCGACGAUCGCGCGAGCGCCCGAGCACGUCCCCGCGGGCCCGUCCGCGCGCCCCGCGCACGACGCCGCCGCCCCGCCGCCGUCGCGCUCGAUCCCCCCGCCGCCUUCGCACCUCGGCGGGUACGACCCGCACGCGGCGCAGGCGUUCCAUCAUCUUCAUCAUCAUUCGAACCCUCCGCCGCACCACGGGGGGAUCCCGCCGCCGCCGCCGACGCAGCACGAGCUGAAGCGCGCGGACGGCGACGCCACCCCGCGGUCGAUGAUGCCCGCGAAGAAGAUCGGGAAGCCGGUGUAUAGAUCCGCGGCCGGGGACCGGUGGCAGGAUAAGACGUUAGGGGACUGGCCGGAGAACGAUUACAGAAUCUUCGUCGGCGACUUGGGCACGGAGGUGAGCGACGACCAUCUCGCGAGGGCGUUCGGGAAGUACGCGAGCUUUCAAAAGGCCAGAGUGGUGAAAGAUAAGACGACGCAGAAGAGCCGAGGGUUCGGGUUCGUGUCGUUCAUGGACAGCGCGGACUACUCCAGCGCGAUGCGAGAGAUGAACGGCAAGUACAUCGGGAACCGCCCGUGUAAGCUGAAGAAGAGCGACUGGGCGCAGCGGAACGACACGAGGGCGGUGAAGAACCGCGUCGUCCCGAAGAAGAAGCCGUACGAUAAGAGGAAACACAUCGCGAUAGGCCCGAGCAUCGGCCCGCCGCAGAAGCGGUGAGCGGUCGCGCAGUAGUCGAAUAGCAGCGCGUCGCGUGCAUUAGAGGGUGGAGUACUUAGACUACUCGUAAUCGGCGACUCCGCCGCGUAGUCUACUAACUUUGGGAUGUCUUCGUUCACUCCGCGGCGGCGGCGCCGACGGACUUCGCCGCCUCCUUCACCCCCGCGGAGGGGACCGCCUUCUCGAGGUUCGCCGCCGCUCUCUCGAGCUGCGCCGCGGCGACCCUGAGUGCAGCCUUCUCCGCGUCGAGCGCCGCGCGUUCCUCCCGCAGCUUCCGACGCUCCUCCUCCGCGGCGGCGGCGGCGGCUUUCGCCGCGCGCGCCUCCGCCAGCCUCGCCGCGGCGGCGGCGGCUUUCGAGCUCUCCUCGAGCGGCUUCGCGACGCUCGAGGCGCGCGGCGGUUUCGCGGUCCCCCCGCCGUUCGCGUUCGCGGCGUUCACCAGCCCGGUCACCACGUCGGACAGGUGAUCGAACCGCGUCGUCAACGCGCGCAACGCGUCCGUCGUCUCCGAGACGAACACCCCGACGCGGUCCAACACCGUCGCCUGCGCCGCCGCGAGGAGCUCGAUCUGCGCGCGCACGUCGCCGCGACUCGCGUCGCCGGACGCGGACGGGGGGUUCAGCGUGCUCUUCCAGUCCGCGUGUUUCCGCAUCGCGGCGUUCGCGACGGACGCGACGUCCGUCAGCGGGUCGACGUUUUCGCCGCCGCCGCCGCCGCCGUCGUCCAACCUCGACGCGAGCGCGACCCACGCCGGGGUCUCGUCCUCGUUCAGCUCGAAAUCGUCGCGCGCCCCGCUCGGUCGCCGUCGCGGCGGCGCUCUUGGCGGGCGCGCGGGAGGGGUCAACACCGGCGGCGACGACGCGCGCGUGGACGCGUCCGGCCCGGACGGAUCCUCCGAGACGCUCCCUCUCGCGACGUCGACGCUUCGGACGUCAGCAGCGUCGGAGGACCCUUUUUGCUUUUCAUCCUCCUCUUCCUUUUCGCCGUCCCCGUCCCCGUCCCCGUCCCCGUCCCCGUCCCCGCCGCCGCCCGCGUCCUCUGGUUCCCCCUUCUUCGGCGGCGGCGCGGGCGUCUCCACGCCCGCGACCGCGCCGACGCCGUCUACGUCCGACGCCUUCGGCGCCGGCGUGACGACCGGCCCGUUCGUGAACGGCGGCGGCGGCGCGCCUUUGUCGGGCGCGAACACGACGUCCUCCUUCUUUUGCGCCUCUAAAAACGCCUCCGAUAACUCCCCUUUCCCCCGCGGCGCGCUCCCUCUCGCCCUUCCCCCCGCGGCCCCGCGCAUCUGCACCGUGCCUAACGCCCCGCGCAACGCUUGCCCGCCGCCGUUCUCGAUGUCCCCCGCGAGCGCGCCGACGCCGUCGCCAACCUUAUGCCGCACCCACGCGCGCCAACGCGCGACGUCGUGUUUGGGACCCUCGUACGUCGUCAGCUCUCGCGCCACCGCGGUCGCCUCCGCGACCGCGUCUCUCGCGGGUUUCACCUUGUCGAACUUCGCCGCGCUCAGCGCGCGGGAUAUGUGACCCAUGAGAGGCACGUCCUCGAUCGCGAUGUCCAUCGUCGGGCCCAUGUGGUACAUCAACGCCACGAGCGCGUCCGCGGUUUCUUUCCUCGCGUGCCAAUCUUCGGAUUCAAACUGCGACAACAGCCUCGCGUCCGCGAACGCUCCCGCGCGUCCCCCCUCGCCGUCCGCAUCCUUCGGGAUCCCUAAAAUCUCCGGCAGCUGCGGCGCCAUCGCGGGCGCGGCGGCGGCGAACAGACUCCCAAUCGCCCGGAUGAGCCCCGGCGCGGCGUGAAACGUCUUCGACUCGAGAUGCCGAAUCAGCCGCACGCCGAGCUUCCCCGGUCCGCCGGAAGACCCCCGACCCGCGCCCGGAUCGCCGUUGUACCAGUUCACGCCCACGGGGACGCACGCGCCGCCGACGCCGGGCCCGCACCUGCGAAAAACCCUCGCGAGCGCCCUGCACGCGACGUCCUGCGGCCCGCGCGAGUUGCAGUCGCCGACGGCGUCGAGCAGCGGUCGGACGAAGAGCGGGCCCAUCGCCUCCGGGCCGGCCAUGACGUUCACGUUCCCCAGGUGCACGCCCGGGCGGCAUCGAACCGCGAAGUGCGCGAGCGCGCCGAUGGCGUCCACGCACGCGUCCUGGACCGCGGUGUCGAUAUCUCUGAACCGACGCGUGCACGCGGUGAGCAUGCGAGGGAGGUAAUACAGCGCGUGUUCGCCCUGGGUGGUGGCGACGAGCUCGAACAAUCGGAGCACCUCCGCGCGCGCGAUCGGCUUCGGCGACGACGACGCGUCGUCCACGAGGCACGCGACGAUGAUGCCGAGGUCUUCCGCGGCGACGCUCGUUAUCGCGCGAUUGAGCUCCUUCGCCGCGACGGCGAGCGUGUCGCGGUCCGCGAGGCGAGUCAACGAGUUCAGGACGCGGUUCUUAAGCAGCGCGGGAUCCGCGCGGCGCUUGCCCGCCAUGGCGUCGAACGGAGCGACGCCGACGCCGCGAGAGGCCGCGAGGGGGUUAUCAGGGGUAGGCCGGAGACGCGCGCGAAGCUCUCGUCCUCCGCCGACGCCGCGGCGCUCGCGGCUGUGACGAGGGCGCGUUUGAAUCGAAGCAUCUCGGCUGUUCCUAGACUUUUUUUUUUUGUCCCGGUCGAAUAACAGAACGUUCGAUCGAGUCGACGGAUCCGGCGGGCACUCCUCCGCGCACGCAACACGCUGAUCAUGUUCGCCCGCCGCGCCCUGCGCGCGCUCGCGAAGGCCGCGUCCACCGCGCGCGCGGCCGCGACCGCGGAAUCCCACGUCCUCGCGAGCGCGGCGCGAGCUUCCGCGACCGCGCGAUCUUCCGCUUCUUCAGGGAGGACGAUCGCGACGUCGGCAGCCUCCGCGCUCGGGUUCGCCGCCGCGGCGUUCGCGCCGACGGCGACCGCGUUCUGCGCGGACGGCGCUCCUGUUGCGGAAGCGCCCGCCGCGGAAGGGGGCCCUCCCGUGGCGGCGGCGUCGAGCGCGGCGCACCCCUCCGUCGUCUUCGUCCUCGGCGGCCCCGGAAGCGGGAAGGGCACGCAGUGCGCGAACAUCAUCAACGACUUCGGGUUCGAGCACCUCAGCGCGGGCGACCUCCUUCGCGCGCACAUGAAGUCCGGCUCGAAGGACGGGAACAUGGUCGCGGAGAUGAUCAAGGCUGGGCAGAUCGUCCCGAGCGAGGUCACGGUGAACCUCCUGCUCGACGCGAUGCGGGCGAGCCCGAGGGACAAGUUCUUGAUCGACGGAUUCCCGCGGAACCAGGAGAACCGCGACGCGUGGGAGAGAACCGCGGGGUACGACUGCGACUUCGUGCUCUUCUUCGACUGCCCCGAAGAAGUCAUGGAGAAGCGACUGCUGAGCCGCGGGGAGACGUCCGGGAGGACGGACGACAACAUCGAGAGCAUCAAGAAGCGGUUCAAGACGUUCGUGGAGUCCUCCGUGCCGGUGGUGGAUUACUACCGCGGCCUGAGCAAAGUUCGCGAGGUGAUGAGCGAUCAGCCGCCGGAGGAAGUGUACGCGCAGACGAAGGCGCACUUCGCGCACUUCGCGUGAUGAGCGCGUGUGAUUAUUACGGCUAAUCUUAAUAUUUCUCGCGUUGAAAAAAUGAAUUUUAUUCAUGCUGGUACAGUGCUUGCGAACGAGAUUACGUCGUGCUUCUCGUUUCUCGUGUCUUCUUCUCCACUUCUCCCGGGGAUGGGAUGGAUCAUCUCGUCGCUCACGCGACGCGCUCCUCCGCGUCCUCGGACUUCUUCGAACCCCACAACCCCGCGGCCCUGGGGUUGAUGAGCAGCCGGUUCUUCAUCUGGCGCUCGUGCUCCGGGUCCCAGUCGCGCUUGACCGCGUUGUUCUCGGGCCUCCCGCGCUUCGGCUUGGGCCGGUCGAUCUUCUUCACGUCCCCGUGAAGCGGCGCGCCGAGGCCGACGGCGUCGAGCUCUAAGAUUUCGUUCGUCCCGAUCCCUCUCUCGAUCCGCGGCCCGGUGGCCACGAACCCUCUCAGCUGCGACGACGACACGAACGCGGAGGUCAACAUCCUCCCCGCGGAUAAUCCGUCCGAGAGUUCAACCUCCGCGCUGCAAUCCGCGCGGCACUGCGCGUCCACCGUCUCGGCGAGCGCUCCGAGGUCCGAGGAGACGAUCUCGAAGCGAGCCUUCCACAGCGUCGUCGUGAAGUUCGCGGCUUCGAGCGCUCUUCUCAGCGCCGCGGCGUCCCUCUGCGCGGCGUACACCUGCGCGUCCGCGGCGGCGUUGAUCGCCGCGACUUCGCGUUCCACCGCGCUUCUCACGAGGUGCUCGCCGUCGGACGCGACGCGAAGCGCCGACGUCUCCUCGACAAUCUUGAUCUUCUCCUCCGCGGUCGCGCGCGCUUCCUCCGCGGCCUUCUCCGCAGCCUUGACCCUCGCCUGCAGCUGCGCGACGGCGGCGGUCGCGCGGCCCUCCCACAUCACGGCCGCCUCUUGCUGCGUCGCCGCCUCCUCUCGCAGGAGUUCGAUCUCCUUCUUCUUCGCGAUGUGGUCUUGCUGGAGCGUGACGAUCUUCGCAUCCGCGGCUUCCUUCUGCGCAGCAAUCUCCGCCAUCUGAUCGAGCAGAUCACUCUGGUUCUUCAGCGUGCUCUCGUGGUGCGUCGCCUUCGCUUCCGCAGCCUCUUUCGCGGCGACGAGCGCGUCGCGGCUCUCUUUGAGCUCCGCGAGCUCCCUCGCCCUCUUCUCGAGCACCGCGCUCGUGGCGGUGUACUUCCCUUCCCACUCAGUCGUCCUCUCGACCGCGAUCGCGAUUUCUUCGGUCAGCGCCACGAUCUCGCGCUCCUUCACCGCGAGCUUAUCGGUCAACUGCGUCACUUUCAAGUCCACGGCUUCUUUCUGCGUCGCGACGUCGAUCAUCUCGUCGAGCUUCGCGUUCGUCUUUUCCAAGUUUGUCUCGGCGGCGACCGCUCUCAACUCCGCGGCUUCCUUCUCCUUCUUAUACAUCUUCGCGUCCUUCUUCGCUUGUUCCUCCGUCUCCGUUUUCACCUUCUCCGCGGCCUCGACGCACGCGGCCGCGGCUUUCAGGGUGUCCUUCACCCUGUCCUCGACCUUGAUCUCCGCCGCCUCGGCGAGCGCGGUGGCUUCGUCCCUCGCCUCCGCGGCGGCUUUAUACCGCGCCCGGAGCUCCUCGCCCUCCUUCGUCAGCGCCGCGAUCGCCUCCUCCUUCUCCACGAGCGUCUGCUGCGCCGCGCCCUCGCUCGCGACGAGCGCCUCGAGCUUCGCGAGGAUCUCGUCUUGCGCCCGCAGCUGCUGCUCCGCGGAGGCGGCUCUCGCGAGCGCGUGCUCCUUCGCCGCGUUUGCCUUCUCCGCAUCCGUCUGCGCGGCGUUCAAGAGCGCGCGCGCGGCGACGUCCGCGUCCUCCGCGAAGGACUCCCUCGCGACGAGAUCGAGCUGCUUCGCGGUCUCGAGGACGGCGUUCGCCUCGCGCGCGGAUCUCUCCGCCUCCGCGCGCUUCUUCUUCGUCGUCGCGUCUCGCUCGAUUUUGAUCGCCGCGACGAGCCGCUUUUCGAUCUUUCUCUCGAGCGCGACGGCGGAGUUGGCGUACUCCUUCUUCAGCUUCUCCGUCUCCAUCUUCGCCUCCUCGAGCGCGACGCGGCUCGCGAACUCCGCCUCCGCGACGGUCUGGUUGAGCGACAGGCGGUGCGCGUCCGAGAGGCGGAUCGCCUCUUCUUUCUGCUCCGCGAGCGCGAGCUCGAGCGACUUGUUCUUCGCCACCGACUCGUCCAGGAGCUUCGCGAUCGACAUGAGCUUCUCCUUGAGAUCCCUGGUCGCCUCCGUGAGCGCGACGACCUCGGCGUGUUGGUCCGCGGGGCACUCUUCCGCGAGCGGCUCCGCGGACGCGAUGGACGGCGCCUGGAGCGUGUCAACGUCCUCCUCGCUGCCGGUCGCGGGCGGGGAAUCGUUUGAGACGGAGUCCAUCCGAGCGACCGAUCGCCGCUUAUUCGCGAAGGGUUUGCGCGCGGUCGCGAGAAGACGCGGGCCGGGGGCGGCGACGGCGGGCCUCGCGCGCGCGCGCGAGGGGCCGUGGCCGAGCGUCGCCGCGCGGGCGGGCGCGGCCAUGGCGCGAACCGCGUGCUGCAUCUAACGAAGCGAGACGCGACGACGCUUCGACGGCGAUAUUAUUUUUUGUUACUUCUCGCGCGCGGCGAUGCGCGGGAGCGGUCGCGGCGGCGCGGAGCUGCGGGGGACGACGGAGACGGCGUGGGGGGGAUCGGUCAGGAUUGAAUUCGCGCGAACGGGGCGAACGCGCGCUCGCGGCGCGGCGCGGGAGGCGAGAAUCCAAAGUAGGUUACCGCCCCUGCGGGGCGAAAAAAGCCCACGGAAAAAAGCCCACGCCUGGAAAGAUACGACGGCGCGACGAUUCGAGCUCGCCGAUCGCGGCGCGCGCGGGGACGACGCGCGGGAAGACGCACCGCGAGCGCGCGGCGAGUCGCGGCUGAGGUCUUUUUAAACGUUCGCGACGCGCGUGCGCGAGACGACGUGCGUGCGUGAGUGUCCCUCGGGGGGGAUCGCGACGCGGCGGCAACGUGUCGUUUUUCGCUAACCUCGUCAGCGCCAUCAAGUGGCAUCCGCGCUGCCAGGUGUCCGUCGCUUUUUAAACCGUCGUUUUUGGGUCAAAGUCUCUGCUCCGACUUUCGGGCAGCAGCCCGGCUAAAAUCAGCAGUAAAAUCUAGGAAAAACCCGCAGAGGGGUGCAAAAAAUUCGGCAAAAAAUGCAAAAAAAAUCAAACAUAAAAAGAAUUUGACUCAAAAAGCACGGUUUAAAAGUUUCGUUCCGGUCCGAAAAAAGCGGCCGGUGCACCGGCACGAGACGAGACCUAUCAAACGUCGUCGUCGCCGGCGCUGCACUUCAGCCCUGCACUGCGCUCCUGCACUGCACCGCGCGAUGGGGGCGUCGCCGGACGACGCGUCCGCGUCGUCCCCGCGGCCGUCGCUGCUCGUGCUGUACGGGUCCGAGACCGGGAACGCGCAGGUGCGCGCCGUCGCGGCGAUCUCCCGUCGUCUCCCCCCGCGCGUCUCCCCCGGCGACGCGCGCGGCGGCAGAGUGCCUACCGCCGAGCGAGACGAGACGAGACGAGAUCUUCAUUCUCCUCGCCCGUCGUCGUCGUCGUCGUCGUCGUCGCGUCUUCUCCCCGCUCACCCCGACCCCGACGCUCGUCCUCUCUUCCCUCGUCCGCCCGCCAGGACGCCGCGGAGCGGAUCGCGAGGGACGCGAACCGGCGCCACUACCGAUGCGACGUCCUCGCGAUGGACGACUACGAGGUCACCGAGCUCCCGCGCGCGUCGACGGCGCUGUUCGUGACGAGCACGAUGGGCCAGGGCGACCCGCCGGCGAACAUGAAGCGCUUCUGGCGGUUCCUCCUGCGCAAGUCUCUCCCCGCCGCCUCGCUCGCGGGCGUCGACUUCGCGGUGUUCGGCCUGGGGGACUCGCACUAUCAAAAGUACAACGUCGCCGCGAAGAGGCUUCACAAGCGGCUGCUGAGGUGCGUUCUAUCUCGCACUGGUUCCCAUACGAUCGCGUUGGCGUGGUGAACGCCGAUCGUUAAGGACUUUUCCCGGCGCAUCUCUUCGCCCACGCCUCGCUUUCAAUCCCGACACACCUCGGCGCCUUUCAACUCCAUCUGACGCCUUUGAACUCCACCCCGACGUUCGCUCGUACGGAACGACCCUCAUUAGCCUGGGCGCGAAUCCGAUCGCGCCGCUGGGCCUCGGCGACGACCAGCACCCGACCGGACACGAAGCCGCGCUCGAUCCGUGGCUCCGGGACGUGUGGACCUCGUUGCGCGCGAAGUAUCCCCUACGCGACGGCGAGCGCGACCCCGCGGACGGGGAGGAGGCGACGGCGCUCGAGCGGUGCCGGUACUCGGUGGAGGUGGUCGACGACGCUGACGCCGCGGACGGAGUAGAUAAGCGAGGUAAUAAGGGGAAGUGGUGGCGGAAGCACGUCGCCAGCGAGAUGCCGACGACGCCAGAGCUGUGCGCGGCGGCGGCGUUGAUGGACCGCGUCGCGCGCGCGGCGGCGCGCGUGGACCCGAGAAUAUUGCGACGCGGCGGCGGCGGCGACGACGGCGCGUCGACGGACGACGCGCGCGCGUCGACGCGACGUUUCGGUCCGGAGAACCCGUGCUUCGAGACGACGAUCUUGAUGAACGCGCCGCUGACGUCGAAGGAGUCGUCGCACGAGGUUCGGCACGUCGUCAUCGACGCGUCGGGGAUGGGGGACGCGGGGACGACGACGACGACGACGACGGGAGGAGGAGAAGGAGGGGGGCGCUCCCCGAAAGGGUGUUUGUACUCCCCCGGGGACUCGGUCGCGGUGCUGCCGACGCCCGGGACGUCGACGGGGGGGCAAAAAGCGUGCGCGGCGGCCGCGGAGGAGCUCCUGCGGCGCGCGGGCGUUCCCUCGGACGCGUGGAUCACGGUGCGACCGAACGUCGACGGGGGCGGCGACGCGCUCGAACCGGCGAUGCCGGCGAUGACGCUCAUCAUGGGGGCGUUAGAUCUCACCUCCGCGUCCCCGCGACGGUACUUCUUCGAAGUCGCCGCGCACUUCGCAUCGGACGCCGCGGAGAAGGAACGCCUGACGUACUUCGCCUCCGCGGAGGGCAGAGACGAUUUGUACCGGUACAACGAGAGAGAACGCCGCAGCGUGAUCGAGUUCUUGGACGACUUCAAGUCCGUCAACCUGCCGUUGCCGUGGGCGUUUCGAGUCGCCCCGAGACUCCGCGCGCGUCUCUUCUCGCUGUCGUCGUCGCCGUCGUCGCACGCGAACGAACUCCACUGCACCGUGUCGCUCGUGAAGUGGAAGACGCACUACGGACGCGCACGGGAAGGCUUGUGCUCCAACUACCUCGCGAGGUUAGCCCCCGGCGCGAGCGUCGCGACGUGGAUCGUCCCCGGGACGCUGCGACUACCCCCGGACGCGUCCACGCCGAUGAUCGUGGUGUGCACCGGCAGCGGCGUCGCGCCGUUCCGUUCCUUCGCGCACGAGCGCGCGGCGAUGCGAGCGCGCGGCGAUAAACUCGCGCCGACGCUGGUGUUCUUCGGGUGCCGACACCGCGAGCACGAUUGCCUGUACGAGCGCGAGUGGGCGGUGUUCGACGAGCCUCGCGGCGUCCUCGCCGGCGACGUCGACGUCCCCGGCGCGGCGCCCCCCGCGGACGCGCCCGCCGACGGACCCCGCUGGUUCGUCCCCGCGUUCUCGCGCGACGCGCCGGACGGGUCGAAAGACUACGUCACGCAUCGAAUUAUCGCGCACGGCGCGCGGGUGUGGGCGAUGAUCGCCGCCGGCGCGAGCGUGUACGUCGCGGGGAGCACCGGGCGGAUGCCGGAGGACGUGUCGGACGCGUUCGAGGCGGUGGCGGUACGACACGGCGGGCUCGACGCCGCCGCCGCGCGCGCGCACUUCGCGAGGAUGGACGCGACGGGGAAAUAUUCCGUGGAGGCGUGGUGAGCGCGGCGCGACGUGCUGAUGGACGGGUGGAUGGAUUUUAGCGCGUGGUGCUGUCUUCUGUACUGUCACGCUCGAUAGCCGCGGCGAAAGAACCGCCGACAGGAAGAGAACUCAUCAAGCCGUCUCUUCGUUGCCUCCCGUCGCGCGCGCGCGCGCGAAGUCAAAACGCGCGUCGACGUCCGAACGCUCGCGUCGACGCCGCGCACUGCGCACGCGCGCGAGCGGCACGUCGACACCUCGACGCGCGGGUUCGCAUCGCACGCGCGCGAACGACGCCGACCGCGUCGCGCGACGCCGCCGCUCUCGCCCGCGCGCGUCGAGCGCGCCGCGUCGAGGCGCGUCCGAGAACGGAACGAGGGAUUGUCUCAGACACUUCGAGUCAUCGAACAGUCCGCGCGCGACGAACGCGAUGGCCGCGAGCGCGACGAGCGACGAGCCGGUCACGAACGAGCCCAAGGGUGCGCCGCUCCUCCUCGCGCGCGCCCCCGCGUCCGCGCCGCGCGUCGACGCGACCGCCGCCUCGCUUCGCGCGCGCGAUCGCCNNNNNNNNNNNNNNNNNNNNNNNNNNNNNNNNNNNNNNNNNNNNNNNNNNNNNNNNNNNNNNNNNNNNNNNNNNNNNNNNNNNNNNNNNNNNNNNNNNNNGACCGAUCCUCACGCCGAAAUGGGUGCGUCUCUCCGCUUGACGCCUCUCCGCGACCCGCGCGCGAGCGCGCGCGCGACGCCGUUCCCCGCGCGGUCAACCCCGCGCGAUUGUCGACGCGUCCCUCCGUUCCCCGAAAUGUUUUUCUUUGGUAACCUUAUUUUUUUCUCGCGGCGGUCUCGCACCGGCGACGCCGCCCCGCGCGCCCGCGCGAACGCGCGACUCAACCCCAUCCCCACCACGCUCGCGACCCCUCCCUCCACCCCAGAUCGCGUGCAUCCUGUUCGCGCUCGGGGCGCUGUUCAUCCCCCUAGGGGUGAUUUGCUACGUCGCGAGCGACGGCGUCGUGGAAGUGAGCGCUCGAUACGACGACGUCGCGAGCUGUACGUCGGGGUUCUUCUCCUCGGACGUCGAGCUCGCGACGUCGCAGCAGACGUUGGGCGCGGGGACGACGUGCACGGUGACGCUGACCGCGCCCGCGAAGAUGACCGCGCCGAUAUACGUAUACUACGAGCUCGAGAACUUUUACGCGAACCAUCGUCGGUACGUAAACUCGAGGAGCGACGAGCAGAUGAGCGGCGACGCUCGCGUCGACGACUUUUGCAAGCCGCAACUCUACGACGCGUCCGGGGAUGAGAUCACGCCGUGCGGGCUCGUCGCGUGGUCGUACUUCAACGACACGUUCGCGCUGACGGACGGCAGCGGCGCCGCGAUCGCGGUGUCGGAGACGGACAUCGCGUGGGACGCGGACGUGGACCUGAGGUUCGGCGAGGUGCGUUCUAUCUCGCACUGGUCCCCAUACGACCGCGUCGGCGUGGUGAACGCCGAUCCUUAAGGACUUUUCCCGGCGCAUCUCUCCGCCCACACCUCGCUUUCAAUCCCCGCCCUCGAAGCCUUUCAACUCCACCUGACGCCUUUCAACUCCACACCUCAGAACGUCGCGCCGGCGAAUUUCAACGACGACGUCGCGACGCGCGGCGGCUCCGGACUGACGGCGGCUUCCUUAGAUAAGGACGAACACUUCAUCGUGUGGAUGCGCACGGCGGCGCUGAGCACGUUCCGCAAGCUCUGGGGGCGGAUAACGACGGACAUCGCGAGCGGGGAGACUAUCACGGUGACGAUCGCGAAUCGAUUCAACUCGUACAAGUACGGCGGCGAGAAGAGGAUCGUGCUGUCGACGACGAGCUGGCUCGGGGGGAAGAACAUGUUUUUGGGCGGCGCGUACCUGGGGAUCGGGUGCGGGUGCUGGGUCGCGAGUUUCGUGUUCGCGUACUUUCAUCUGCACCCGCCGCGGAGGCGCGGGGACGCGGUGGAGUUGUCCUGGAACAAGGGGUGAGGAGGAGGAGGAGGAGGAGAGGAGGCCCCGCGGGCGUUCAAUGAAUGGUAUUAUUGUAUUUCGAAGAAGAGACCGCAGUCAUCGGUCAUCAGCAGUCUCGCGCGCGGAAUCCUACUCCCCGGCGCCCUCUUCUCGUCCGUCCGCGCGCCGCCGCCCGCCACAACCGCGCGCGCGUCCACGCGCCGGCGUCGAACUCGCGUCGCGCGCGUUCGAACCCGCACACGCGCGGCGUUCCCCGCGAGCGUCGGACGACCGCGCGCGCGCGAGGCGUCCGUCGCGUCUGCGACCCUUCGCUCGCGUCUCGUUUUCCCCCUCCCCCCGCGGAAGGGAGACCGCCGCGCGCGAGCGGAGGCGCGGCGCCGUGCCCACCCGCGUCGCGGGCGAACAGCGCUCGCGCGGACGCGCCGUCGAGAUGGACGAAGAAGAGGAAGAGGUCCAGGUCGAGGACCCGACGCAGGCGCGCGCGCUCCCGAGCGGCGACGACCGCGAUCGUGGUCGUCGCGGCGGAUGCCCGGUUUAGGCUUCUUCGUUCGCUCGCUCGCUCGGAAAUCGCUCGAUCGAUCGUCCUCGCGUCGCGCCCCCUCGACGCUGACGCGUCGUCGUCCGUCUCGUCCACCCCGCGCGUCCCCUCCCGCCAGGCGAUCUUCGUCGCGGACGACGUGAACGAGAUCAUCAAAGAGUCCAUCGACGCGGUGUUACAGAACGCGGCGUACUCGCACGCGAAGGUUGGUCAGUGGACGAGCAGCGCGGUGGAGACGACGCUGCGACGACUCACCGCGCUGAAGAAGCCGUUCAAGUACGUGGUGACGUGCGUCAUCAUGCAGAAGAACGGCGCGGGGUUGCACACGGCGUCGUCGUGCUACUGGGAUAACGAGACCGACGGUGCGUCGUCGCUUCGGGUCGCGAACGCGUCGUCGUCGUUCGUCGCGCGCGCGGCGGACGCGCGCGGCGGCGGCGGCGACGUUUUGGAUUCGUUUUUGGAUUCCCCCGUCCCCGUCCCCGCGUUGACGUUCGCUCCUCCGCUCUGGUAUUCUCUCGUUUGUCGCCGCACAGGGAGCCGCACGGUGCGGUGGGAGAACAAGUCGAUGUACUGCAUAGUCACCGUGUUCGGACUCGCGGUGUAGUCUCGGCGACGACGUGUAAAAUCCCAUACGUACCUGUAGAACGCUCGGCGACAGACGCGCUCGUCAUCUCACCAAACCUCGUCGCUCUCGCCCUCGACCCUCACGACUCGCCGCGCGCCGGGGCGCGGGCACGAUGUCGCGCGCGAUAUCGCGCGCGCUGCGCGCGCUCGCCGCCGCGGCGUCGCCCCCCCCGCGCGUCCUCGCGACUCAGGACGUCGUCGCCGUCGCGUCGCGUCUUCGUCGUCGUCGUCGUUGUCAUCGAACCGUCGCAGGGUCGGCGUCGCGAUCGCGCGGGCUCUCCACCGCGCGCGACGACGACGACGACGAGACGUCCGCCGCUCCCGUCCCCGUGCUCAUCGUCGGCGGCGGCCCCGUCGGGCUGACGCUGUCGUACCUCCUCUCGCGAGCGGGCGUGGACAGCACGCUGAUCGAGCGCCGCGCGGACGGAGCGACGACGCACCCGCAGGCGCACUUCGUGAACAACCGAACGAUGGAGAUCUUCCGUCACGUGAGCGGGCUCGAGCGCGUCGUGACGCGAUCGCAGCCGCCGCUGAAGCACUGGAGGAAGUUUCUGUACAAGACGCAGAUGGUGGGGGGGGUGGAGCUCGGCAGGGUGGAUCACUUCGCGGGCGGCGGCGGCGGCGGGAGGGAGGGCGAGGGCGAGGGCGAGGGCGAGGAGGAGGAGGAGGAAAACCGCGACGCCGCGUCGCCGACGUCCGUCGCGCACUUCGGGCAGCACCGGCUCGAGCCGGAGCUUCUGGACCGCGCGAUCGCGGCGCAUCCGCGGGGGAUCCGCGGGUUCGCGCACGGGACGGAGUGCGUCGGCGCGACGUGCGACGACGACGGGGUGACCGCGACGGUGCGCGACGCGACGUCGCCGCGGAUGGCGGGAGCGAAGAAGAACGAUGACGAGAAGAACGCUCAACGAGAGCGGACGCUGCGCGCGUCGUACCUCGUCGCCGCGGACGGCGCGUCGUCGCGGACGCGCGAGCGUCUCGGGGUCGGACUCAGAGGCACGCCGGAGAUGCAGCACCUCGUGAACGUGCACUUCCGAUCGAGGAAACUCGCGCGCGCGCUGCGAGAGGACGACGGCGGCGACGGCGCGGCGAUGCUAUACUUCGUGUUUAACCCCUCCGUCGUCGCCGUCGUCGUCGCGCACGACGUGCGCGGCGACGGCGAGUUCGUCGCUCAGGUGCCGUACUUCCCUCCGACGCAGAGCGCGGAGGAGGACUUCGGGAUGGAGGCGUGCGUCGGGCUCGCGCGCGCGGCGGCGGGGGGCGCCGCGGCGGGCGAAAACGAAAACGAAAACGAUUCGUUCGACGACGUCGACGUGAGAAGCGUCCGCGCGUGGACGAUGUCCGCGGAAGUCGCGGACGAGUUCGUGGCUGGUCGCGGGCGCGCGUUCUUGUGCGGCGACGCCGCGCACAGGUUCCCGCCCGCGGGAGGGUUCGGGAUGAACACGGGGAUACAGGACGCGCAUAACCUCGCGUGGAAACUCGCGGUCGCCGUCGCGAGCGCCGGCGACGGCGGCUCCGGCGCGCCGAGCGCGCGGAACCUUCUGCGAAGCUAUCACGCGGAGCGCCGCCCGGUCGCGGUCGGGAACACGCGACUGAGCGUGAGCAACUUUCGCCAGGUGCUGAAGAUACCGACGGCGUUGGGGUUGCCCCCCGACGCGGCGGCGGCGCUGACCGAGGCGACGGCCGCGUUGCCGUCGUUCGCGGCGAAGGCUGCGCUCAACGCUGGGCUGGCGUUGGGCCGGGCGCAGUGCGGUGAUUUGUUGCUCACGGAUAACGCGAUAGGGAACGCGAGACGCGCGACGGUGAAGAGGAUGUGCGAAGAAGGCGGCGGGAAGACGUUGCGGUUGCAGUUCCCCACGGAGGAUCUGGGGUUCGUGUACGGACCGGGAUCUGAACACGCGGCAACGGGUGAUUGGGCGCGUCGUGACCGCGGCCAAUCGGACGACGGCCUCGGCACCGCCGCGACGCUCGUGCCCCCCGGGACUUUAGUCGUCGGCGGACGGCUCCCGCACGCGUGGCUGUCGCUUCACCUCGGUCCGAACGACGACCGAAAAUCGGCGAAACAUAUUUCCUCGUUGGACCUUCUCGAGCUGAGCGUCCUCGACGGCGCGAUCGGCGGCGACGACGCGCACGCGGCGUGGGCGACGCAAGAGUUGCGGUCCACACCCGGGGUCGUGUUCACGCUGAUCAAGACGCUGCGCGACGACGAGGAACCGCGUUCGCACUCGAUGCGGUUGACGCUCGCGAACGAUACGAUUCAGCGCUUGAGAGACGCCGCGCCGGCGGGGGUGUCGAUUCGACUCGCGAUCGUCGCUCCCACGGCAUCGAUCGCGCGCGGGGUCGAAAGGUAUUACUAUGAGGGAGGUAAACGCCCGAGCGACGACCGUUUCGUGAUCGCCGUGGACGAGAAAGGCGCGUGGACGCGAGCGGCAGGGGGCGCCGACGCGUUCGUUCGACCGGACGGUCACGUCGCGUGGAUCGGAGCUCGCGCGGACGAGCGGUCCGACGACGACGGCGACGAGGGCGUGGACGCCGGGUCGGUCGAGGUCGUCGCCGCGCUGAGACGCGAGCUCGGGAUGUAUUAGAUCGACGACGACGUGUUAGCAGCGCGUUUAAUUAGUAGGUACGGUAUCGUCGUCGUGAAUUGUUUUGUUCACAACCGGGCGUAAAUCGUCCCCCCCUCGUCGCGUCGCUCACACCUUCUUGACUAUCUGCACGACGUCCUCGUCCUCCAAAAUGUGCUCCUUCCCAACCUUCUGCGGCCGGUGCUUCACGCUCAACCCCCACACCAGCGCCUGCUUAAACGACCGCAUGAUCCCCUUAUGUAAACGGUUACAGAAAUCCUCCACGCUGCACGCCUUCCUCGGCAACACCACGGGGUCGUCGUAAUCUGGGUUCACCCCUCGCGGCUUCGUGUACACGCGCACCAAGUCGAGGUAAUCCCACACCGUCUCGAGAAGUCCAUCGAGAUUCCACUCCUUGUGCGCGCUCACCGGGACGUAGUGCUUCAUCUUCGUCAGGAGGUCCAGCUCCUCCACGGUGAUCUGAUCGAUCUUGUUGAUGGCGUAUAUGCACGGGACGUAAAUCCUCGACCCCUCGAUCACGUCGAUGAGCUCCUCGUCCGUGCUGUCCUCGUGCAGCUUCACGUCCGCGUGCUGGAUCUUGUACUCGCUCAAGAUGUUCUUCACCGUUUCCUCGUCGAGGAAGGUCGUCUCGCCGUUGUUGUUCGGCGUGAACGAUAUCCCGCCCUUGUCCUUCUUUCGAAACGUGAUCUUCGGGGGCUCUCUGUUGAGGCGGAUGCCGAAGCCCUCGAGCUCGUGCUCGAUUAAACGCUUGUGCGUGAGCGGUUUCAGCGCGUCCAACACGAUCACGAUGACGUUGCACGUCCGCGCGGUGGAGAUGACUUGGCGACCGCGGCCUUUGCCGUCCUUCGCGCCCUCGAUGAUCCCGGGAAGAUCGAGGAGCUGUAUCUUCGCGCCGCGGUAGCGAAUCACCCCAGGGAUGCACGUGAGCGUCGUGAACUCGUACGCGGCCACCUCGCUGAACGUCCCGGUGAGCUUAUUCAGAAGCGUGGACUUCCCCACGGACGGGAACCCGACUAAACCGACGCGGCAGUCGCCCGUCUUCGUGACGUCGAAACCCUCGCCCUUCGGCCCGCCCUUGCUCGAGGGCUCGAUGAGAUCGCGCCGGAGCUUCGCGAGCUUCGCUUUCAGCGACCCCAAGUGCGCGGCCGUCGCCUUGUUCUUCUGCGUCCGGCUCAUCUCGAGCUCGAUGGACGCGAUCUUCUCCAUGAUGUCCGACAUGGCGAGCGAGGUCGGAGGAGGCGCUCGUCGCGGCGCGGCGCGGCUCUCUCUGCGACGCGAGACGGGACGCGACAGUUCAAAGAGUCUUGGUCGCGUUUUCACAGCCCGCCGCCAUUCAUAAGUUAUUGAGCCGCGGUCGGUCAGCAUCACAAAAAACGCAGUCGCCUCUCACCCUUCCCGCCGCCGCGCUCGGACGCUCGAUAUCCGCAUCAGCCCGCUAAAAUCCAGCGCGUCCGUCUUCCCUUCGUCCGCGCGCUCCCUCCGCGCCGUCGUCGCGGUCGCCCGCCCCGCGGCCUUCGCCUCGCGCCGGGUCGAUCGGUCGGCGGCGCGGCGGGGGGGGGGGGCGGACGGGGGGAAGGCGGCGGCGCUGUUUUGCGGGGGGCUGCGGCGGUUGUGGGGCGGAGGGGGGCGGCGGGGGGNNNNNNNNNNNNNNNNNNNNNNNNNNNNNNNNNNNNNNNNNNNNNNNNNNNNNNNNNNNNNNNNNNNNNNNNNNNNNNNNNNNNNNNNNNNNNNNNNNNNNNNNNNNNNNNNNNNNNNNNNNNNNNNNNNNNNNNNNNNNNNNNNNNNNNNNNNNNNNNNNNNNNNNNNNNNNNNNNNNNNNNNNNNNNNNNNNNNNNNNNNNNNNNNNNNNNNNNNNNNNNNNNNNNNNNNNNNNNNNNNNNNNNNNNNNNNNNNNNNNNNNNNNNNNNNNNNNNNNNNNNNNNNNNNNNNNNNNNNNNNNNNNNNNNNNNNNNNNNNNNNNNNNNNNNNNNNNNNNNNNNNNNNNNNNNNNNNNNNNNNNNNNNNNNNNNNNNNNNNNNNNNNNNNNNNNNNNNNNNNNNNNNNNNNNNNNNNNNNNNNNNNNNNNNNNNNNNNNNNNNNNNNNNNNNNNNNNNNNNNNNNNNNNNNNNNNNNNNNNNNNNNNNNNNNNNNNNNNNNNNNNNNNNNNNNNNNNNNNNNNNNNNNNNNNNNNNNNNNNNNNNNNNNNNNNNNNNNNNNNNNNNNNNNNNNNNNNNNNNNNNNNNNNNNNNNNNNNNNNNNNNNNNNNNNNNNNNNNNNNNNNNNNNNNNNNNNNNNNNNNNNNNNNNNNNNNNNNNNNNNNNNNNNNNNNNNNNNNNNNNNNNNNNNNNNNNNNNNNNNNNNNNNNNNNNNNNNNNNNNNNNNNNNNNNNNNNNNNNNNNNNNNNNNNNNNNNNNNNNNNNNNNNNNNNNNNNNNNNNNNNNNNNNNNNNNNNNNNNNNNNNNNNNNNNNNNNNNNNNNNNNNNNNNNNNNNNNNNNNNNNNNNNNNNNNNNNNNNNNNNNNNNNNNNNNNNNNNNNNNNNNNNNNNNNNNNNNNNNNNNNNNNNNNNNNNNNNNNNNNNNNNNNNNNNNNNNNNNNNNNNNNNNNNNNNNNNNNNNNNNNNNNNNNNNNNNNNNNNNNNNNNNNNNNNNNNNNNNNNNNNNNNNNNNNNNNNNNNNNNNNNNNNNNNNNNNNNNNNNNNNNNNNNNNNNNNNNNNNNNNNNNNNNNNNNNNNNNNNNNNNNNNNNNNNNNNNNNNNNNNNNNNNNNNNNNNNNNNNNNNNNNNNNNNNNNNNNNNNNNNNNNNNNNNNNNNNNNNNNNNNNNNNNNNNNNNNNNNNNNNNNNNNNNNNNNNNNNNNNNNNNNNNNNNNNNNNNNNNNNNNNNNNNNNNNNNNNNNNNNNNNNNNNNNNNNNNNNNNNNNNNNNNNNNNNNNNNNNNNNNNNNNNNNNNNNNNNNNNNNNNNNNNNNNNNNNNNNNNNNNNNNNNNNNNNNNNNNNNNNNNNNNNNNNNNNNNNNNNNNNNNNNNNNNNNNNNNNNNNNNNNNNNNNNNNNNNNNNNNNNNNNNNNNNNNNNNNNNNNNNNNNNNCGCGACGGUUGACGUUCCGCGUUCCCGCGCCUCGAACGGGUGCGUCGCGUGCGCCUGAGGGCCGUUCCAUACGAAGCGAAGUCGGGGUGGAGUUCAAAGGCGUCAGUCGGAGUUGAAAGGCAACGCGGGCGGGGAUUGAAACCGAGGCGUGGGCGGAGAGAUGCGCCGGGAAAAGUCCUUAAGGGACGGCGUUCACCACGCCGACGCGGUCGUAUGGGGACCAGUGUGAAGGAGAACGCGCGCCUCCCCGCGCGCGAAACACGCGCCGCACAAGUCGUAGCUCUCGCACACGACGCACUUGAACCGCGUCCCGAGGAUCGGCGCGACGCGACACGCGCCGCACGUGACGCCGUAGUGCGCGUCCGGGUUGGCGGCGGCGGCGGCGUUCACCCCUCGAAAACGGCCCGGACGCGACGGUUUCGGUUUCCAUCUUUCCACCUCCCCCCACGCCGCGCGACACAGCGGACACGUCGUCGGCUGGUCGACGCUCGCCUGAGGGUCGUUCCAUACAAAGCGAUGGCGGGGUGGAGUUCAAAGGCGUCAGACGGAGUUGAAAGGCGUCGAGGGCGGGGAUUGAAAGCAGCGAGGGGUGGGCGGAGAGAGACGACGGCAAAAGUCCUUAAGGAUCGGCGUUCACCACGCCGACGCGGUCGUAUGGGAACCAGUGUAUAGAACGCGCCUGAUGUUGCGCGUACAGCGAGAGGCACCGCGCGUGGACGUUGCGACCGCAUCCGCGCUCGCACCAGAGCAAAUCGUCGCCGUGAUCGAAAUCGCGCUUUGAUGACGACGCGGACGCCGCCGCGCGCAUGGGCUCGUAGCAGAUCGGACACGCCUCGUCCGCUUCCAACGCGCGGCGGCCGCGUUCGCGCGCGUCGGACGCGUCGCCGACGCCGCCGCCGCUCGCGUCGGUCGAUCGUUCCCCCCGCCGUCGCCCCGCGUCCACGGCGAAUGCGACCGCCCUCGGCUCGCACCGCAAGACCUCGUCCAGCUCGCGGUCGAUGAGCGACACCUGCCACGUCAGCGGGUUGGACCGCGGCACGCCGAGCACCUUUCGCAUCACGAAGACAAUGUGCGCGCAGACCUCCGGGAGGUCUCGCGUCGCGUGAACCGUCGCGGCGUCGUCGGCGUCGGUUCGAAUCCCCGCGGCUUCCAUGAUCGCCAGCCGCGUCGCGCUCGUCGUCGCGCUGAGCCCGGAGCCGGCGCGCGCGGAAUUUGAACCGACGCGGCGGUUCGUGUUCGAACCGCCGAACCCGCCGCCGCAGCCGCACGUCAUCUUCGCGCCGAUCAAGACUUUGCACGCGCGCCUCCGUCCGUCCUCGCGCACGACGAACGACGUCGGGCCGACGCGCUGGACGAGGAACAUGUCCCCGGGGGGCGGAUGCGCGUCGCCUGGGAGGGAGUGGGAGACAGACGUCGCCGGGAUGGGGACGAAGCGCGCGCGUGAGGGCGAGUCUCAACGGGGCGGGAUGGUCCGCGCGGAGAGUGGGCACCGAGUCGUCGUCGUGGAAGAGAUUUAAUGGUCGUCGGUCAAACGGCCGCCGCGCGCACCGCGAAGGAGCGCGUCAACGACGGGGCUCGGCCUCGGGCGCCACGGCGCCAGCCUCGAGGACGCCUGCGACAUCCCCCGAUCCGUAUCGUGCCCUCGCGCGCGCCGCGCCGCGCCGCGCCGCGGACAGUGCGCCGCGCCCGCGAACUAACGGACGUUUCCGAUGACGCGCGACGAGCUCGUUUUCGGAACCAGCACUUGACGCGGACAGGGUGGCAUCGCACUCGCGAUGGCGCUGUCGCACCACGCCGCCGCGGCCGCGCGGCCGUCGCUCGCGCGCGUCGCCCCAACGCGCGUCGCCUCCUCGCCUUUUGCCCGCGACGCUCGCGACGCGCGCAAAGCGCUCGCGACGCGCGCGGCGGCCGCCUCGGACGCGCUCCCGUCCCUGGACGCCUCCUCGACGUGGCGACUGCGACUGGAGCUCUUCAGCGGCGUCGGCGCGUCGUCGGAGCCGGACCGAGUCGUCGACGCGCGGUGCGUGUUCGUCGUCGACGAGGGGUACGAGCCUCCGCAAGGGGUCGUCCAGAUCGUGGAGGACGACGACGGCGUGUUCGUCGACGGCGGGCUGCAUCGAUGGACGCUCGAGGAGGUGCGACCGCCGACGAUCGCGAUCGGUUUCGGUCGCUCCGCGCGAGAUGCUUCUUAUCGCUCUACCUGUCGUAGCUCGUCUGCGAUAUAGUCUCCUCAGAGUCUCCCUCAUCGCGCGUCGUCGCCUUCGUCCCCCCCACUCCCCACUCCCCACUCCCCUCGCAGGACCCGAACGAGCGCAAGGCUGGACUGUGGAUCUGGGGCCUGUUCGAGGAACCGCUGUACCCGUACAUGCUGCUCUCGUUCGACGUCAACAGGGUGGAAGUGCGAGAGGGCGGGUAUCACGUCCCGGCGGGGAAACUGUUCGGCGAGAUGAGGUGCGUUCUAUACACUGGUUCCCAUACGACCGCGUCGGCGUGGUGAACGCCGAUCCUUAAGGACUUUUCCCGGCGUGUCUCUCCGCCCAGGGUCCCUCGCUUUCAAUCCCCGCCCGCGUUGCCUUUCAACUCCACCUGACGCCUUUGAACUCCACCCCGACGUUCGCUUGUAUGGAACGACCCUGAGACACGCGCGCGGGAGCAAGAGCGGGCACGUCCUGAGCGACGGGCGGCUGUCGUUCAAGGUCACGAAGACGUACCAGGCGGAUCUCGUGGGGUUGUCGAAGGUGAGCGUGGGGGAGCCCACGGAGUGCGGGCGCGUGCGUUUGGAUUGCGUCGAGACGUUUUGAGCCGCCGCGUGACCCGCCUGUUUUCUCGUCCUCUCGACGUCGAACGCCGUCGUUCGCGAUGACAAUAUGACUCGACGUAAUUUAAUAAUUCGUAGCUAUCUAAUUUCUUCAUCGCGCGCGGCGCGACGACGAUCGUCGCGGCUCUCCCGACCGGACGCGUCCGUCCGUCUCGUCCGCCCGUCCCGUUCGUCCGUCACAACUCCGACCCGCCUCCGGCCCAGGUCAUCGCCGCGCUCGCGUUCUCCCCCACGGCGCCCACGACGUCCACGACCACGGACGCGAUGUUCCCCACGACGUCCCCCAGCGCGGGCUGGUCGUACAUGAGCCACAUGAUGUACGACGCGCCGGAGACGCCGCCGACGUGCCAGAGCGUGUGCCAGAGCACGAAUUUUCCCCAGUCGGCAGCGAGGACCGCGCGCUUGGAGAGAUACAGACAGAACAGCGGCGGGAGCGCGAGCGCGGCGUGCCAGAACGACAGGCGGUCGUGCGCGAACCACAUCAUCCCGAGCUGCGUCGCGUCGGGCGAGGGCGAGGGCGAGGGCGAGGGAGGUCAGCGAUCGGCGCGCGCGCGAGGGCGAGGGAGGUCAGCGAUCGGUCGAUCGGCGCGCGCGAGACGACCGGACGAAAACGCGAGACGAACGAGCUGAGAGGGCGAACGAAGCGCCGGAGGGAAGCGACCGCGGUCGUCGCGACGGGACCGCUCGCGCGGACGGGCGCGCACCGUCAUGAUCGUCGCCAUCCAUCGGUCCGCGCCGUGCCACGCGGAGUCCAUCCCGCACGUCCAGUAGUCUGACAUGAACGACACCACGCCCUGUAUCCAGAACGCGAGGUAUAUCCACCCCUUCAUCGCGCCGGUCGCGAACACGCCGGGAAGGAAGAAGAAGAUGCCGCUGCCGCCGGCGAGGAUCGACCGCCGCGGGCCCCACGGCAUGGACGUCUUCGAGAAGUUGUGCGUCAUGUUGAGCAUGUGCGACGACGCGGUGCGCGAGAGCGGCAUCGUGGCGUGCGCGCGCGCGCGCGCGGCGGCUGUGACCGAUCAGACUCCGUCGCGGCGGGUCGUCGGGCGACGCGCGUUCGUCCGACGCUUCCCCGAGCGACCAAUCAUCGAUCGCGAUCUUUCAACUUUUGUCUAGCCUCUCGCCUAACGCGGUCUACUAGCUAGACCGGCGCCUCCACCUCUUGUCGCCGCGAACGCGCGCGCGCGUCAGUCGAACACCUUGCACUCGUCCGCGCUCGGGUCGUCCUCGCAGAGCGCGUCGAACGCGGCGUCGUACGCCGCCUCGCCGCCCGUCGACCCCGACCCCGCCGCCGCCGCCGCGUUCGCGUUCGCCGCGCGCGUCGUGUCGUACCGCGCCUCCUCCGCGUAGUACGCGUUAAACCCGAUCACGUCCUUGAUCUCCUCGAACGUCCCGAGCGUGCUCUCGUCCGGGUACCCCUCGUCGCGGAUCGUCCGCAGCGUGUUCUCCAUCGCGCGCGUGGACGCCAUGAGCAGCGACAGCGGGUACGCGACGACUUUGAACCCCAUGUCUCGGAGCUCGUCGGGCGAGCAUAUCGGCGUCGCGCCGCCGCCCUCGAGCAUGUUGGCCAUCUUAGGCACGCCUGGGGCGAUCUUACAGAACGCCUCCAUCUCCUCGCGCGAUCGCAGCGCAUCUGUUUGGUUUGUUAGGUGGUGGGUCAGGAUUUAGGGUUUAGGACGGUCGCGGUCGGGGCGGUUCGGGGAGAAGUCGACCUGACUGCCGUGAGAGAGAGAACCGAAACCAAAACGACCGAUGUUCAUAGGACGUCCGCGCGCGCACCGCACCUAUGAACAACGCGUCCGCGCCCGCGUCCGCGAACGCGGCGACGCGCCACAGCGCCUCUUCUAAACUCUCCGCGCUUCGACUGUCCGACCGAGCGAAGAUCACGAUGUCCCCGUUCGGCCCCUCGUCGCGUUCGUCGCACGCGGCUCUGACGCGCGCGACGGCGUCGGCGCGCGGGAUGACUCUCCGAUUCCGCGUGUGCCCGCACGCUUUCGGCGCGACCUGGUCCUCCAUGAGCAGCCCUGCGAACCCGGCGGCGGCGUACCCGCGCGUCGUCCUCUUCGCGUUCAUCGCGUUCCCGUACCCGUCGUCCGCGUCGCCGAUGAACGGGAACCCGGGCGACACGGCUGAGGGUCGAGGGUCCGUACGAGCGAACGUCGGGGUGGAGUUGAAAGGCGUCAGAAGCGGAGUUGAAAGGCGUCGAGGUGUGUCGGGAUUGAAACCAGCGAGGGACCCUGGGCGGAGAGAUGGAUGCGCCGGGAGAGAAAGUCCUUAAGGAUCGGCGUUCACCACGCCGACGCGGUCGUACGGGGACCAGUGUGAGAUGGUAGAACGCGCCUUCGCACACCGUCCUCCCGACGUCCGCCAUCUCGCCGUACGAGAUGAGUCCCGCGUCGGGCAUCGCCAGGCGCGCCGCGGAGACGCAGAAGCCGGACAUGAACCCGGCUUUGAACCCCGCGCGCUCGAUGAGCGACGCGGAGAGCGCGUCGUGCGCGCACGGGGUCUGGACGAUGUCCGGGCCCGCGAGGAGCUCGCGCAGGCGCGUCGCCGCGGGGUUUCGAUCUCGUCGUCGGCUCGAAAUCUCAUCGCUCGACGACGAGGACGCGGACGCGAUGCGCGCGACGCGGCGCGAGACGCGGCGCGCGGCGGUGGACCCGAGAGACGCCGCGCGCGAUGCGCGCGCGGGCGAGGGGAUUGGCACGAGGAGGGAGGGCAUGUAUCGCGACGGGAGCGUCCGCGCGCGGCGAGACGUGUCGUCGCGCGCGGAGGUCGGCACGCACGCGGGUUUGUUUUUACGUUCUGUUCGCAUUGGCGAUAUCCGGUUCCGAGGAAACAGUGCAUCGUCGCCCGCCGCCAGUGCGCCGCGCGCGGGAGGCUCGUUCGCGCGGACGCGCACGAUGCCCCCCGCGCCCAUCGCCGCGCCCAACGCCGCCGCGCCGGUCGCGCCGCGCGUCCCCGGUCGUCACCCCGCGCGGAGAGAGACGCGAGUCGCGAGUCGUCCUCCUCCUCCUCGUCAUCAUCACCGUCAUCUUCAUCAUAAUCAUCACCGACGACGACGACGCUCCGUCGUCGCGACCGCGGCCCCCGCGGACGCGAAGGCGCUGAUGGACGUCGCCGGCGGCGUCCUCGGUGGCGGCGAAUCCCGCCGCCUUCGCUUCGAGGUCGCGAUGAACAACCUCGACGCGGAGACGCACGGCGCGUACGGCGAGUUCCCGCUGACCGGGCUCCUGAGCGUCCUCGAGCACCCCGCCGUCGCCGCCGCGCUCGAGAGCGAGGGGUCGUCGUCGUGUUCGGACGACGACGGUUCGCGUUCCGUUGGGGGAUCAUCAUCGGAAGACGAAUCGUCGUCGGAAUCAUCGAGGAGCGCGUUUCGAGACGCGCUCGCGAUCGCGAACGACCCGUCGCGCGCGGAGCCCGUCCUCGUCGACGUCGGCUCUGGCGCCGGAAGGCUUCUGUUGGCGGCGGCGACGAUGAGGUGCGUUCUAUAGCCCUACACUGGUCCCCAUACGACCGCGUUGGCGUGGUGAACGCCGUUCCUUAAGGACUUUUCCCGGCGUUCGUCUCUCUCCGCCCACCCCUCGCUCACAAUCCCGACGCACCUCGACGCCUUUCAACUCCGCUUCUGACGCCUUUCAACUCCACCCCGACGUUCGCUCGUAUGGAACGACCCUCAGGCCGUGGCGACGCGUCGUCGGCGUGGAAGCCUCGAAACCGCUCGCGGACCUCGGCGCGGCGGCGAUACGCAGGCUCGAGGCCGCGGGCGUGCUCAGAGAGGGCGUCGCCGCGUCGACGCACGCGGACGCGUGCUUGGGCGCGGGAGGAGGCGGUCGCAUGGGGACCGGCGCGACGUCGCCGGCGGACGCGGCGGUUUUCGCGGCUGCGAUCGACGCCGCCGCCGCGGAUCUCUCCUCCGCGACGCUCGCGCUGGCGUACUCGACCGCGUUCCCGUCCGAGGACGGUCUGCGGCUGCCGGAACUCUCUGCCGCGCUGAGCGCGGUGAUGCGGCGCGGCGCCGUAGCGGUGACGACGGACAAGUGGCUAGUCGGAGAGCGAUUCGCGUACAAGGGGAUGUUGAAGGUGAUCGGCGAGGAGGGCCCCGAGGACGUGAUCCGGGCGUUCGUGUGGAGGCUGAAGGGCGACGCGCCGGGGAUCGGGGAGGAUGGAAAAACGUUCACCGGGGAUGCGUUACGUGACGUCGUCGCGAACGAGAUGAAGCGCGUGGAGCUCGAAUGGAUGGACGACGAGGACGCGUGUUCGCAAAACCCUGAGGCGUGCGGCGACCUUCUGCUGUCGCUGGAAGAGCAACUCGGACCGGGCGAAGACGACGACGGCGCCGACGCCGUGGAAGUGUUGGGAUAGGAGGGGGAGGGGGGGUACUGUAUCCCACCCGAUCGCGCUGAGAUAGUGUACCAAACGAAGCUCGUCUCGUUUCGUUUCGUUCGUCGUCGUCAGUAUUCAUGUACAGCUACGUAGUACUCUUCGACGCGUCACAGCGGCGCGUUUCGCCGCCGACGCCCGCCCGGCUCGAUGUCCAGAUACCGCCGCCUCGCCUCCACCCCCGCGGCGUCGUCCACGGGCGAGUGCGAGCCGCCGCCGCCGCCGCCGCCCGCGGCGGCCAGCCUCGCGCUCCUCGCUUCCCGCCUCGACGCCGCGACGACGUCGGCGGCGCCGCCGUCGCCGUUUAACGGCGCGUCCUCGAUGCUCUCCACCUCGUGCGACAACGCCGUUCUCGACCGCGGCGCGACGGCUCCGGACCCGUCGCCGUCCGUCCCCGCCGCGGGAUGGCGCGCGGCGCGGCGCUCGCUCAGCAAACUCGAUCCGGUCGAGACGACGCCGCCGCCGCGACGGUCUCUGCGCGACGUCCGCGGCGCGGUGACGUCUGCGUCGUCGGCGUCGAGCGCCGCGGACCGCCGCGCGCGUCGCGUCGUCGUCGUCGCCGCCGCCGCCGCCGCGCCUCCGUUCUCCACGUCGUUCCAGCUUCCGCGCUCCUCGGGGUACCCCGACGCGGCGGCGGUCCGGCUCGCGCGCUCCGGACGCGUGUACGACGCUCGCACCGCCGCCGCGCGUUCGCUUCGCCGCGCGUCUCGGUCCGGCGACUCCACCGCGUCGGCGACGUCUCGCGGGUCCGUCGGGAGGUUCCGACGGAGCGAUUGCAGCCCGAGCGACGCCGCGACGCCCGCCUUCCCGAAGCCUCGGAAGCCUCGGGACCCGGGCGACGCGUUCUCGUCGUCGUACUCGUCGUCGUCGUCCGAGAGCUUUUCGCCGCCUUUCCCGCGCGCGUUCUGCUCGAACCGACGCGCGCGCCGUUCGAGCUCCUUCCCGGGCGUCGGCGCCUGCGUGGGUGAAGCGAUCGGUCAGUCGAACGUCUUACCGGUCAAACGUUGGAGGGGAAGCGCGGGUGAAGAGUGACGACGGGAAAAGUCCUCAAGGAACGACGUGCACCACGCGAACAGGGUCGUAUGGGAAGCAGUCUCACCCCCGCGGACGCCUUGGACACGCCGUCGGGCCCGUCCAUCCCUUUGGUCACGAGCAUGAGUUGCGCGUGGACGCUGCCCAUGCCCACGGUGAUCGCGCUCGAGGCGAACAGGUCGUCGCGCGACAGAAGCGCGUCCUUCCACCCCUCCAGCUCCGGGCGCGCGUUGGCGAAGAACUCCGCGACGCCCUCCUGUAGGCGCGCGUUUCGAUCGUUCGCGCGCCAGCAGUGGCACUCGAGCUCGUGCAUCCCGGGGGAGAGCGGGAGGUUCUUGAGGGUCGUUUUAUACGAGCGAUGAUAUCGGGGUGGAGUUCAUAGGCGUCAGAAGCGGAGUUGAAAGGCAUCGAGGUGUGUCGGGAUUGAAACCAUCGAGGGUUGGACGGAGAGAUGCGCCGGGAAAAGUCCUUAAGGAUCGGCGUUCACCACGCCGACGCGGUCGUAUGGGGACCAGUGUACAGAACGCACCUUGAUGCCGUACGCCGCGAAGACGUCCACGCCGCUCCACGCGUCGCGCUCGUACACCGCGAACACGAGCUUCGGCCAGCCCUGCGCGCGUCGUCGUCGGGAGGCGGGGGCGUCGAACGAGGAUGUCAGCGAGCGCGGACGAGGGAGGGAGGGAGGGAGGGACGACGACGCUGACAUCGGAAUAAAAGUAAGCCGUUGGCUCGGUUCGCCCGCGUCCUCCGGUCGACCGGACGCGCGCGACCGACGCGACGCGACGCGACGCGACGAGCGGACGCGCCUGCGCGCUCGUCGUCUUGAACGAGAGCUGUAUCGGGUGCGCCCACGUCGCGAGCUCGCCGCCGGCCCAGCACGCCUUCGCGGCCUGCGUCGCCCCGGACUUGUCCCCUCGCGUCAGCGUCCAUCGCUCGCCGUGCACGACCGCCCACUUGCACCACACGGAUCCCCCGCGCGUGCUCUUUUCGAAUCCGGUCGCGCCCGUGAUCUCGCCGACGACGACGACCUCCGCGGGGUCGCGGUCGUGCGCGGCGCGCGAUCGGCGGACGAUGGAGCCGGGGGUGCGGCCCGCGCGCUCGGGCGGCGCGGGCGAGCGCGUCGCGGGCGGCGGCGACGUGGCCAUCGCGCGCGUCGGUCUUUGCGCAGGGCAGCCGUUGGAAACGACCUUUUUUUGCCGGGCUCUUUUCAUCGGUUGAAAAGUGCGUUCUGUGCACGAUUUUCACCCGUCCCUGGUUUCAACACUUGAUCGCACCUCCUUUCAACUCACCGAUGAAUCUGUUUUGAGCUGAGUCAGGUUUUCAUCGAUCGCGAAGGGGCGCGUCUCAUUCACAUUCGAUGGGCUGCGGCGCGUCCUCGAGCGCGGGCGCGGGGAUCCCCGGCCCGGGCUCCCCGAGCACGUCAGGGAGCGCGGUCGGCGACGCGGACGCGCUCAAGACCUGGCGCGCGUCCUCGCCCGCGCUGCAGUCGCUCUGGCCGCUCGAUGUGCCAAUCUCGGGCUGGGAAGGUGUCACGCUCGACGCGAGGGAUCGAGUGAUAAAAGUCGUUCUCGACGAGAGAGGGUUGUCCGGCGCGGUGCCCGCGUGCGUCGGAAAGCUCGGCGCGCUGAGGGAGCUGGACGUGAGCUACAACGCGCUGACGUCCGUGCCGGAGACGCUGGGGAGGCUAUCGCACCUGCGAUCGCUCACGCUCAGCAACAACCACCUCACGUCCGUGCCGAAAGCGGUCGGGAACUUGUUGCAGCUCGAGCGGCUUGAGCUCUACUUCAAUCGGCUCACGUCGCUGCCCGCGGACCUGGGGAAGCUGCGGAAGCUGAAGCGGCUGGACAUCAAGCGGAACCCGCUGAAGAGCAUCCCGGCGGCGGUGCGGCAGCUCGAGGACGUGGGCGUGUACAUGUGCGUCGACGACGACGUCGCGACCGCGUGAGGGGAUGGUGGAUCGGGGAUCGGGGAUGCGUUCGCAUUCGCAUUCGUCGUCCACUUUUGGGUGUCGUCGUCCUCGGUCCGAACGCGCGGAACGUAACGGAACGGAACGGAACGCGCGCGGCGGGAGGUGUUUAGUCUUAGAAUCAAUCUCGCGUCGUCGCAUCGCGCGACUCGGUCGCUCGCCGCGCCGCUAUCGCUCUCUUCUCUCGCGCCCCGACUUCUUAUGAUAACGCGCCUCUUCGGUUCCGGUCAACCGUCGUCCGAUCGAAUCGAAUCUCGACGCGACGUCGGUCACUUUCUGCUUCGCGUCGAGCGCUUCCCCGUCCCCGGGCUCGGCUCGCUCACGGACGCGUUCCUCGCCCGCUUCACCCCCGCCGCCCUAUCCCUCCCGCCGAGCGCCGUCGGGGACGGGACGUCGACGUCGCCGCCGCCCAAACCCGGCAGCGCGAACGACCCGCCGCCGUCCGCCAGCUUGGUCGUCUCCUUCUCUUCUUCUCUCUUCGCCGCGUCCGCGCGCACCGCCGCCGCCGCCGCCGCGGCUUCCGUCGCCUUCUCGUUCCCCCCGCCGUCCCCGCGGCCGGACAGGUUGAUACCGUCCGGGCCUCGCAUGAGGAGCGACGUCAGCGGCCCGGGGCUCGGGCUCGCGCCCGACGCGUCGCCGACGCCGACGCCGCGCGCCGCAGCCACCUCGAUCGUCUUCGACGUAUUCUCCGGGAUGUCGAUCCGCAAGUCGCCCUUCUUCCCGUUCCCGUUCCCGUUCCCGUUCCCGUUCCCGACCGUCCCGCCGCCGGCGCUCGCGGAACUCUUCAACACGGCGUGCUUCGCGUUGAGCGAGUUGUUUAGGAUCCCCGCGGCGAGGCCGCCGCCGCCGCCGCCGCCGCCGCCGCCGCCGGACGCCGCGGGAAACUCCAGGCUCGCGCCGAGAUCCGCCUGCAGCGCGCCGGGAGAGAUGAGCCCGCCGAACGACAGCCCCGUCGGCGUGACGCCAGACAUCCCCAACCCGCCGAACAGCGACCCCAUCCCACCAUUCGGGGACUUCCCGCCGGAACUGAACAGCCCGGACGUGUUCAGCGCCGACCCGGGGUGAUCCUUCCCGCCGGAUGAUUUCCCGAGCGCGUCCGUCGCCGACUGCAGGGCCGUUCCAUACAAGCGAAUGUCGGGGUGGAGUUCAAAGGCGUCAGGUGGAGUUGAAAGGCGUCGCGGGCGGGGAUUGAAAGCGAGGGGUGGGCGGAGAGAAACGCCAGGAAAAGUCCUUAAGGAACGGCGUUCACCACGACAACGCGGUCGUAUGGGGACCAGUGUAUAGAACGCGCCUGCAGGUGCUCGAGAAACUUUCUCGACGCGCCGCCGCCGCCGCCGCCGCCGAGCGAGUCGUUGCCCCACGACGGCGCCCUGCCUUCCGAUGUGGGCGUCAGCGACGCGACGCCGUCGACGGCGUCGAGCUCGUCCUCGUCCAUCUCCGCCUCCGCGGCGGCGGCGGCGGCGGCGGCGGCGGCGGCGGCGGCGCGUUUCGCCGCGAGCCUCGCGGCGACCGCCUUUGCGUUUUUUCCCCCCGCGACUUUCGCGCUCCGCGGCUUGGUCGGCGUGAGCACCUUCCCGCCGCCGUUUCCGCCGGACGUGUGCUUCCCGUUGGCGCCGUUCUUCAGCGUCUUCGCGGCGCCGCGCGCGGUCGGCUCGUCGUCGUCGUCGUCGCUGGUAUCGGCUCCGAAUUCGUCCUCGGAGUCCACGGUGUUUGGGUUUUUAGACCCCGCCGACGCGGGCUGGUUCUUGAAGUGUUGGUUGAACAGCUGAUGACGCGAGAGGGAGAUCGGGGGGGGGAGGGCGGAAACGGUUAGAUGUGAUGCGUUAUAGAGGGUGUACGCGUCGCGAGGGAGGGCAAUCCGACCGCGAGAGGGGAAGAGAACGCGUCGGUGAAGACGGAAAAAGGACCGAAAGAAAACGACGACGAAAAGUCAACGCCCGCGCGGGCGUUCGCGCGCUCACGCACGUCUUUGUUGUUGCGUCGCUCGUGCGGCCCCACGGUGUCGUUCUUGAACCGCGUCAGGACGUGGUUGAUAUCCCCGCUGCUGUACUGGAACAGCUUGUUGUUGCUGUUGAAAAUCACGAGCGCGAUCUGGCAGUCGCACAAGACGCUCAGUUCCAUCGCCUUCUUCAUGAGGCCGUUCUUUCGCUUCGUGAACGUGACCUGCACGCGCGCGCGAGGGUAGAAGAUGGAUGGAUUUUCGCGCGGGGGGACGGGGCGGGGACGGCGUCAGCGUCGCGCGUCGUCGCGGUGGCGUCGCGGUGGCGUCGCGGUGGCGUCGCGCGGGGGGAGGACGCGAUGCGCCGCGAGGGACGCGGCGGCGACGGCGACGCGCGCCUUCGUCGGCGCGACGCCGCGGGUGGGUUGACCGAGGAAAAGAAGCGUCGUUCGAUCGCGGUCGGGGGAUGAUGAUGUUGACCGGCGCGGGGGGGGCGCGGGGACGGACCUGGCGGUUCCUCUCGUCCGCGAUGCGCUCGAUUCGGAUCUUCUUGCGCCCCACUGCGGCGGCGACGGGUCGAUAGGGGGUGGGAUCGCGCGUCAGCGGAGGGAAGACGAGGGGGCGAGGCCGCGGGGGUGGGAGCGACCGUCUAUCGAGCAUCCGUCUCGCCGUCCAGCCGGGCGGAUACCGCGCGCGAUGAAAUGCGUGCGAGACGCGCGAGAGCGUCGACCGCGCGACGGGGGCGAGGACGCACUCGCUGUGGACUUCACCGGCGGCGACGGGGUCACAUCGGUGUUUUUAGGGGGUUUGCUCUUCGGCGGACCCAUCUUGGGAAGGUCGUGUCGCGUGCGACCGGUGCGAGGUGCGACCGCGAAUAAUGCCCCGGUUGUUGUUUUUCGUGUGUCAGCGCGUCGGAACGUGCUGCGUGGAAAAUAUCCGUGGGUGGGUGGGCUGUGUGGCUCGAUCGCGGUCGAAUCGAGAUUUCCGAAACCAGAAAAUGUUUUUUACGGUUUGAAAAUAAAUGUUUCACCGGUAAUUGAACGGGUCGAGCCCUCAGGUCUCCUCCCUGAGACUAUCUUCUCGGUCCUCUCUCCUCGGUCGACGCGCGGCACAACGAGCGCGCGCGUCGCUCGCGCUCGCACCCCCGCACCGGCUCGCGCGGCGCUCGAUCGUCGCGCGCGCGAGCGCGCGAUCGAUCGAUCGAUCGAUCGAUCGAUCGACAGACGCGAGCGAUCGGUCGACGACUGGAUGACGGACCCCGAGGAGAGCUCCGCGGAGAACGUCGACGCCUUCUUCACGUCCUACCGCGAGGCGAAGCAACCCGGCGGCGGCGAGACGAAGUUCAAGUACUACCUCCUCGGCGGCGACGACGGCGGAGAGACGCUCGCGGCGGUGUGCGAGGACUCGCCCGGAGCGGGAGGAGGCGGCGGCGGCGGCGGCGGCGGAGGACCGACGUACCGUAACGCGAAAAACUUCUCGAAGAAUCACGGAACGAUCUCGACGACGGACCGCCGCGAGCUCAUCGCGUGGCUGGACGGGAUCGUCGCCGAGGGCAUCGCGCGCGCGUCCGUCGCCGGCGGCGUCACCCCGACGAUCGUCGCGGCGGGUAUGGCGGCGAAUCGCGCGAGCGACGCGUCGGGGGCGGGCUUAUCGCGCGGCGGCGGUCAGCUUCCCAAAUUCGUGACGCACUCGCAAGAAAAGUUCGUCUUCCCGGACGGCCGACGCGGCAUCAACUUCUACCUCGUCGACCGCGCCUCCGUCGCGUCGCUCGCGGUCACGGGCGAAGAGCGCGACACGAGGGACGGGCACUACUCGUACCACAAGGUUUCCUCGUUCGAUAUCGGCCCACCGUUGACGUGCGGGAACCUCGUCGGCGUGCAUCGAUGGCUCGCGGCGAUGUGCGGCGGCGUCGGCGCCGCCGCGACCGCCGCGGGCGCCGCGCUGAGUUUCGGGAAGCACCCGCCGAAGCAUAAACCCGGCGGAUCCCAGGGCGGGAGCAAGUUCCACGCGCAGAGGGUCGCGCGGCUCGAGGCGGCGCGGGACGUCUCGAACGCGCUCGGGAAGCGAAGGCGAGCGGCGGAUUACUUCGCGAGCGAGCACACCGGCGACGACGUCGAUCCGCCGACGCGAUCGACGCGGCGAGGUGCGUUCUGUACACUGGUCCCCAUACGACCGCGUCGGCGUGGUGGACGCCGAUCCUUAAGGACUUUUCCCGGCGUGUCUCUCCGCCCACGCCUCGCUUUCAAUCUCCGCCCGCGUUGCCUUUCAACUCUAACUGACCCCUUUCAACUCCACCCCGACAUACGCUCGAUUCUUCCCGACGACGCUAGAGGAGAGAGAGGCGCGGUGGACGCUCGCGCGGACGCGCGCGCUCGCGUUCGUGCGGGAGGGCAUGAGAGCGGACGUCGAGGACGCGAUGUCGCGGAUCGAGGCGGUUCUGGACGACGUGAUAGAAACGCUCGCGGCGCGGCAGAAGAGCCAUCACGGCGGGUCGACGAGCAAAAAAGAAAAGGCGACGGCGUCGGAGACGCGAAGAGGCGCGACGAUCGCCGCCGUCGACGCGCUGAAAGAGUUACACGCGACGCACGUCUCGCUCGCGGUGCUGGACGGGACCAACGUGCGCGAGCGCGUGAUGGCGACGCGCGACGCGUGCGACGACGACGAUGAGACCGGGACCGUGCGCAAGCUGUGCGAAUCGCUUAUCGCGCAGUGGCGCGGCGCGUUGCGGUCGCACGUUGGGACGCUCGCGGCGAGGUACGAGCGUCCGCCGCCGCCGCCGGCGCCGUUUUUCGGAGGCGGCGGCGGCGGCGUCGGGAAAACGGGAAAGCAGCGGCCCGUGUACGACGCCGCGUACGUCGCCGCGCGGAGGAACGAGCCGGAGCUGAGGGCGACGCGAGGGAAGAGCGGAUUCGCGAAAGCCGCCGCCGACGCCGCCGCGGGCGGGCUCGACGCCGGCGGCGGCGCGGCGGCGUCCGCGCCGGCGUCCGCGCCGAAGCCGCCGAAGCCGCCGCCCAAGGCGACGAAGAAGUCGUCGUCGACGACGAACGCCGCCGCGGGCGCGUCGCUGCCGCACAAUCCGGGGCCCGGGGGCGCGCCGCCGAAGCCGAAGCCGAAGUCGCACAAGAAGGGCGCGGGCGCGACGUUCCACGCGCACAACCCGGGCACGCCGUUGGGGAAAGGACGCAAGCUGUGCCAAGAGUGCCACGGCGUCGUGGGGUCGCCGACGCGCAUCUGUCCGCACUGCAACGCGAGCUUGCCGUUCAAGCAGUCAGGGGCGUCGCCGAAGGCGAAGGCGGCGGCGGCGGCGGCGGCGGCGGCGGCGGCGGCGGGCGCGGCCAUCGCGGCGGCGCAGGGCGGCGGCGGCGGCGGCGGGGGAUCGGGAUCGGAAGGCGGCCCGCCCGUCGCCGUCGUCGCCGCCGCCGCCGCGGAGGAGAUCCUCGCGACGUCCGCGGCCGCGUUCUUGUCCCGGCACCAGUCCCGACUCGCGAGUUGUAAGGUAUCGCAGCUCAGACGGACGGUCGCGGAGGUGUGCGCGGGGGUGAACGCGGUGCUCGACGCGGGGAGGCUGACGGAUCCGAUCGCGGCGAAGCACCUGAGGGAGUUGACGAAGAAAAUUUCCGACGUGAAGAUGUUGCAGGGCGUCGUGGAGAAGCCGAAGGCGCGGAACCAGGUCGCCGCCGCGAUCGAGGCCGCGGUGAAGACGUGCCAGCGGCAGGGCGUGUGAUCGAAGCCGACGGACGGACGAACGACGCGUCGGUUCGUGUGUGACCGACGAACGAGCGACGCCAUACGUACGGUAUUCGCACGAAACGUCAUGACAUCUUAAUUAAAAACGAACCCAGCCUACUCGCCUCCUCACCGCGCGACGACGGGCGCGGCGCCCGCGGCGAGCGACGCGGAGUCGUGCACGGGAAACGACCCCUUCAUCUUCGCGAUCCACGGCGCGAGGUCUCUCCGUCGCACGCCGAUGACGUACGUCCUCGGGUCCUCGAUCGUCUCGCACGGCAGCGACGCCGCGCGCAACACGCUCUCCACGGCGAUCAUUCUACGCUGCGCGUUGCCCUUCGUACCCGGGCCCGCGCCGAUGAACACCCCGCUCGGGAGUUCGCUCUCGUCCACGACGUCCAUCCCGGCGAAGCCCUCCAGGAGGACCAGCGUCGCGACGAUCGCCUCCGAGCGCGUCAUGUGCGUGAAACUGACGCGCAACGCGUCGCCGCCGCCGCCGCCGCCGCCGCUCGAGGACGACGCGUCGACGCUCGCGGACGGCUCGUCGUACACCCCGGCGUGGACGCCGUCGCGGUAGACCGCGCGCGCGGCGGCCGCGCGCUCGCCGUGAAUGAACGCGUCGCCGCCGCCCUCCUCCAGCGCGACGCUCGCGAUCGCGGCUUCCGCGCCGCCCGGAGACAACACCGCGUCGAACGUCAACGAGUACGAGUCGCGGUUCGGUCCGUACCCCAGCGCGCACUCGGGCGCGCUGGGGUCGCCGCCCGCCGAAAUCUUCUCCGCGUCCGCGUCGACGACGACGCCCCGCCCCUCCCUCCCGCCGCCCUCGCACGGCGCGCCGGACUCCACGAGCGCGCGGUACUGCGCGAGCGCUUCUCUCCACUUGUCGCACCUCCCCAGCAGCGUGAUUGUCGCGUGGCGCGUGACGCGGUUGUGUCCGACUCCCGCGGCGGUCAUCUCGCGGAGGAUCGUCUCGCCGGCGUCGUAAUCCCCCGCAGACGCGCACGCGGCGAGCAGCGAGCCGUACGUGUACUCGUCCGGCUCGACGUCGUCUCGCGCCUUGAUCUCAGCGAAGAGUUUCAUCGCCGUCGCGAGUCCGUCGACGGCUUUUUUGGACCCGCCCUUAUUGCUUCCGCGCGCCGCGUGUAUCAAACGGUUGUACGUGGUCAACGUCACCUCCACGCCGCCGUCGCGCAUCGCCUCGAACGCGUCGAACGCGUACGACGGCUCACCCGCCUUGACCGCGGCGUCGAUGAGCAGCGCGAACGUCCGGCGGUUCGGCACGACGCCCAACCCGCCGUCGCCCGUCAUGGCGUAAAAAAUUUCAAACGCCUGCUCAACCCGCGGCUGCGGCGCGCUCGCGCACGCCUCGAGAAGCGAGUUGCACGUGCUCUUCCUCGGCUCGAACCCGUCCCUCCGCAUCGCUCCGAACACGUCCAGCGCGACGUCCACGAGCCCCCCCGCCGCGACCGCGUGCAGCGCGGUCUCGUACGUCUCCCUCGACGGCGAGACGCCCGUCGCGACCAUCUCUUCAAACGUCCGCGCGACCAAAUCGGGCUGCUUCGCGCGUCCCGCGGCGAGCAGCAGCGCGUUGAACGCCGCGGGCGGCGGCUCCACGCCCGUCGACAGCAUCUCCUCGAACACCUUGCACGUGCGGAUCAGCCUGUGCUUCGACCCUUUCUUUUUCCCGACGUCGUUAUCCGCGAGCGCGCGCAGCAGACUCGUGUACAUUUUCGCGCCGACAGGCACGCCCUCCGCGAGCAUGUCCUCCUUCAUUCUCAUCGCGUCCGCGACGCGUUUCCCUCGGAUCGCGCACUCGAACGCGAGGUCGUACGUCCGGCGGUUCACCUUCACGUCGUUCAACCUCAUGGCGUCGUACACCUCCACCGCUCGCGCGGGCCCGACCGCGGCGACGUUGCGGCACACGAGCAUCACCGCGAAGUACGUGCUCUCCGCCGGCGCGACGCCUGCGGCGGUCAUCUCGCGCACGACGGCGAGGACGUCGUCCAUGGACUUGCACCGCCGCACGACGUCGUUGCAUCGCCCGACGACCUCCGCGGAGUUGAUCGGGUCGGUCGCGUCGUCGGACGCGAUGGAUUUCACCGCGAGCGGGUCGCACAGAAAGGCGAGCUCGGGGUGCCCGCCGAGCGUCGCCGGCGGCGGCGGCGAUUUCGAUUUCGCCGCGGGGAAUAGAUUUGAGACGUCGCCGUCGUCGAUCGUGCCCUUGAACGUCGCGGUCGCGGCGGCGGCGCUCUCGCCCGGCCGCGAUGACGACGCGAACGACGCGACGGCGUCGUCGUCCACGGAUAACAGGGCGGCGGAGAGGUCGCCGUCGUCGAUCGUGCCUUUGAACGUCGCGGAGAUUGGGCCCCCCGCGUCGACGAAGGACAUCUCGCGCGCGAGCGCGCCCGCGCUCGCGAAGAUCUCCAUCGCGUCGAUCUCGUCGUCGAGGUCGAUCGUGCCCAUGAACUUCGCGGCGGCGGCGCCGGAGACGAUGGGCUCGUCCGCGGCUCGCGCGAUGCGCGACGACGACGACGACGACGACGACGCGCGGUUCUUCGCUCUCGGUUUUCGGUUGCGACCGCGGUUGCGGUCGCCGCGGUCGUCGUCGCGCUUCUUCGCGGCGCGCGGCUCGGAGGAGGGCGCGGGCGCGUUCUCCGACGUCGUCGUCGGCGCGUCGUUCGCGUCCGCGCGCGCGAGGACGACGCGCGACGCGACGACGCGGCCGCGAGCGCGCGCGGCGUCGCGCGGCGAGAGAUGCGUCGUCGUCGUCGUCGCGCGGGAUAAAGACGCGGACGCGCCCGCGCGCGCGCGCGCGACCGCGCCGCUCGCGGGCGCCGCGGAGGUCGCCAUGACGCGAGGUGUGCGUCGAAGAUGCGGAGGCGACGGGUGGGCGCGCGGAGGGAUUGCGGACGCGCGCGAAGCGACGAAAAGCUGAGAGGCGCUUCGCUCGAGACGUCGCGCGAGACCACGAGUUGCGAGGACGCGAGUGCCGCGUGGUCGGCCACGUCACCGUCGUACGAUCAAAAAGGUUUCACCCAUCCCUCGGUUUUAACAUUUGAUCGCGUCCCCUUUCAACUGACCGAUGAACUUUUUUCGUAGAAUUUGCCCUCGUCUCACAUCAUGGGCCAGCCUAACAACUUACCUCUGCUAUCAUAUGGACUACUUCUUCGUGAACCCCUUACUCUGCCGCGUGAGAUGCCCAGUCCUGUCGUCGUACAUCGUCUUAUCGCGGUUCAAAACCUCGUCCUUCGCGGUCGUCAUUUUCGUGAAAUCCCUCUUCACCUCGUCGUCCUCCAUCCCCUUCACGCCGUUGUACGCGUGCGUGAGAAGGCUCUUCCACGUCCGCGUGUCGCUCUCCUGCGCCUUCCACCCGUCGGCGAGCUUCCCGUCCGACGUCGUCGGCAACGCCAGCAGCGCGGGGACUUGCUUCCGUAUGUCCAGCUUCGCGUCCUCGCGCGUGAGCGACUCCUUGUCCCAGCCGUUGUACCCGGAGUUGAAGUCCAGCGACAGCGACGGGACCGUGGGGUACGACCGCUGCGCGAACGUGAUCAGACGCUUCACCGACUGCAAGUACUUUCGCGUCUCCUCGUCGUGCAUGGCGUGCGCUUGCGACUGCGCGCCGAUCUUCUCGCGCGCGGAGCGCUCGUGGAUGCCGACGGACGUGACACCGAUCGGCCACGGCGCGUUGCCGAUCGCGACGCCGACGUACACGUCCGCAGCCUGGCGGUAGUUCCGCGCCUUCAUCGCUUGGACCAUGAGAAAAAGCGCGCGCUCGAUGUCGCCGGGGAGUUGCCGGCGUUUGAUGCGUUUGAACAACGGCUUCAUGUGGUUCCUGCACAGACGCACGUUCGCGACUUGAAGCUUCGCCUCUUCCGUGUAGAUCCACUCCUCCGGCUUCGCCUCGAGCUCGCGCUCCCACUCCUCGAGGAGGGAUUUGAAGUACGCUCCGACUUGGUCGAUGGGCGCGAGGUCGGCGUCGACGCGACGCUUCGCGACGGCGGCGGCGGCGUUUUUGAACGCCGCGGCGAGCUCCGCGUUCUCUUCCUCCGCGAUCUCCGCCAUCUUGCCUGCGUCGUGAUGAAUGUAGGGUUAGUGUUAGGGUUAGUGUUAGGGUGCGGGUUAGGGUUAGGGUUAGGGUGCGGGUCGCGCGACGACGGUCGACGCCGAAGAGAGAUUCAGAUUCGAAAAGCGACGGAGCGCGUGUCCCUCGCUCACCUUCGUUCGACGCCUUGUUCAGAUCCCGCUCCGCCGCGAGCUUCUUCGCCGCGAGCUCCGCCGCGGCGAUCCCCCUCUGCUUCUGCCGCUUCGCGUACUCCUCCAACGCCCUAAGCUCCGUCUGCUUCUCGUUCGCCUGCUGCCCGCCCGCGUGCUCGUCCUCCACCAUGAUGGCUCGCUGCACGACGUGCAAGCGUCGAAGACGAUCGAGCUCGGACUCGCCGAACAGCGUCGCCGGCUGCCCGAGCGUUCUGAGGCGUCGAAUCGCCUCCGCGACGUCGAGCUGCUCCACGUCCGCGAGGUCGUCGUCGCGUUUGCCGGCCGCGUCGGAGGAGGCCUGUCGCGCGGACGAGGGAGGGAGGGAGGGAGGGAUCGAUCGCGGGGGGGAGGGGGAGGGGGGGCGUUCGUUAGGGUUGGCGGUCGAGCGAACGAACGCGUCGGGCGCGCUACAUCCAGGCGAGAGAACGCCGCGCGCACCUCGGCGGUCUCGCCCCCCGCGGGCGCGUCGCCCUUCUUCGACGUCGUCGUCGCCGCCGCCGCGCCGCUCUUCUCCGCGUCCGCGUCCGCGUCGCCCUCGGAGGACGUCCCCGCGGGCGGCGCGGAUCGGUUCGCGGUCGCGUCGCGCUUCGCGCGCCGCUCCUCCUCCUCCUCCAUCCGCAGCUUCGCCUCGCGCACCGCGGUGAUGUGCGCCUUCUUGACGUACUUCUGCCCGCCGAACUCCUCCGCUUUCGCCUUGCGCUUCCUCUCGAGCUCGGCUUUGAGGAGAUCCAUCCUGGCGGGAGGGACCCUCGGCCGCGCGCGCGGGAGGUGUGGGGAGAUUCAGACGACGAUGAUGCGCUCUGUUUGGAGCUACACGGUAAUGUGUUCAUCGCAUCGGUCGUUCAAAAGGCAUCGCGGUCAACUUUUGAAACCGUGGAGUGGGUGAAAAAAGUCGAUGAACGGCCGCGCGACCCCACUAUAAAAAUCUUCACCUCAAGUCAAUUUCCUGUUCGCCCUUCCCGCGCGAAUCGCCCCUCUCUCUCGCACACCAGCUUCGCGCCCUUCCGCACGCGUCGUGGAAUGCGCAGGAUGUCUACGCUGUGCCAGGUCCUCGGCGCCGCACGCGCGCGCGCGCUGACUUCUCCCGUCGCCUCCUCCGCCGUCCGCGCGCCCUCCGCGCCGCGCGCGAUCGCGACGUCGCGUCGCCACCUCAGAUCGUCGUCGCUCGCCUCGAGAGGCGGCGUGGACGUCGGCUCCGCGUCGGCGUACGGCGCGGGAUUCCCUCCGAUCCCCGCGCCGGGGGUCUCCGUGGGGUCCGCGCGCGGCUCCUCCGCGACGACGAGCGCGUACGACGCGCAGCCGCCGACCGACCUCGGCGGCGGCUUCGGCCCCUCCACGCCGCCCCCGCCCGUCGUCGAGUGGGACGCUCGCUCCGCCAACACGGUCACGCUGAUCGGGAACGCGGGCAUGGACCCGGAGAUCGUCACGUUCGAGAGCGGCAACUGCGUCGCGCGCGUGAACAUCGCCGUCAGAGGGAAGAAACCGAUGGCGGACGACGGGUUCGGUGGGCCCGGGAUGGGCGGCGGCGGCGACGACGAGUCCGACACGCACUGGCUGGAGGUGGAGGCGUGGAACGACGCGGGCCGGCAGCUCGCGGAUCACGUCACGAAAGGGCGGCAGAUCAGGGUCACCGGGCGAAUCAAGACGAACACGUGGGUCGACAAGGCGACGGGGCAGAACCGCAGCAAGGUGAAGAUCAGCGCGAACGAGUUCGCGUUCGUCUCGCCGUACGACCCGUCGCGACAAGGCGGCAGAUCGUCGUCGGAUCCGUACGCCUCGGCGUCGCCGCAGCCGCCGCCCGCGUCGUACGCGAACAACGCCGCGCCCGCCGCGGGGAUGGGAGGAGGCUACGCGGCGUCCGCGUCCGCGCCCGGGCCCGCGUCCGCGUCCGCGGGCGGCGGCGGCGGCGGCGGCGGCGCCAAGGACGACCAGUGGAGGGACCUGAUCGAGAACCCGAACAACUGGUGGGACAACCGCCCGCAGAAGCUCGAACCAGGCGCUAACCCGCGGCGGCCGGAUUUCAAGCACAAGGACGACGGGACGCCGCUGUGGAUCGACUCCUACGACACCCCGCAGUGGGCCGCGGACAAGCUGCUCGGGAACAGCGGCGUCGGCGCCGCCGUCGGCGCGGCCGCGGGCGCGGCGAUGGCGGGCGGCGGCGGCGACGGCUUCGACCCCUACUACGCCGACCCUCCGGCGGGGGGCGACGUCUACUCGCAGCCGUACGACGCGAACCAGGGGGGGUACGAGCCCGCGCGGCAGUUCGCGGACGACGACCCGCCGUUUUAAGGCUGGCUGGCUGGCGCGAGAAGGAAGACGCGGAAGAAGAUGCGAAGACGCUACCCGUACGGUGCCCUACGGGAAGAGAGCGCGGUUUGUUUACGAAAUCAAAUCAUUGUUGACUGUUCGAUCGCCGUCUGAUAUCCGAAGUCGCGCGACGGGCGGGCGCCUACUAUGAACCGCCGCCUCUCCUCGCGUCCUCAUUUCCUCCUUUCCUUUCGCCGCCUCCGCUCCGCUUCUCUUCUCUCCUCUUCUCUCUUCGCCCCCCGCCUCCUUCUCCUUCCGCCCGCCGCGGUCGGUCGGUCGGUCGGUCGGUCCGCGUCCUAAAAGAACCUAUUUCGACUCGGCGCGCACGCCCCGGUGCACCUUGAGCGCCUGGUCGAUGUCCCCUUUCGCGCACCCGGCGUCCGUAAACUUCGCGACCGCGGCGUCCAGAAGCGGCCGCCACGGCUUCUUCAACCGCGCGCACAUCUGCGAGUGCUCGAACAGCGUGUUCCCCCACAUCACCUGCACUUGCGCGCGCAUCGACGGCUCCGGCUCCGGCGGCGGCUCCUCGCCCUCCUUCGGCGCCUGUCCCGCCGCCGCCGCUUUCGCGGCAGCCUCGCGCGCCGCCUUGUCCGCCUCCGCCUUUUUCUUCUCCUCCUCCGUCUUCGCCGGCUCCUCGGGAAGCUUCGCGAGCACCGUCUCGAAGUCCGCGACCGCGGCGAGGAACUCCGCCUCGGCUUCCUUCGCGCGCGCCUCCGCGUCGUGGCCCGAAUCAGAGCCGUUCUAUACGAGCGAAUGUCGGGGUGGAGUUCAAAGGCGUCAGUUGGCGUUGAAAGGCGUCGCGCGCAGGGAUUGAACGCGAGGGGUGCGCGGAGAGAUGCGACGGCGAAAGUCCUUAAGGAUCGGCGUUCACCACGCCAACGGGGUCGUAUGGGGACCAGUGUAGGUACAACAGAACUCGCCUUGACGCCAGCCUCGCCGCUCAACCCCGCGGCGGCGCACAACAGCCGCGCGCGCUCGUACCGACGCUGCGCGAGGGCGAUCUUCGCGUCGUGGAAAUCCGGCUUGACCUUGAGCGCCGCCUCGUACCGUCCCUUCGCGUCGUCCAGGCGCUCGACGACUUCGUCGUAUUUCUCCGCGGAGGCGAUGGCCGCGCCGGGGGGGCCUCCCUCCUCGAGCGGCGGGUCGCGGCCGCCGUCCAUGGCUUUGCGCGCGCCGCACAUGUGGACGUUGCCCCAGUUGAAGAGCGCGAGCGCGGCGGCCUCUUGGAACUUAUCCCCGGCGAUCUUGAGCAUCUCCUCCGCGUCGGCGAGGGAGACGUGCGGCUCGAGCGCUUCGUUGCACUUGUCGAGACCCUGCGCGAGGCGGCGGGGCGAGAAUACGUACGGGGAGUGAGUAACGGUCAGGGAUCGUCCGUUUCGUUUCGGUGGAGGCGGGCGGGCGUUCGCGAAACGAGAGAGAGAGAGAGCAACGAGCAGACAGACGGAAGCAGACGCGCUCGCUCGCGUCUCGUUCUCUCGUCCCGUCCGUCGCGGUGGAGAGGCUCGCGAUAGGAGCGAAAGACAUUUAUCAAACGAUAUUCGUCAUCGUGCGUCUCGGGAGUAGUAGAGUGACUUUCUCGUCAUCGCCUCGGACGCGCGCGACGACGAGAGAACGAGGACGGAACACGGCGCGACUCCAAAACAGAACAGAGCGAAGAACAAAGUACGAAGAGAAAAUGAGAGGACGACGAGAGGAAAGAGAGAGAGAACGACGAGAGAGACGAACGAACUGCCACCGCGCUCGCGCACCUCCGCGUGAAGGUCCAGGUGCGCCUCCGCGUCGAUGCCGAGAUGCUCGCGGAACAGCGCGGCGAAAUCGAGGAUCCACUCGUCAAUCUCCACGACCGCGUCGCCCGCGGCCGCGUCGGUCAUAUCCGCGUCGCCGGUCGCGGCGUCGCCGGUCGCGGUCGCCGGCGCCUCGUCCGCGCCCUGCUCCACGAGCGUCAGCUUCACGCUGGGUAUGCCGUGCAGCGUCGGCUUGGACUUGUCCGCCCUCUCCGCGGCGGCGGCGGCGGCCGCCUGGAAGUCCGCGCGCGACGUCAGCGGCCUCAGCGCGCCGCUCGCGUCCGUGUACUUCACCUCGAACGCGUUCGCGUCCGGGAACUUCCGCGUCAGCGACGUGAUGAGGUCCUUGUGCGAGAUCAUGGACGGGACGAUGACGCUCCGGACGUCGUCGCCGGCGGCGGCUUUCACCGUGAUGGGCGGGCCCCACGCCAUCUGCUGCUGCCGCGCUUUGAUCGCAUUCGCCUGCCGUUGCGCCUCGACCGCGCGCGCGGCGGUCUGCGCCAUGACGCUCUCGGCGGAAUUCGCGCCGCCGGCGUCCUUGCCUUUCUUCUUAGGCUGAAGACCCAAACCGCCGAGGCCCUUCGCCUCCUUUUUGGGCUCGAGCGCGUCCAUCGUCGCCUUCGCGUCGUCGUCGCUCGGGUCCGACGCCAACGCCGCCGCCGCGUCCGCCUUCGCCUUCUUCUGCUGCCCCGUCGCGGCGUACGCCUUCGCGCGGUGCACGAGCGCUGUCGCGUUACCCGGAGAUAUCUUCAGCGCGCGCGUCGUGUCCGCGACGGCGUCGGCGUAGAGCCGGAGGUGGAAGAAGCACGCGCCGCGCGACGCGUGGAGAUCCGCGGCCACCGCGGAUGCGCCGUCGACGAGCUUGAUGCCCUGGUCGUACGCCGCGGCGGCCUCUUUGUACUUGCGCGCGGCGAACAGCUUCGCGCCUUCGUCUGUUUUUUUGGGGCGAGGAGGGAUGUAGAGUGGAAGGGAGGGUCAAGGUCGGGCGAGGGAUGUCGGGAAAAGCGCGAUCGACAAAAGCCGUUGAAUGCAGUGGCGAAAAAGUGCGCCGCGUCCGCGUCGACGCGGCGCGCGGCCGCGACGAUUUCGAUCCAACCGCCGUCCACCGCGGCGACGCGGCGCGGGAAGGCGCGCGCGAUCGUCGCGCGCGAUGGCGCGCGCGCCGUUCGCCCACGCGANNNNNNNNNNNNNNNNNNNNNNNNNNNNNNNNNNNNNNNNNNNNNNNNNNNNNNNNNNNNNNNNNNNNNNNNNNNNNNNNNNNNNNNNNNNNNNNNNNNNNNNNNNNNNNNNNNNNNNNNNNNNNNNNNNNNNNNNNNNNNNNNNNNNNNNNNNNNNNNNNNNUUGGGCUUACCCAUGCUUGGCGCCGGCGUAGUCUGCGGAGGGAGGGGGAGGAGGGCGCGCGGGUCGUCAGCCGAGGGAAGGAUGGGAGCUUCGUUGGAGGAGAGGAGGGGGAUUGAAUGGCGCGGGGGGGGGGGAGGAAUCGGCGGCGGCGGCCGACGCGCGAGGGGAACGACCGCGCGCGCGACGGCGUCGAUGCGAUGCGUACCUGCGGCGGUUGCCGAGUGAAGUGACGAGAUCGGUGACGCGACGGGCCGUCCGCGCGCUUGCGAGUGGCCGCGUCGGCGACGUCCGAGGUCGUCGCGAAUCGAUGCAUCAGCCCUAAAACCCUUUUGAGAGAAUUUCUCGGGGAGAUCGGCGCCGUUCAUCGCCGAUCAACACGCGAUUGACCCUCGGUUCUUAGCUUCGAUUCCGGAUUCAUCGCUCGCUGUUGAUCGGCGAGAGCUUCGCAGCAGCUCGAUUCGAACGAAGCGUCGCAUCUCGCGCGCUUCCCACUCGUCCCCGCGCGCGGCGCGGCCGCUCGCGUCGUCAUGGCGCAGCGCGAGUCCUUGCUCGUGUCGACCGCGCGCCCGCGCGCGUCGCGUCGCCUCGGCGGCGGCGCGACGACGCGGCGGCGCCGCCUCGCGCGCGUCCUCCGCGGCGAGCGCGGCGUUCUCUUCCUCCUCCUUCUCGGCGUGCUCGCGCUCGUCGCGUCGCACCUCGCCGCCGCGAUCCUCCCUCGCGUCCUCGCCGCGUACCGCCCGGGCGUCUGCGUCCCCGGGUCCGGACUCGCGCCGUGCCCGCCCGAGGCGUCGCGCGUUGACGUGGACGUCGUCUCCGUCGCGGCGAAGCCGACGUGCGUGACGCACGUCGCGGUCCUCGCGCUGAACCAGUACGUCAAUCCGCGGCGUAUCGUGUUCGUGACGUCCUCCGCGUCCAAGUGCGCGACGCUGAUCGCGAUGGCGUCGAACGUGGAGUGCGUCGCGGAGGACGACAUCGUGCCGGGGGUGACCAAAGCCUCCGUGCGCGAUGAGCUUCGAAGGCUGCACGGCGACGGCGCGGACGCGGAUAAGCUCGGACGGUCUCGAUCGGGAUGGUACCUCCAGCAGCUCGUCAAGCUCGGCGCCGCGGACGCGAUCGAGGGCCUGAGCGACGUCUUCGCGGUGUGGGACAGCGACAUGAUCCCGCUGUGGCCGACGCGGUUGGUGUCCGAGGGGAGGGUGGGCGCGUCGGGCGCGCGGCGGGUCGUGCGGCAGAUUGGCGGGUACGUCAUCGGAGGGUACGAGAAGAGUUACGAGACGUUGACGGGGGGGGAGACGUUGUCGUACGCGCCGGACGGGAGCGGGUACGUCGCGCAUCACAUGGUCAUGGAGCGACGGUUCGUGAGGGAGCUCCUGGCGACGUUCGAGAGGUCGUUGACGUUGACGACGAAGGCUGUGGGGGGAGGGGGAGGAGGCGGCGGCGGGGGCGGGGGAGGGGGGGAUGGAGAGCGCGGCGGCGGCGGCGGCGGCGGCGGCGGCGGCGGCGGGGGUGAGACUGCUUCCCAUACGACCCCGUUCGCGUGGUGCACGCCGUUCCUUAAGGACUUUUCCCGUCGUCACUCUUCACCCGCGCUUCCCUUUCAACGUUUGACCGGUAAGACGUUCGACUGACCGAUCGCUUCACCCACGCAGGCGGCGGCGGCGGCUUCCCGCGCUGGGCGUCCGCGAUCCUCGCGGCGAUCCCCUCCGACGAUCUCGACUUGGGCUUCAGCGAGUACGCGUCCUACGCGAGCUUCGUGUCGUCUCGGCACCCGGAGACGGUGGAGACGGCGACGUCGCGGACGUGGAGUCGGCACCCGCUGGGUCCGUUCGUCGGGUCGUUCGCGAUUCGCGCGUUUCGGUGGCUCGGCGGAACGGGGUUAUGUUGUCCGACCGCGGGGAUGGUGCGUCUGAUGAAGGUGUUGGGGUAUCAGUACGCCGGGUUCGAGAUCGGGCACGUCGGGUCGUGCGGUCUGAAUGCGCCCGGGCGAGAGGAGAGCUACGGGCUCUGACGACGCGACGACCGCGGCGCGAAGUAGAAGUACAUUAAAAAAUCGCAAUCGAGACGAAUCGGAAGUAUUACUGUAUUACGCCGCCCGUCUCGUCUCGUCUCGUCCACUGUCUCCCUGCGAACACGAAAGAAACGCAUAACUUCCGAGCGUUAUCUUCACGCACGCCCUUCAUUUCAUGAAGCGCGGUCUUCGUUGUCGACCUUGAAGAUGCGCAACCGACCGUCGAUCCCGCCGGACACGACGCGGUUCGGGCCGUGGUAAUCCACGCACAGCGCGCGCGCCGUGUGCGGUUUCCCCGGGUGCGCCUUCACCGUGUGCAGCGGGAGUUUCCCGCGAAUGUCCCACAGCUUGACGUUGCCGUCGUACGCCGUGGACGCGAGCUGGUACUCGCUCCCGGGGCACCACGCGACGCUGACGACCAUCUCCUGCUCGUUGAAAACGGAACGGAAGGCGUUCAGCGAAAGCCGCGGGGGAAAUAAAAAGAAAACGGAACGGAAAAAAAAAGUCGACGCGACGAGAACGAACCGCGCGCGCGAGCGAACGUCUCGGGAAAAAAUUAGAGAUUUGUUCCUCCAUCGAAUCGCUUCGUCGGGAAACGGUGUGUGUCAUCGUCACCGACGUUCGCUCGCGCGCGUGGUCCAUCCGAGCGGGCUUUCGCUUCGGCCGAGAGAAGAGAGAAACGAACCGAAUCGAGACGAAAAAAAACCCGAGACCCACCGUGUGAGACGCCAAGCUCGUCGUCGCGCCCGUCGCGUUCCCGACGCGCGGAUCCCAAAAGUGCACCAUCCUGUCCCCGCCGCCACACCACGCGAGCAUCCCUCCCCCGGCCCUGACGGCCAGCCCCAUGACGCACUUCGGCGCGGCAUACGUCUGCACGCACGUCCCCGCGUCCGCGUCGAACGACUUCAACGAGUGAUCCAUGCUGCCCGUCCAGACGACGUCCACGCUCUCCCACGCGACGGCGGUGACCGCGUCCGUGUGCCCUCUCAGGACGACGACACCCGCGGGGAGCUCCUCCUCCUCCUCCUCCUCCUCCUCCGCCGGCUUCUUCUUCGCGUCGUUCGGGUCCGGAAUCCCGAGCGCCUCGAACACGGACCGCUCCAGCGGGCGAACGUCCGGGACCGCGUCCUCGCCGUCGCCGUCUUUUCCCUUAGGGUCGAGGGUCCAUACAAAGCGAUGUCGGGGUGGAGUUCAAAGGCGUCAGAAGCGGAGUGGGGGAAAGGCGUCGAGGGCGGGGAUCGAAAGCGAGGGGUGGGCGGAGAGACACGCCGGGAAGUAAAGUCCUCAAGGAUCGUCGUUCACCACGCCGACGCGGUCGUAUGGGGACCAGUGUGAGAUAGAACGCACCUUGCGUCGCUUCGAGCUGCUCGGCGCGGUCGCUUUCCACUCCGCGGCGCGCGCUUCCCUCGCCGCCUCGAUCUCGUCGUCGUGGGUCUUCGCGUCCGCGCCGACGGUUCGCGCCCACACGCGCGCCGUCUUGUCGUACGACCCCGACGCGAAGCACACGCCGUCCGGGGACGCGGCGACCGAGGUGAUCGUCCCCUCGUGCCCCACGAACACCCGCGACGACCCGACGUGCUUCGCGGAGUCUCCCUUGGCGUCGACGACGACGUCCCACGCGCGCACGACGCAAUCGUGCCCGCCGCUGACGACGACGCAGCCGUUACCGUCGUCCUCCGUCGGCGGAAGCAGCGUCACCGCGACGACGGGCUGGGCGUGGCCGUCGAGCGUGACGAGAUGCUUUCCUUUCGGCGAGUAGAGUCGCGUCGUGCCGUCGUAGGACGCCGUCGCGAUCGCGCCGCCCCAGGACCCGCACACGCCGGCGACCCAGUCGUCGUGUUUCCCGGUCGCCUCCUCGCUGGGCGGACCGACCGCGGGGAUGUACUCGACCUCGAGCGUGCUCUCCGCGGAGACGCCCUUGCGGAGGAGGAGUUUCUCGAGCGACGUGCGCACGAGCUCGCCGUCGACGAGGAAGUCGAACGGCUUCGGCGGGUCUGCGAUCGACGCGCGAGGGGUUGGGGGUUAGGGUUGGGGGGUUAGGGUUGGGGGGUUAGGGUUAGGGUUAGGGUUAGGCCGGCGGCGCGCGAGGGGGACGCGCGAGCGGCGAAGACGGGACGGAGGAGGAACGAGGACGAUCGAUCGAUUCGAUCCUCGAUGGAUGUGAUGGAUCCAGAGUGCUCGGCGCAUCACGCACCGAGCGCGAGGAGGUGGUUGAUGACCUCGGAGAGCCCGUAGCGCGUGAGCUUCCCCGGGACCGCGAACGGCGUCGGGGAGAUUCGGUACUUCUCCGGCAGGCGCGUCACGAACUUGCACGUGAUCUGCGUCUCCUCGCCGGUGGAACCCAUGUUCUUCGAAGACGCGCGCGCCUCGUCGGCGGCGUUGCGAGAAGGAGGAUUCGCCGAUGGGAAUCCCGCCGCGCGCCGCUCCACCUUCGCGCGGACUGGGACGACGCGGAAGACGGGAGCCGAGCCUUCCCGAGACGGACGGUGAGCGCGGUUCACGCGCGAUGCGGCGUCGAGAGAGAGAGCGGCGGCGCGCGCGGAGGACGCGAGUGACGGCGAGUGAUGACGGCGCGCCAGGCCUUCUCGUCAUCGAGAGUUCGACCGACCGCGCGCCAGCUUGCAUUUCUUGAUUAGGCACAAGAGUGCCCAACGCGACGCGCACAUCGCCGCGCGCGGACGCGUCGUCGUCGUCGCCGCGAUGCUCUCUCGAACGACCGGGCGGACGUCCACGUCAUCGAACAGCGCGUACGGGCAGUUCUACAACGGCGGCGUCACGCUCCCGCGCGACGCCGGCGUCGACGACAGAGGUGGGGGCGGGGGGACGUACGCGUCGAGAUCCGACGCGCGCGUCGGCGCGGACGUCGCGAACGGCGCGUCGCGCGCGUCGCGCGCGAGCUCGCUCGGCGCGCACCGCGAGCGCGGCGAGCUCCGGAACGUCGUCGUCGCGGACGACCUGUCGCGAGGGACGAACCUCGGCGCGCGAGGCGCGAUGAGCCGCGACGGGCGCACGCUCGUCGGCGCGGGGUUGGGCGGAGGCGUCGGCGGGUCGCCGCGCGCGCAUCCGGAGCGCAUUCACGCGGUGCUCGGCGCGGGGGGGGGGCGGCGAUCGCGCGGGGGGCUCGAUCCGCGCGAUCCGAGCGACCCGUCGAGCGCGAACGGGUGGAGUAAGGGGUUUCACGGGACGACGCCGCGGACGCUGGAUCCGAGCCAGGGCGGUCCGCAGUCAGGGGGUGGAGGAGGACUUUCGUCUUCGUCGUCGCGAUCGAACGCCGCGGCGGCGGGGAAGUCUUCCGCGAAGCCCACAAACACGACGUCGGGCACGGGGAAGCCGUUGAUCGUGGCGAGCCACCCGGGCGCGGUCUCCGCCGCGGGCGCGAAGGGGCUCAACGGCGGCCGCCUCUCCGGCGGUCCCGGCGGCGGUCCGAACGCGAACGCGACGACGACGAAUAAUCCGCUUCGAAAAUCCUUCGACGCGGGCGUGACGAUGACGGGCCCCAAAGGCGCGCAGAUCGAACGUCCGAGCACGUACGCCAGCGGCGUGAACCACGGGACGACGCGCGCGGCGGGGUACCUUCCGCAGUCGCACCAGAGCAAGAAGACGGCGAAAACGCACGAGGGCGGAGCGUUACAAAGAGGCCCGCCGCCCAAGGCGAAAUUUCCAUCGGGCGACGCGUCGGCGGCGUCGCGGUCGCCCGGAUUCGGCUCGAUGACGAUCCCGCGCGCCGGCGCGCACGUCCCGGUCCCGACGUUCCGCGGAGACGCCGCGAGCGCGAGCCCGCUGAGCCCGCUGUCGCCGAGCGCGCGCGAGGGCGUGAGCACGCGACGCAACGGCGGCGCGACGCGGAUUCCGUUCGGAGCGCACUCCAUGGCUGGCGGCACCAACGGGUUCAGCAAAGAAAACCAGGAUGAUCACUUCGUGCUCGGGACCGGCGGCGGCGUCUCCGGCGACCGCGAUUUCAUCGCCGCGGUCCUCGACGGCCACGGCGUGGACGGCCGCAAGGUGUCGCAUUUCGUUCGCGCGCGUCUGCGCAGCGAGCUGGAGCCGCGCGCGGGCGUGGCGACGGCGGCAGGCAAGGCCAAGGCGCGCGCCGCCGCCGCGCGCGUCUCCGCCUCCUCCGGCGCCGUCGGCGACGCGUACGCCGCCGCCGCCGCCGUCGGCGUCGGCGCGUCGUCGCCGGACAACUCCUCCCUGCCCCCCACGCGGUUUAACAGCGGCGCGGACGUCGAGCGCGCCGCGGAGACGAGCAAGCGAUUGACGGAGGCGUUUCGCGCCGCGCAGGCGGCGCUCGUGAAGAACAACGGCAUCAACAGCGCCGAGAGCGGGUCCACCGCGGUGACGUGCGCGCGCGACGGCGACGUCCUCACCGUCGCGAACGUCGGCGACUCGCGCUGCGUCCUCGCGCGCGAGGCGCAGCCGCCGCUGACGUACGCGACGGAUCCUCUGGGCGCGGCGAAGAAGACGCCGCUCGUCGCCGUCGAUCUCUCGUCGGGCGCGUCCCACACACUGGUCCCCAUACGACCGCGUUCGCGUGGUGAACGCCGAUCCUCAAGGACUUUUCUUCCUGGCGGCGCAUCUCUCCGCCCAGGGUCCCUCGCUUUCAAUCCCGACGCACACACCUCGACGCCUUUCAACUCCGCUUCUGACGCCUUUCAACUCCACCCCGCAGAUCACAAGCCGAACCGGCCGGACGAGGAGGCGCGGGUGACGCGCGCCAACGGCGUCGUCGAGCCCGCGCGGUCGCCGCUCGGGGGGUUUGUCGGCCCGCACCGCGUGUGGAAGAAGCACCCGCGGACCGGCGGGCUCGCGGUGUCGAGGGCGUUCGGGGACACCGCGCUGAGCGGCGCGGGGGUGAUCGCGGAGCCGGAGCUCUUCACCGAGCGCGUGACGCGACGCGAUAAGUUCGUCGUGCUCGCGUCGGACGGCGUGUGGGACCACGUGGACAGCCAGGAGGCGGUCGAGCUCGCGGGCGCGUGCUUCGAGUCCGGGGCGGCGGCGGCGGCGGGGGCGGGGCACGGCGGCGCGGCGCAGCGCGCGGCGGAUGCGAUCGUCGCGCGCGCGUGCGAGCGAUGGAAGCGGGCGAUGAAUGGAGGGUACCGGGACGACAUCACGUGCGUCGUCGUGCCGCUGUUGGGGUGGGAGUGAGGUGGUGGGUGUAACGCACGGGGGUUGGGCGUUUCGAGGAAGUACGUGUAGUCUUGUUGUCGUCGCGAAGUAUUGUACGAGUACGCGCGUCGUCGUCGUCGCUGCUAACGUCGUUCGUCUGCUGAUACUCGUAUCAUCAUCCUCCGUCACGAGUUCCAGUCUCUCACGCGCUCGGCGUCGCGUCCGCGAUCGGGGACGGACGUCGCGCGCGCCUGCUUCUGCGACUUGUGCGCGGCUUUCCCGACCGCGCUCCGGUCGAACUUGCUCUGGCGCUCCUCCGCGGCGAUCGCGGCUUGCUCGCGCGCGAGCGCGUUCUCGCGCCUGUCGGGGAGGGAGAAGGGAGGGAGGGAGGGAGUCGUGAGAUGCAGAGACUUUACAGUAUUGUUCGCAAACGAGAAGCGUUUGAAGCGUCUUUGCGAGGCGAGGACGCGACGACGAGAUCUGCGCGCGGCGGCGGGGGAGCGCGCACCGAAUCUCGCUCUCGCGCAGGAGGCGUCCCUCCUCGUCCUCCUCGGGGCAGCAGCACCCGCAGCACUUGCGGAACAUGGACCCCAUCGGACGCGGGCACCGCGGGCGCGCGCGAGGAAGUGCCGACGGGGGGUUCGGCUAGAUCGAGGCUCGCACUGCGGUCUUGUCACGCGACUCUUGUCCAGCUCUUGUCCUUCCGAGGAAAACUAAAACGCUCGGACGUCGCCUCAUUUCACUACUCUCAUCCGCGCGCCCGCCGCCGCCGCACGCUCAGAUCCAAGCCAUGCAAAAGCGUUCAACGUCCGACGGAUUCAACGACAUCCCCGAGAAUGUCGCGGCCGUCGUGUUCUCGCACCUCGGGAAGAACCCACGACAUCGCAUCAGGCUCGCCGCGGUGAGCAAGGUGUGGAGGGAUGCUAAGAAGUCUGACUUGUCGUUGCCUGGCGCUCCGAGGGCGUUGUUCGAGCUCGGUGAAGACCUUAUCGGGAAGGAGACGAAGGUGUCGUUCCGGAAGGCGUUCUACUGGUACCGAAAGGCCGCGGAUCUUGGAGACGCUGACGCCAUGUGGAUGAUCGGAGUCUGCUACCGCAGUGGGUUAGGCGUGAAGAAAGACAAGACGAAGGCGUUCGAGUGGUGGGAAAAAGCGUCCUUAUGGUGUUUUCACCGCAAAGCGAUCUGCUCUCUCGCGAUGUGCUACCAGCGCGGCGACGGCGUGGAGAAAAAUAAAGCGAUGGCGUUCGAACUGUACCUCAGGGCGGCGGAGCAAGGUUCAGCAGAGGCCGCAUAGAGUCUCGGGAGUAUCUACGAACGCGGCAAGUGCGGCGUGGCGGCGAACAAAAAGGAGGCGCUGAAGUGGUUUCGCGUCGCGGUGGAGCGCGGCAAACCCGACGCGGAACAGGAUGUGGAACUCCUCGAGGCCGAGCUCGCGGCGGAAGCGGCGGCGUGAACGAACGAACGAACGAACGAACGAACGAACGAACGAACGAACGAACGCGUGUACCGUGAGCGAACCUUUGUAACGAACGCACGUCGAACGUCGCCCGCAGCCAGAGUACGUUUUCGCGCUCGCGUGUCUCGAGAAAAACUCGACGGGUGCGGGUGUGAGUUUUUCAUCCCCCGUCGAAUGGGGGUCGCCCCUCCGCGGGACGCUCAGCGCCGGGACGCGACUGGAACGACCGACGAUAAACGCACACGCAUACACGAUACAUUACAUCGCGCGCGGCGCGAACGCGCGCCAAGCAGACGCGCGAGCGGUCCGCGGUCGCGACCGACGCCGCGUUCGCCCACCGUCGUGAUCUCCCCCCGUCGUGAUGCUCCGCGACGAGCGCGCGGUGUUCGCGGAGGUACGCGCGCGGGAGUGGAACGACCUGAGCGGCGACGGCGACGACGCGUCCGUCGUCGACGUAGAAGGCGACGUCGAUCAUCGGCACAGGUGGUUCCUCCGCGUCGGUCGUCGCCGUUCCGUCUUCUUCCGCGUCCUCGUCGUCGUCUCCUCGCGGCGUUCUUCCUCGCGUCUUCUUCGCGGCGUUCUUCGUAUUCUUCUUCGACGCCGCGGAAACCUUCGGGUCGUUCCGUACGAGCGAACGUCGGGGUGGAGUUGAAAGGCGUCAGAUGGAGGAGUUGAAAGGCGUCGAGGGCGGGGAUUGACCGCAAGGGAUGGGCGGAGAGAGACGACGGGCAAAGUCCUUAAGGAUCGGCGUUCACCACGCCAACGCGGUCGUACUGUAUGGGAACCAGUGUACACGUAGGGCUACUGUAUAGCCUAUCCGCCAAUCGAUCGCGGUGGUCAGCGAAGAUGACGAGGACGACGACGAGGACGCGCCCCCAGCCUCGCCUUUUGCUGUAGACGCGUUGGACACCCCGUCGUCGCCCGUGGUGUCCCGUGUGCCCGCGACGCCCGCGCUGCUGUCGACGCGAGUUACGCGGGCCGCGCCGAACCACGCGUCUCCAUACGAGAACGAGGAGGGGUGGACGAUCGUCAAAGGCCGUAUGCGGCGGCCUGACCGCGUCGACGACCGACGCGACGGCUGUGAAAAACAUGGCGCUACGGUGACAGCCACCGCACCGCGCCGCUCGGCCCGCCUCCUGGCACGCGCUACUCCAGCUACCGACGCACCAGGUGGCCCAAGCGUCGCCGCUCGCCCGCGUGUCGCGUCGCCGCGCGCAGACACGCGAGCGAAGGCGAAGGGUGCGAGAGGCGUGCCCCGCCGUGAUGGCUCGGCGGCGCGCUCCCCGGCGGGUCGUGUGGACGUAAUUCCGGGCCUAGACGCGAACGCUCGAUCGGCCGCGACAGACGCACGAGCCGCGGGUCGCCGCCAAGGCACAGGCUCCGCCCCGACCGCUCGCGUCGCCGCGGUCACGCGAACGAAGGGGAAGGACGUGAGCGGCGCACCCCGUGCCGCCCCCGACCGCGGUGGCUUAGCGGCGCGCUCCCCGCCGGGUCGAGCGGACGCCAGCCCAGCCCUCGGCGCCGACGCGCGUGCGAACGCGCCGGAUGCACGAGCCGCGGGUGGCCGCCGUGGCGCCGGCUCCGGCCAUGCCGAUCGCGUCGCCGCCGCGGGCACGCGAGCGAAGGCGAAGGGCGCAAGGGGCGCGCCCAUCUCGUACGCGCUCAGAACCUCACGUGACUCUGAAAACUUCCACGCGGGCGCGGCAGCGCAAAUCCUUUUUAUGGAGCCCGACACUGCUGGCGAUUUCCACAUCGCCCCGGCUUCGUGCGCUCGUGAGGCUCACAUGGGUUUCAUGAAUCCCGUCGUGGGGUUGCUUACUACGUGAGAGGAUUGUUCGUAGUGCGGUCUGCUCGCUUCUAGAUCACAUGUUUUACCCGGAUGGGUUAGAGCUCAGUCUUUUUGUAAUCAGAUCUACUACCUUCGUACAUAGUUCAUGACUAAAUACAUGUGCCUUUGAUGUACGAAGGUACGAAAGUAAAAACUCAAGAGAAAGAAAAAGGGUCCAAAUAAGCGCCGCGCGAUUUCUCCCCUCACACGCACACGAACGCACCCGCACGCACGGUGAAAACCAUUCAUCAAGAUCAUGAGUGUGUUAAUAAUGGAAUCUGUUUCUCCCUUCGCGUGACGAGGUGAUUUAGAUGUAUUUAUAGCGGGGACCAGUUUGCUAUUAUUCGUUUUUUUGGAGGAUUUCAUGCCCCGAAAAGGGAAGCGGGGACAUGGUUGGUGUUCGGAUCGUUUGAAGGAAUUUGAUCGUAUCAGGAAGCAGAUCGAAAGAAUAACUAAUGGAGGUGAUCGGCGAGAGUUGUUUAGAUGCCUCGAGCUCUGUUGUGGGACGAAAUCUUUCUUGAGAGCGGUACGACGACGAUUCACUAAAUCUCGUUGCGUCACCGUGGACGUGAAUCCGAAGUUCGCAGCCGAUGUCAUUGUUGAUGUCAUAAAUUGGAUAGCUGAGCACCGGCAAGGAUGGUUUGACGUGAUCUGGAUCAGCCCCCCAUGCAAAGAAUACUCGAACUCGAAGACCGUUGGUGUGCGCGAUAUAAAGGGUGCGGAUGCUGUGGCGAUGUCGUGCUUGGUGCAUCUCGAGGCCUUAUCCCACAGGUCUGGCUGGAUCCAACGCCGCGUCCCACUCCGGCGCGAGCGGCGGGAAGACGUGGAGCGCGGGCGCGGGCGCGGGCGCGGGCGGCGAACGCGGAGACGGGAGGGAAGGAGAAGCAGAAGCUCGGGUUUCUUCAGAAGUACUACCACAAGGGGGCGUUUUUCCAGGAAGCCGCGGACGAUCCGGCGAGCUCGAUGGGGACGGACGACAUCUACAAGCGCGACUUCAACCAGGCCACGGGCGCGGACAAGGUGGACAAGAGCGCGCUGCCGAAGGCGAUGCAGGUCAGGGGCGACGCGUUCGGGAAGAUUGGACGGACGAAGUGGACGCACCUCAGCGCGGAGGACACGACGUUCGCGGGCGGGGACAACGUGUGGGCGGACGCGCGGAACAAGAGGGUGGGCGAACUGGCGGAGAAGGGCGCGGGGCGGAAGCAGGAGUUUCAAAAGCUUUCGGCGGUUCGUCUUCGGAUCGCUCUUUAAAUCGCAUCGCAUCGUGCGUGCGCGCUCGCAUGCUUCGUCGUUCUCCGCGCGUUGUUCACUCACCCCCCCCUCACCACCCACCCGCUCCCGCCGCGAACGCCAUCGUCUCCCAAGGCACUCAACGAAGGAGGUGCGCGCACGCGCCGUACGCCUUGUUCGCCGCGCGCGCGAACUUCUCCGCGUGCGCGACGGAGCAGUCGCCGUUGUCCUCGAGAUCGAUCAUCAACGACACAUGCUCGCCGCACGACGCGCUGCGGUGCUUGUAAUCACCGCGAGACAGCGCUUUCGUCAUUACGUACAUAUCUCCGACGGCGCUCUGCGGCGCGAACUUGAGCACGUCGAACUUCUUCCCAAUGGCGUGCACGUAAAUCCCGCACGUGCAGCUCACCUCCGCGUACAACAUCACUUUAAGGCGACAGGCGUACGACUUCUUGUCCUCGUGCGUUGCCGAGGUUGAUCCCGUAGACAGCCCUAACUCGGUGUGAUCGUCGAGAACGUCGGCGGCGCGGGCGCGGGCGACGGCGUCCACGGCGGAUUGAAGGGAAUUUCUCUUGUUCGUGAGCGUUUUAUCCUCGCCCCCCUCCGCGAGCGUCUUCAGUAUGACCGCCUUCUUCUCCAAGACACGCACCUCCGCGAGCAUCACACCGAGCUUCUUGCGGGCAAUAGGACCGGCCGGCGUCAGAGACGACGCGGGCGACGAGAGGCCGUUGGUACCGGACGCGACCCCCGCGCCGGACGCGCCGGACGCGACCCCCGCGCCGGACGCGAUCCCCGCGCCGGCGGCGGCGGAGACACUCACCCCCUCGUCGACGACGGCCUUGACGACGGCCUUGGCCUCUUCGAGACCGGCGAUCAACGACGCGCGGGCGUCGUCGGAAAGUCCCGCGUCGCUGGUGUUGAUCACGUCUCCGACGGCGGCGAGGAAGUUUGUCGUGUCCGCGAUGAACUCGUUGUUGAGGAGCUUGAUCUCGUCGAGGCGGUUACCCGCGGCGUCAUCGCAUACGCGGCGUGCUUCGCGAAAGGUAGUCACAGUGCGAGUCAGAGCCCAAGACACAUCGACCCGGAGUCGAUCCGCCGCCGCGCAGCCGAACAAGAUGUACGUGUUCGACGAGAUCUGCCAGCCUUCGUCCGCGAGCUUGCUGCAAAACCCCGCGAUGAAGACGUUUAACUUCUCGGCACCGUCCUCCGUGGGCGGAUCGAGACCGUAGCAUUCUCGCUGCACGGCGAAGACACCGGAAGGCGUCUUCCCGUCCUUUUUUGUCAUCAAGGGUAUCCAAGACCCGCUUUCGUCCUCAACAAGGGUGACGUUCCGCCGAAAGCGUUCAUCUCCGCCUACGCCCCUUUGAGCCAUGAGUUGGUCACCGAAUCCGGCGAGCGACUUCGGCGGGGUGGCGGCCUUCGCGUGAUCGACGCGGACGAUCGCCGCGGUCGUGUCCGAUCCCGCGCCGCUCGGGCGAAUCACGCGCACGCUCGGGGUCGGAACGAUGUUCUCCUUGUUCGAGUCCGCGUCCGCGCGCGUGGCGCUCGUGGUUUUCGCCGUCGCUGCGGACUCCGCGGACCGAACGCCGCCGACGUUCGAGACCACAGUCGCGAGCGAAGAAGGCGCGAGCGAAGAAGGCGCGAGCGAAGAAGGCGCGAGCGCCGCCUUCGCCGCGGCCACAAUCUCCCUCAGUUCGUUGGCUCGCCGCGCGUCGUCCUGCUUCUUCUUCUUCUCCUUGGACCCCGGCGCGGCCGCCCGCGCGUCGUCCCGCUUCUUCUGCUUCUCCUUGGACCCCGGCUCGGCUCGAUACGCGGUGUCCUGCUUCUUCUUCUUCUCCUUGAACUCCGGCUCGGCCAUCCGCACUAUGUGAAGCGCGGCGAGACGCUCCUUCUCCUUCUCCUUGUACUCCGGCGCGGCCGCCCGCACCCUGCUCCAGCACGCGUUGCACAGCGUCCUCGGUCCGGCCGGACCAGGCCUCCACUGCGGCGUCUUUUGCCUCCGGCAGUUAAAGCACACCUUACCGGCGCACGGCGCGAGGUCGCCGUCGCCGCUCGGGUCGAGCGGGGGGAUCGCCGCCGCCGCCCUCGCGCCGUCAUCGGCGGACUGAGAGGACGGCGGCGCCGCCGCGGUCGAUACGGGCGAGUCGUUCGAGUCCGCGACGGCGUCGUCGUCGCCGUCGCCGGACUGAACCACAGCGUCUCUCUCGCCGAGGGGGGCGCUCGCGCGCGCGAGAGGGACGUCGUCAGAGCUCCGGACGGCGCCGCCGCCGCCGCUCGUGGUCCCUUUGGUUGCGAUACGCGGUUGGGGGCGGCGACGCUUCAUCGCGGACGAGCACUCGGUCCGCGCGCGCGCGCGUCGCCGCCGCGCCGUCGACUAAAACCCGUACAGCUGGACGACUCUUUCCGGAGAAGGAGUUCAGAUUUCAGAGUAGUAGACAAGGAAAAUGCAUACAAAAAAACCCAUAGAGUACGAGUACGUUCGGCGGAUUCUUCGCGAGCCGGCCAGUGUCGCGCGCGUCUCAGUGCAGCUGCAGCAGCGCAGCCACGUGGCUCACACGCAUCCCGCGCGCGCGCCCCCCACGGCGACGAUGCCGGCCUCCUUCCUUCGACGCGCGGCGCUCCUGGCUUCGCGCGACGCGACGACGCUCGCGCGGAGCGCGACGAGCGCGUCCUCCGUCGCGUCCGCGUCCGCGCCGCGCCUCCGCCGCGCGCCGCGUCUCUCGCGCGCGACGUCGUCGACCACGACCUCGACCUCGGCGUCGUCGUCGUCGACGACCGCGGUCGACGCGACGUCGCCGCCGCCGCCGCCGCUGUACACGCGCACGCACGAGAUCUUGCGCCCGGAGUCGGUCUCGUCGGACGGCUCAGAGAUCACGAUGACCGUCGGCCUGACCGAGCACGCGUUCGACAUCAUCGGCGACGUGCGAGCGGUCGAGGCGGUGGACGCGGAGGAGGCGGACGGAUGGCGUCGUCGUCGUCGUCAUCAUCAUCACGCGGCGGGGAGGUGAGACUGCUUCCCAUACGACCCCGUUCGCGUGGUGAACGCCGUUCCUUAAGGACUUUUCCCGUCAUCACUCUUCACCCGCGCUUCCCUUUCAACGUUUGACCGGUAAGACAUUCGACUGACCGAUCGCUUCACCCACGCAGGCGGCAGCCGAAUCACGCGGCGGCGGCGGCGGGUCCGUCCUCCACGCUCCUCGCGCGGCUGCACUGGGAAGGAUUCAAACGCACGGCGUCGGACGAGCUGUACCACGCGUCGUGGGCGAACGUCUCGGACGUGCGCGACGUCGCCGUGCCGUUCCCGGCGACGCUCGUGGGACUCAACGCGGCGGCGGUGGGCGAGCCGUACGAGGCGCGUUCUGUCAUCUCACGCCGGUCCCCGCGCGACCGCGUCGGCGCGGCGCGCGCCGUUCCUUGAGGACUUUUCUUCCCGGCGCAUCUCUCCGCUCGCCCCUCGCUUUCAAUCCCGACGCACCUCGACGUCUUUCAACUGCAACUGACGCGCCUUUCAACGCCUCCCCGAUGUCGCCUCGUAUGGGCAACGACCCUCAGACGAUCUCCUCAGCGGAGAGCGGCUGGGUCGCGCGCGUGACGGCGUCGAGAGACGCGAUGCGACGCGCGGGGAGCGACGCGCUGAUGAGCGCGCGGGCGUACGAGGAGAUGGUCGAGGAGCAGCUCGUGGAGGACGAGGCGGAGGCGAGCCGGUCGUAUCCGUGACGGGAUGGGAUGGACGACGGACGCCCCGCGGCGGUUUGGUUUCGGAGGAGUACGAUACGUUUCGUCGACGUCGACCGCUUCCGAUGAUAAAUUAUUAACUCAACGCGCCGCGACGCCCUCGCCGCGCCUCCCCCUCUCGUCGUCGCUCCCUCGCGUGCCUACCUCACUUCUUCGCGUCGCCCCCCCCACCGCCGUUUUCCUUCGCCAGCGACUCUAUCAGCGACCGCGGCGGCGCGUACGUUUCCAACUUAUCCAGAAGCUCCGCGGGCGUGUCCCCGACGACGACGAUGGCUCGCGCCUCGCGUCGAAUGAACCCGCGCGCCGUCGACUCGUCCAGAAACUUCAGGAACAGGUCGAAGUACCCGGCGACGUUCAGCACCCCCACGGGCUUCGCGUGAUACCCCAGCUGCUGCCACGUGAUCAUCUCGCGCGCGCGGUUCGUUGAGGGAACGAACGCGGACGCCGGGGCGACGGCGCGCGCGCGGGAUCGAUCGCGGCGGCGACGGCGAACGCGGCGCCGGCGUUCGAUCGAUCCCGAGGGCGCGGCGAGCGAUCCUCGGUCCUCGCGACGUUCGUUCCUGACCUCACCCCAGUCUCAUCAGCGUCACCGGCUCUGGCGGUGCGACGACUGCCGGUGCUUGUGCGUGUCCGACGCGCGCACGCGGCCGCUCUGGGACGCUCGCAUCUUUUCGGACUCGCGUCGCAUGCGGUCGUACUCCUCCGCGGUGAUCCUGUGGACGCGGGGGAGGGGGGACGGGCGAGGUCAGUCGAAGGCGUCGGGGUGUUGAGAACGAAUGGGAAAGUUAAAUCUCGAGAGGGCGCGAGCGCGCGCGCGCGCGCGCCCGGCCGGCGGGAUCGGGGCACGCACACUUCGUCGUCCUCGUCGUCCAUGCCUUCCGGCUGGCAGCAGUUUUUCGUCAGCGCUUGACCCAUCGCGUCGGGCGCGUCGUGCGGUGCGGAGUGAGGAGACGCCGCAGACGUCGCGCGCGUCUUUUCGCGAGCGUCGUCGCGGUCGGCUGCUCGCGCCAGUCGGCUGACGCGAUGACGAGUCUCAUCAGAGCCACGCCGCGCGUACCCCCGCGCGCGAGCGUCGCGAUGUCGUCGUCGGCCCACGUCACGCUCUCCCCGAGCCUCGCGCGCGCGUCGUCGUCGUCGUCGUCGCACGCCUCCCGCGCGACGUCCGCGCGCUCCCGCGCCGCGUCCGUCGUCCGCGCGGCGACGUCGUCGUCGUCGACGUCGUCGUCGUCACCGGAAUACAACAUCGACGACGACGAAAUCGCACCGCUCCGAUCGCGACGACGCACGGUCUUGACAACGCUGUCCUCCCUCGCGCUCGCGUCGUCGCCCCUCCUCGCGCGCCCGUCUCCAUCGCGCGCGGACGAGAGCGGGCCGUUCUGCGACUACACGCAGACGCUCCCGUGCGACGAGUACCCCAAGUACGAGCGCACGGCAUCGGGGUUGCUCUUCCAGGAUCUGCGCUACGGCGAGGGCGACGCCGUCGCGCCGGGGCGUCGCGUCGUCGUGGACUGGGACGGCUACACGUUCUACCUCUCGCACGUCCUGCAGGCUCGGAACUUGCCCAAGGGGGGCGACUUCGAGCAGAACGACGACGCGUUCUUGUCGUUUAUCCCGGGAGACGGCACGGUCAUUCCCGCGUUCGACGAGUGCGUCAAAGACAUGCGCGUCGGCGGCAUCCGACGGUUCAUCGUCCGCCCCGGUCCGCUGUCGUACCCCGGGGUGCUCAAAGGGAACUGGAAGGAGGGUAAGGACGGCGUGGGCCCGGUCCCGGCGUCGUUGUCGGGGAAGCGCGCGCUGGAGUUUGUGAACAGGAACACGGCCAACGUUGACAAGAGUCUGCUCUUCGACGUGGAGAUUCUCGGCGUGGAGGGCGAAGACGGUCGAAUGACGCGAGGGUUCAGACGAGGACCGGGGAGGUGGGCGGAGGGGGUGAAGCAGCGGUUGUCGUAGCCGUCGUGACGCGACGCGCGAGCGACGUGUCGUCUCGUUCUGUGUUCCGCGUCGUAGUGUUGUGAUGGUAUACGAGCGACCUCGACUGAUACAAUCUGAUCGUCCCUUCUAGUCUCUAGUAGUGUAGUCUCUCUCGUAGUGCUACCUAAGGUGUAGUGGUACAGACGCGCCCCCCCCCCUCCCCCCGGAGAGGCUCGUCGAAUCUUUCGUUUGGUCGCCUCGCCUCGCCAACUUAGCCUUAUUACCAAAACGGACACCAGCCGAUGUACGACUGGCACAAGUUCUCGUGCGACGUCGCGGCGACGAUGAGGCGCUGAACCUGCGCCUCGACGCCGUCCGGCGUCCCGUUCUCGACGUCGUCGUGCUUUGAACCGCUCAGCCCCGGCGUCGUCGACGCGCCGUGGCUCCCCCCCGCGCUCGCCGACAUCGCCAUCGCCGCGCUCGACGCGAACCCGUCCCUCCCCGUGAGCUUGUGCGACAUGCGACGCAUGACGUUCACCGCGCGGUCGUUCAAAACCUCGUUCGUGUCGACGUCCAAGCCUUCGAUGGCGUCCAGCGCGGUGACCCUGUGGCGCUGCAGCGCGGACGCCGCGGCGUAGUUCGCAGCCUCUUGCUCCGCGACCGCGGCGACUUGCUCCGCGUUUAGGGUUUCCGGGAUCGGCACCUCCCCGGGCGCGGGCGUCGUCGGCGUGGGCGUGAACCGCCGCGCGGGCGCGACGUACGGCCCGGGGGAGGUUCGAUCGCGCGCGCCGCCGGCGGUGGCGCCGGGGUCGUACCCUCCCGCCGCGGGCACGGGAGCGGACAGCGGCGGCAUCGCGUGCGCGUGCGCACCGCCUUCGCCGGGCCCCAUCCCCGGGCUCUCGCGUCGUUCUUGGCCGACCGGCGGCGGCGUCCGCGGCAGCGGGGGCGGCGGCGCCGGCGCGGGCGCGCCCUCGGGAACGGGCGGCAUCGUCGGCGCGUGCUGAUGCUUCGGCGGGCUCGCGCUUCUUCGCCCGCCGCCGCCGCCGCCGUCGCUCCCUUCGACGCCGCCGCCGACGGCCGCGGCCGGGGACGUCUUCCCGUCGCUCCCGCCCGGCGACGGCGUCCUCCGGUCCUUGUUGUUCAAUCCCGGCGUCGUCGUCGGCGUCGGCGCGCCCGAGCUGCCGCCGCCUUCUUGGUGCACGACGCUCACGGCCAUCACCGCCGCGCCCGGCUGUUGGUUCACGUUCUCCCCCGGCGCGGUCGUGUUCAGAAGACGCCAGUUGAUGAGCGGGUCGUGCACGAACGCCUCGAGCAUCGCCAUGACGGAGUCUUUGUUCCCGCGGAGGACGGCCAUGACGCCCUCGCACGUGCUGCGAAAGUUGCCCUCGAUGCCGCUUACUUCCAUCGCGCGCACGAGCAUUCGCGUCAGGCGGAACGGCACGCGCUCGGGGAACUUCUCGCGCUGCAUCGACGCUUCGAAGCAAUCGCCAAAGUCGAUGUGAAGAAUCUUGCCGGAGUAGCGAUCCAGCGUGAGAUUCGACGGGUGGCGAUCGCCGAGGCCGAGGAGAUAGCCGACCAUGGACAUCACCGCGAGCGAGCGCGUGUACGUCGUUCGGCGGUCGAGCCAGACUUCGCUGCUGCGGGAUUUGAGCCACAAGACGCGCGCGAGGUCGUUCCCGGGGGUGUUCUCGAGCGCGUGCUCGAAGACUUCGACCUGGAUGGACGAGAGAGGGCAGGGCAGGGCAGGGAAGGGCGAGGAGAGAGAGGUGAGCGACCGCGCGCGAUGCGAAAGAAAAGUGGUCAAAAAAUAAACGCGAGCGGUUCGACGCGCUCUCGCCCGUCGUCGCGUGUUACGUUGCUCAGUCCCUUAGAUGUUCAAUCCGCCCUCACUGGCGCCGCGGCGGUAAGCCGCGGCGAGUCAGUUCGUGUGUGUAAAUAUCAUCAUCGCAACGGUCGUAUGAUAACACGCGAGCGACGACGAAGGAAGGCUCGGCCGAACGCAAAAAAAACGAAAACCAAAAGCCAAAAAAAAGUUUUCAAAAUCCGCGCGACUCGCCUUGUUCACGAGCGGCAGGUGGUCGUAAUCCGGCGCCAUCGCGAGCAUGAGCCGAUGCUCCAAGUUCAGCGGCACCUUGUGCGCGUCCCUGUGCUCGCGUAUCAGCGCGUGUAGCGUGUCGCAGUUGGGAACCCAACCGAUUAAACCGCUGUUCGGCGACAGCGGCACGACGGCGUAUCGCGCGAUGCUCAAAUCUCUCCGCGCCGUCGACGGCGUCGAGUUUAGCAACAUGUUCACGAGCCCGAACAGCUGCAUGACGCGCUCGUCCUGGCGCAAAUCCUCGUGGCCUUUCAGGAGGUAGCCGUAGUCCUUGCCGUCGCUGCCGUGGAUGUGAAGUCGUCGCGGGCGUUGCUUGGAGGUGAUGACGUGCAUCGUCGGCGCGAACGCGGCGAUGGUGACGGAUCCGCCCGGGACGCCCGGCAUGUAAUUGCCCGGCACGCAGAGCUCCAAACCUCGCGCGUUCAGCAGACGCGGGGAGACGUGCUGCAGCUCCAGCGUCGUCAACGUCGGGAGCUGCUUGUUGAUGCGCUUGAAGACGUGGUAGUACAGAUCCCAGGCUUGAUUUAGCUCCUCCUCGCGGCCGGUUUGGCAAUAUUUCCGACACCAGUCGUGCGCCUCUUGAAGCUCUCUUCCGUACGCUUGCACGAACGAAAUCUCGUGUAGCGUCUCCGCGCCCAUGCGCUCGAUGAUGUGAUGCAACGGCGCGAGCACGCGAAGCAUUCCCACGACGUUUUGCUCGCCGAAAUACAGCUGCGACGCCUCCUCGAGCGCCUCGUGCCACGCCUCGUGCCACAAGAUCGCGACGCGAAUCAACUCCAACGACACAACCUGCGCCUGCUCCACGAGCAACGCGCUGUGCUGCCGCAAGUUAUCGAGCACCGCCAUCGCGGCGGACCGUCGCGAGCUGCUCUGCGACUUGCACGCGACGAGAAGCGGGUACAAGAGCGCCUGCGGGUGCUUCCGGCCGACCCUCACGAGGAGCUGGUGGAUGAGCUGUCGCACCGGCGACGAGUUGCUGUGAAUCCUCGCGACGAUCUGGGGAAUCACCUGCAACCACGUGUCGAUGUUCACGUGCCCGAACCCGUCCACGAGCGCAGCCUCCACCUCGGGGGCGACGCCGUGGUUAAACCACAGCGUGAGCAAGCGCAGGAUGUCCUGAAGCGGGCCGCCUUUGCCCUUUUGUUUCGUCGUGCCUCCGAGCGCGAUGGAUCGAAAGAAGCCGGUGAUGGCCGGCGCCACGUGUCUCGCCGACGUCUCCGGCGCGUGCUUCGCGUGGUGCUCCAUCGCCGCGGCGUUGAACAGCGCCCAGUGAUGCCACGCCUUGGCCCACGGCGCGCACGCGUCCGUCGCGGUUCGGAACGCGGUGAGGACGUCGUUGAGCGUGGCGUCGUCCAUGUCCUCGGCGAGGGACCACCGCAUCUGGCCGAGUUUGAGAAACGCGCGCGCGAUGAGUUUGCAGUCGGGGGGGGCGACCUGCCCGACCGACGCCGCCGCGCUCAUCGUCCUGUUUCGUUCGGGUGGGGGGGGGUGGCGGCGGGAGGCGAUGAGAUCAGACGCGCGGGGUGGAGCGACGGCGGGCGGCGGGCGAGGCGGCGCGGGGACCGAUCUACAGACCGAAAACGAAAACGAAAACGAAAAUUAAAUCGCCGCGGGCGCCGUCGCGGCGAGUCAGUGUAACUAUGACAUAAUACUCUCAGCGAGCGUGUGGCUGGAUGAGACACGAAUGUCACCAGCCGCUCGGUCAAGUUAUUUGGUGUUGGCAUCAUCCUCAGCGACGGCGGGCGGCGUUCGAACGGCGAAAAAAAUAAAAGCAAAGAGAAGAGAGGGGGAGGGAGGCGAGGCGGCCAAAAAAAAAACGCAAUCGCAAUCGCACCUCAGCUCCGCGGCCAAAGACUGCAACCGGCCGAACGCGUCGCGUCGAUGCCCCAGCGCCCACUGAUGCUUCACGUACGCGAGCAUCACCUCCGGUCGUCCACUCCCUGCGCCGUACCCCGGCGCGUUCACCUGACACUGCGCGGGGUCGUACGCGAGCAGUCGGAUCAGCGUCCGGUGCGCCUGUCGCGUCCGCCCGGCUUUGCGAUUCAACGACGCGAACUUGAGCCACGUCGGCGUCUCCUCCGCGAUGGGCAACACGAGCGAUCGCACCGCGAGAAGCGCCUGCCACACCUCGACGUUCCGUUGCACGCCGUAGAUGCGCUCGCGCCACAUCUUGCGCAUCAGAUCGCGCCUCACUGCCACGUCAGCGUCCGACAUGGAAGGGUCCGACGGCGACCGGCCCGCGCCCGAGCCGCGCGCGUUGGCGGCGGCAAUUUUCCCCAGCUCCGCGUAUUCGAUCACCUCCUCCAGCUCCGUGAGCUGCUGCACGCGGAUCAUGCCGCCGUAGGACCGGUCGUAGGACUCCGUGACGAGCGCCGCGAGUUCCGCGCCGAGGGCGUCGCGCGCGGCCGCGAUGUGCGCGCGCGCUUCCUCGGUCUCGCCGCGGUGCACGGCGAGGACGGCUUUGAAAAAGUCGGCAUCCGUCGCGAGCCCCGUCGUCGUCGACUCCAACGAGUCGGGAUCGGGACCGCCGCCCGGACCGCCGCUAUGGCCGCCGGUCAGCGCGCGCGCGCCGCUACCGAUGAGACUCAGCGAGCUACGAUGCCGUCCUCCGGACGGGAUCACGCUGGAGCUUCGCGCGUGCCCUCCCGCGAGCGAUCCGCGGGGCUUCCCGCCGCCGCCGCCGCCGCCCGCGCGGUCGCCGCGUUGCGCGGAUACCACCUCCGAGUAUUGCUCCAUGCGCGACCAAUCCCCGAGCUGCCACGCCGCCUGCGUCGCGAGCGGCGCCAUUCGUCCUCGCAGCACCGCGUCGCCGCCGACGCCGACGCCGCCCGCGCCGGGGGCGCCGCUGCCGGCGCUGAGCUCCCACUCCUUGGCGCACAAAACGCCCAGCGCGUCCCACUCGGCGAGCGCGGCGAGGCACCGCAUCUGACCGAGCACGGCUUCGCGUCGCGCGUCCGACGCCGCGGACGCGUUCGCGCGGUUCAUCACCAUCGCGGCGAGGGAUAAGUUCGAGGCCAGAAGCGACGAUUCGUUGUGCGAACCGCCGCCGCCGAGCGAUCCGGCGCUGCCGUGAGAGCCCCACGACCGCGCGCCGAAAGAACCCGCCGCGUCUCGCGGCGACGACGCGAGCUGCCCGGCGAUCGAGUCCGUCGACCCGGACGACCCGACCCGGCGCGGCGGCAACGCGUUUGCGUUCGCGUUCGCGUCGGUUGCGGAGGAUACCGACGGCCUCGACUUUGGCUUUGGAAUUUCCACGCCCCCGCGCGCGACGUCGUCGUGGACUUCAAUUUCGAGCUCGCUCGUGGACUCCGGGUCGUUCCAUACAAGCGAACGUCGGGGUGGAGUUCAAAGGCGUCAGGUGGAGUUGAAAGGCGUCGUGGGCGGGGAUCGAAAGCGAGGGAUGGGCGGAGAGACGCGCCGGGAAGUAAAGUCCUUAAGGAUCGGCGUUCACCACGCGAACGGGGUCGUAUGGGGACCAGUGUAUAGAACGCACCUCCAACGCGGGCGCCGCCGGCCGCCGUUGCGCGAAGCUUCCGCCGCGCGAGUGAACACCGCCGUGCAUCCCGUGUCCGAAGAGCGGCUGCCCGUUCGGCGCGAACCCCGCCUCUUUCAGCGCCUUCUCCGCGUCCGCCGCCUUCCGCUGAUGCGCCUCGAGCGCGUUGUCCCACUGCCCGAGCUUCUCGUACCACCCUUCCUUGAUCUCGAGCAAUAAGUGCGUCUGCGCGUACACGAGAACGCCCAUCGCCGCCUCAGGGAGCUGCAGCUGGUUGUUGAUCGCGAUGAUCGCCUCGACGCACCGCGCCGGGUGCGACACGAACUCGAGCUCCUUGUAGUGGAGCGCUUUCGCGUACGCGCGACAGCGCUCGGCGAUCAUGCCGAGCGUUCGGAUGUCCACCGGCAGCGGCUUCUCGUCGUGCUCGCAAAACUCCGCGAGGUUUAGCAACGUGGUGACAAUCUCCGGCGGUAUCGUCGGCGACCCGAACGCCGCCUCCAGCGACCGCACGAGCUGCUCGCGCGGCGUCUGCGACAGCUCCGCCCAGCACGACACGAACGACGCGCAGAAUAAAUCGCGCGCGAGGUGCGGCUGGACUUGCGCGAGGUCGAUGCACGCGCGCAACGCGGGCGACGGCGACUGCUUCAGAAGCUCCACGGAGAGGUGCCGCAUCCACUCGAGCCAGUCCUCCUUCGUCGAGCGCUGCGACGACUCCCACGCGCGUCGAAGCGCUUGCUCGUUCAUCGCGUGCUUGCCCGAGGAGCCCGGCGGGCCGGGCGAGAGCGAAGAGUGGAGGAGAGGGGAAUCGCCGUUUCGGAGACUCCCGCCGCGGUGACUGCCGCCGCGGAGCGAAUCGCCGCGGUCCCCGCUCGUGCUCCCCCUCCCUCCUCCGUCGCCGCCGCGCCAGUCCGCGUGCGACGCCGCCGGGGAGUCCAGCGACGUCACCGUGGACGCCGCGUUGCUCAGGCGGAACGGCGAGAGCGCGCCUGUCGUCGCGCCGGGGAUCGCGAUCGCGCCGCCGACGCCGCCGCCGUCCCGCCUCGCGAGCAGCUGCUCGGACAGACGCUCAAACACCGGGUCGCGCAUCCCGCGCUUCUUCAUCGUUCGCUGCACGAGCGGAAGGAACAACAAAAACUCCUGCUGCAGCGCGGACGCCAUCGACGUCAGCGCGAGCAGCGCGUCGCGUCGAAGCUCCUUCUGCGGUCCGUCCAGCACGCGCGUGAGCGGAUGCACCACCGCGCUCGCGUGCCCGGCGAUCUGCAUCCUCGGGAGGAGCGUCGCGAGCGAUCUGAGCACCGUGGAACGCACCGCGACGGGAACGGGCGCGACGCCGGGGCGGAACAGCCGCACGAGCGCGGGGAGCAUCAGGUGCAGGUGUUCGUCCACCGCGGACCCGAACGCCUCGAGCGCGUGGAGCACGGACGGCACCGCGCUGAAGUCGCCGCCGCGCUCGGCGUCGGCGAGCACGGCGAUCAUCCGCGGAAGCAAGUCGGGGAGAUGCGCUCGAAACUCGUCGUGCAGCGCCGUCGCGAGCUCCUCGCACAGCCGCAACAUCUGCCGCAGCAGCGCGUUCGGGCCCCAAAACGCGCGCACGAUGGCGAGGAUGUCGUCCAGGUACCGUCGCACGUGGCCGCGGAUGAUCGCGACGAGCGCGGUGAGCUGCGCGAGCAUAAACUCCCGCAAUCCGUCUUCGCACGUGUACAUCACGUGCAUCACCACGGGCAUCACCGCGGGUAAAUACCGCACGCAGUUUAACCCCAGCGCGCGGAAGAUGUACAUGAUCGAUCGCACGACCAUGUGGUGAUGCGAUGCCAUGGUUUGGUCCUUAAGGACGCGGAGGAGCGCGUUCAGGGCGACGGUCGGGUAGAAGUUAUCCGACACCGUGCUGAGGUUCGCGGAGGGAAACAGAGAUUCGUCGUCGAUCGGGUAUCCGCCGCCGGUGCUGCCGACGCCGCCGCCGCCCUUAUCCUUCCCAGGCGCGUCCUUGCCCUCUACCGCGCCUUUACCCGCCGGCGCGCCGUCGUCGCCGCGCCCGACGCCGCGCACGCCCUCCAUGGACAGCAACCCCUGGCCGUGGAGUUUCUCUUCGUUGUCGCGGUGCGCGUGCGGAUCGAGCGCGCCGAGGAUGCCCAACGUCCUGAUGGUCGUUCAUCGGUCAGUUGAAAGGGGACGCGAUCAAAUAUUGAAAGCGGAAAGCGCGGGUGAAGAAAAAGGGCUUCAGAAACGACGCGCGAAACGCGAACGGGGUCGUAUGGGGAGCGGUCAGACGCACCUGAGCACCUCGGCGCGCACCGGCCCGGCUUCCUCCGCGAGCACGCGAAGCAUGAGCGACAGAAGCGGCGGGUGGUCCCCGUACGGCGCGAUCACGUACCCGGUGCUCUCGAUGAGCUGACCCAUCGUGACGACCGCGACGUCGCGCGUGGACCCGAGCUUGAUGCCUUCCACGACGAGGAGAAGCAAGUCCGGGACGAACUGCCGCAUGGACGCGCCGCCGACUUGCGCGAGCUCGCCGAUGGUGCCGAGCACGGCAGCCUUCUCGCGCACGCUGACGAUGUGCGACAGCGCUCUCACAGCGGUCCCCGACGCGUCGGCGAACUUCGGGGCGAGCGCGGAGACGCCGCCGGGCGCGCCGACGGCGCCGCUUCUGGGGUCGCCGUCGGCGGCGGCGGCGGCGGCGAGCGCUGCGUGGGUGAAGCGAUCGGUCAGUCGAACGUCUUACCGGUCAAACGUUGAAAGGGAAGCGCGGGUGAAGAGUGACGACGGGAAAAGUCCUUAAGGAACGGCGUGCACCACGCGAACGGGGUCGUAUGGGAAGCAGUCUCACCGCCGCCGCCGCCGCCCUGCGCGGUCGCGUCCGGCGGCGGCGCGUUCUCGCCUCCAAGGGCGAUGCCGUCGCCGCCGCCCUUGGCCGCGAUGCCCUCGCCGCCGUCGACGGUCUGCCCCGCCGCGGCCGCGGCGCCGGCGCCGGCGGCUUCGAUCCCGCGCUUCGCGAUGCCCGCCGCCUCCGCCGCGGUCGCCGCCGACGCCUUCGCCGCGGCGACCUCCUCCGGCUUCCGCAGCUUCAUCAUCAGCGUCCGCAGGAUGGGCGCGAUGUACGGCAUCACGAGCCGCGUGCACGAUCGCACGAGCGUCGCCAUCAACCGCGCGGACUCCUCGCGCAAGUGCGACUCCGUGGAGUGCUCGAGCUCGGUCAGGAGCUGAAGCAGAUGCCGUCGAAGCGCGGGCAACGCGUACGCGGGAUUCCGCGGCGCGAGUCGACCGACGAGACGAAUCGCGAGCAGCCGAACCUCCGCGCUCUCGUCGUUCAGCGUGAUGAACAGCGCUCGCAGCGCGUCCGCCUGACCGAGGUGCGAGUCCACGGACGGACACGGGCGCAGAAACGACGCGAGCACGGCUCUUCGAACGUUCGCGUCCAGAUCUGAUGAGGGUUUUCCAUACAAAAAUAGUUCAUCGGUCAGUUGAAAAGAGACGCGAUCAAGUGUUGAAACCGAGCUAUGGGUGAAAACUUUUGUUUUGAACGCACCUGACACCGCGACGGCGAGCAAUCGCGACAUGAUGAACUCCUCCGUCCACGCCGACCACCGCGACGGCGCGCCGUUGGUCAGGUGUGAUGCAUGCGAAACGCUCGAAACGCUCGCGCUGUUGGCGUUAAGCGCCAUCAACGCGGCGUCGCCGCCGUGUAUCGACGUCCCGANNNNNNNNNNNNNNNNNNNNNNNNNNNNNNNNNNNNNNNNNNNNNNNNNNNNNNNNNNNNNNNNNNNNNNNNNNNNNNNNNNNNNNNNNNNNNNNNNNNNNACGCUGACGAUGUGCGACAGCGCUCUCACAGCGGUCCCCGACGCGUCGGCGAACUUCGGGGCGAGCGCGGAGACGCCGCCGGGCGCGCCGACGGCGCCGCUUCUGGGGUCGCCGUCGGCGGGCGCGGCGGCGUCUACGCGCUCGCGCCGAAGUUCGUCGACGCGUCGGGGACCGCUGUGAGAGCGCUGUCGCACAUCGUCAGCGUGCGCGAGAAGGCUGCCGUGCUCGGCACCAUCGGCGAGCUCGCGCAAGUCGGCGGCGAUCAAGCUUAUCGAUACUGUCCACCACCGCCGCCGCCCUGCGCGGUCGCGUCCGGCGGCGGCGCGUUCUCGCCUCCAAGGGCGAUGCCGUCGCCGCCGCCCUUGGCCGCGAUGCCCUCGCCGCCGUCGACGGUCUGCCCCGCCGCGGCCGCGGCGCCGGCGCCGGCGGCUUCGAUCCCGCGCUUCGCGAUGCCCGCCGCCUCCGCCGCGGUCGCCGCCGACGCCUUCGCCGCGGCGACCUCCUCCGGCUUCCGCAGCUUCAUCAUCAGCGUCCGCAGGAUGGGCGCGAUGUACGGCAUCACGAGCCGCGUGCACGAUCGCACGAGCGUCGCCAUCAACCGCGCGGACUCCUCGCGCAAGUGCGACUCCGUGGAGUGCUCGAGCUCGGUCAGGAGCUGAAGCAGAUGCCGUCGAAGCGCGGGCAACGCGUACGCGGGAUUCCGCGGCGCGAGUCGACCGACGAGACGAAUCGCGAGCAGCCGAACCUCCGCGCUCUCGUCGUUCAGCGUGAUGAACAGCGCUCGCAGCGCGUCCGCCUGACCGAGGUGCGAGUCCACGGACGGACACGGGCGCAGAAACGACGCGAGCACGGCUCUUCGAACGUUCGCGUCCAGAUCUGAUGAGGGUUUUCCAUACAAAAAUAGUUCAUCGGUCAGUUGAAAAGAGACGCGAUCAAGUGUUGAAACCGAGCUAUGGGUGAAAACUUUUGUUUUGAACGCACCUGACACCGCGACGGCGAGCAAUCGCGACAUGAUGAACUCCUCCGUCCACGCCGACCACCGCGACGGCGCGCCGUUGGUCAGGUGUGAUGCAUGCGAAACGCUCGAAACGCUCGCGCUGUUGGCGUUAAGCGCCAUCAACGCGGCGUCGCCGCCGUGUAUCGACGUCCCGAUGUCGCCGCCGCCGCGCGUGACGCGGUCGCUGCGGAGUUCGAGGAGCCGGCAGCACGUCAACGCGGCUUCGCGGCGCGUGGACGGGUCGUCGUCGUCGAGGUACUCCACGACGUUUCUUCGGACGAAGCCGAGCAAUACGCUCGCGCCGAACGGGAACGUCCCGAGCGUCCGCAGCGCGAGCUGCACUUGGAAGCUGUGGUGUCGCCGCGCUUGCUUGUCACGCUCCGUGCCCGAGCUCGCGGGGCUGCUCCCGCCGGGGGACGACGACGCGCCGCCGCCGCCGCCGCCGCCGGGCGUUCCGGGCGUCGAAACCCUGCCGGGGCUGCUGAGGGCCGUUCUAUACAAGCGAAUGCCGGGGUGGAGUUCAAAGGCGUCAGUUGGCGUUGAAAGGCGUCGAGGGCGGGGAUUGAAAGCGAGGGAUGGGCGCAGAGACACGCCGGGCAAAGUCCUUAAGGAUCGGCGUCCACAUCGCGAACGCAGUCGUAUGGGGACCAGUGUAUAGAACGCGCCUGGGCCCCGCGCCGCCGCGGUCCGGCGUGGACGCUCCCAUCCCGAACGCGUCGAGACCCGCGAUGACGCCUUGGACCGCGGCUCUCGACGACGGCGACGCGUCGCCGGAGCCCCCGGACGCGGCGUCGCCCGAGGAGGCCCGGCGAGCGAGUUUACGGGAUGGGCUCCGCGGCGGCGCGUUUUCGCGACUCCCGCCGUGACUCAACCCGCCCUCGCCCGCGCCGCCGCCGCCGCCGACGAUCGACCGGCUCGCGACGCGUCGCAUCUUUUGCAUCAGCCCUUGCAUCCCGCCUCGCGCGCCUCCCGCGUGACCGUCGCCGCGCGUCGGGAGCUCGAUCGACGGCGCUAACGUCGCGGUGAUCGCGUCGAUGAGUCGCCGCUGAGGGCCGUUCCAUCAUUCAAAGCGACGUCGGGGUGGAGUUAAAAGGCGUCAGAUGGAGUUGAAAGGCGUCGUGGUGUGUCGGGAUUGAAAGCGAGGGGUGGGCGGAGAGACACGCCGGCAAACGUCCUUAAGGAACGGCGUUCACCACGCGAACGCGGUCGUAUGGGAACCAGUGUGGUAACAGAACGCGCCUGAAUCGACGGAAGGAGUGUCGGCAACGCGUCGGCGAUGGCCUCCAGCGCGUCCACCAGCGGCGCGGACAGCCCUCCGACGAACAGCGCCGGGAGCAGCGUCCGCACGCGCGGCUCCCACGCGCCGCCGACGCUCGACGCGAGCGCGCCGGCGCACAGCAGCGCCUCCGCGGCGCCGGGCUCGAUCGUCGGCGCGGGGCGAAGUCCGGUUUUUCGAUCCGCGGGGCCCUGGCGAUUGUGCUGCGCGAAGCACACCUCUUGGAUGACGUCGGCGAUCUCGGGGAGGUACCGCUCGAGGGCGCGGAUGCCGGGGCCGCGCGUCUCGCCGCCGAUCAGCGCGCCGAGCGUUGGGGUGGAGACGGAGGCGACGACCGGAGGAGACACCACCUCCGGCCACCGUUCGGUGCCGGGAAACGGCGAUAGGUCCGUCGCCGGCGUCGGCGUCGUCGUCGGCGUCGGCGUCGUCGUCGGCGUCGCCGUCGUCGUCGCCGCCGCGCCUCCCUCGCCGCGCUCUCGCCUUCGCCGCGGACUCGACGGCUCUAAGAUCCCCCCGAAUCCACCGAACGAGCUCCUGUGCACGCCGUCGCCGAGCAGCGUCCCCAGCACGCUCCCGCCGUGGCUCGAGUUCUCGCCCAGAGAGCUCGCGGUGUCUUCGGCGUCUUCGCGGGCGAAGAAUUUGAUAGGGGGCGGGCGGGUAAACGCGUCGGUCAGCGACACGUCUCGCCGGUAGAGCGUUGAAAGGGAAACGCGGGUGAAGCGAAGUCCUCAAGGAACGGCGUGCACGACGCGAACGGGGUCGUAUGGGAAACAGUCUCACCUUCGCGCGCUUCCUCGUCGCCCUCCGCCAGCGCGGCGGCUAAGUCGCCGAUGGCGUUGAACCCCGCGUCUCGCUCGCUCGGGACGCGAAUCGUCGCGAGCAGAAGCGCCGCGGACGAGCUCAGGUAACUCUCGCUGAACCGCUGCGGGGAGAACGCGGCGAGCUUCGGUAUGAGGUUCGUGACCGAGCGUCGCACGAUUCGCUCCUUACUCUCGUGCAGCCGUAAAACCGUCUCGGCGACUUCUUUAUACCGGCUCAGCAUAAACUCGCCGGUGUGCCGCAACAGCUCCCCGAACGCGAGUAAACUGCCGUGGACGUCCUCCACGCUCGCGCCUUUCGCGCUGAUCCCGCUCUGCGUCUCCUCGUACAGUUUGUAGUACCACUGCACGCGGUACCUCGUCUCGCGUUUUUCUAUGACGACGAGGCACUGCCGCAGCGCCCUGACGGCGGCUUCUCGAAUCGCGAGCUUCGGAUCCCUCAACGCCGGCCAGAUCGCGUCGAUGAACGCGGGGACGUGGACGUUAAACACCGUCGGCGCGUUCGCCGCGAGCUCGCGGAGUAUGAGCACCGCGGCGUACCGCCGCGCCUCGACCCUGUCCGCGGACUCGAGCCAGUCCAAACUCCUCUUCACUUCCGACUCGACGACGUCGGCGGUGAGCACGCCGCCGGUGAGGACCAAGUGCCCGAGCGCGCGGCUCGCCGCCUCCGCGAGCUGCGGCUCGCAGGUGGGCGUGAAGACGUCCCUCAGGUACGUCGCGAAGCGAUUGAUCUUGCCGACGUUCUCGCCCAUCUUGACGUCCGUGAGUUGAUCGAUCGCGUAGACGCCUCCGAGUCGACGCCGCAGAUCCGGCGAGUUGACCAGACGCAAGAUGCGGCCGUAGAGGUCGCGCAUGUACCGCGCGAACGACUCCGGGGGCUUAUCCCGCGCCUCCGCCUCGACGUGCUCGCGGAGGGAGACGCCCACGAGGCCGCCCGCGCGACGCGGGACCCCCGCGAAAGCGCUCGGCCCGUUCUCGCCGCCUGCGCCGCCGCCGCCGCCUUCGACGCCGUUUUCGCGAAAGAAGCCAAACGCGCCGCCGCCUGCGUGGGUGAAGCGAUCGGUCAGUCGAACGUCUUACCGGUCAAACGUUGAAAGGGAAGCGCGGGUGAAGAGUGACGACGGGAAAAGUCCUUAAGGAACGGCGUGCACCACGCGAACGCGGUCGUAUGGGAAGCAGUCUCACCUCCCGCGCCGCCCGCGCGGAAGUACCCGCCGCCGAUCCCGCCGACGCCCAGCCCGCUGCCUCGGUACAGCCCGCUCCCGAUGCUCUGCGAGAGGUAGUCCACGCUCUGAUACGUCUGGUUGUCCGCGCCGCCGCGGCGCGACAGCCCUCUCCCCUUUCUCCACGGCGUCGACGUCGUCGUCGAAAUCAUCAUCUCGCGACUCGGGCUCGUCCUCGACGUCGACGCGCGUCCGCCGUCGUCCCCGCGCAUUGCGGCGUCGCCUCUCCCGGCGUCGUCGCCCGACGCCUCCGCGUACCCGCCCAUGCGGCCUAUGCGCGACCAUCCGCGCGCGUCCCACGGGUUCUCCGGGAUCGCGGUCGCGCCGCGUCCGCCGCCGCCGCCUCCGCCGAAUCCUCUCGCGUCGCCGCGCCGCGCGGUCGCGUUGCAGAGUUCCGUGAGGAGCUUGUCGAGCGUGUCCGUGGUCGCGUCGCCGCCGCCGCCGCCGGGCUUCCCGCCGGAGGUGUUCCUCGCGCGCGACGCCGACGCGCCGCUCGCGGCGGAGGACGACGACUUGCCGGAUCCGGCGACCGCGCCGGGCUUAUUCGACGACAUCGCCGCGCGCGACGCCGCGGAGGGCGAUUGUUGUUAGGCGCGCGCGACGAGUUAUUACAGGUAGGUUUUUGGAGACGACGCGAGACUGCGAUCGAUUUCGCGCGAGCGCCCUCUCGCGCGAUCUGCCCUCGGCCGCCGCGACGGCGCGCGUCCCGAGGCUGGGUGCGCCGCGCGCGCGGCGGAGUCGGGACCGCGCGUCGAGCGUCCGCGGUUGUGGCGAGGGCGACGACGCGAGCGCCAAUUGCCCCGUCGCGUAUUUCUCGCGCGAAAAGCCGGGCCAGCGCUCGAGGAAUCGAGCGGCCCAGCGGUCGCGUCAAACUUGAACUCGAACUACGAGGGGGAAAAAACCCGCUCACUCUUCGCGCGCGCGCCGCCGCCCCCCGCCCCCCAGAUCUGAGCAUGUCCUUCGACGGCAUCCCCGAGAACGUCGCCGCCGUCGUGUUCUCGCACGUCACGGAUCCGCGAGAUCGCAUCAGGCUCGCCGCGGUGAGCAAGGUGUGGAGGGACGCGGAGAAGUCUGACGUGUCGUUGCCCGGGGGCUCUCCGAGGGCGUUGUACAAGCUCGGUAAAGGGCUUUACGACGCGGGGAAGUGGAAGCGCGUGAUCUACUGGUGGCGUAAGGCGAUUGGAGACGUUCACGCCAUGUACUGGAUCGGACGCUGCUACAACAGCGGGACCGGCGUGAAGGUAGACCGUAGGAAGGCGGUCAAGUGGUGGGAAAAAGCGUCCGGGUGUGGGCACGCCGACGCGACCUACCGCCUCGCGAACUACUACUUCUACGGCCUAUAUUCCCGCGUGGAGCCAAAUGCAGCGAAGGCGAUCGAACUGUACGUCAAGGCGGCGGAGCAAGGUUCAGAAUUUGCCCCGUACGAACUCGGGAACAUCUACUACAGCGGCGAGUACGGCGUGGCGGAUAACAAAACGGAGGCGCUGAAGUGUUUUCGCGUCGCGGUGGAGCGCGGCUACGGCACCUUCGCGCUACGGUGGGUGGAAGAACUCGAGGACGAGCUCGCGGAGGAAGCGGCGGCGUGAACGAACGAACGAACGAACGAACGAACGAACGAACGAACGAACGAACGAGCGCGUGUACCGUGAGCGAACCUUUGUAACGAACGCACGUCGAACGUCACCCGCUUCUGUCCUCGCGCACGAUGGACGAGCUUUCCUCAAAAAUUCAAAGUGUCGUCCGUCUUCGCUAGCCCUACUCGUACACGCAUUUAGUAUAACAACACGACACGCGUCUACGCCGCCGCACCGCGAUAACAGUUCGCCCGCCAGUUAAUAAUCCGCCGCGCCCUCCAGCUCGAUCCCCGGCCGCCACUCCCACGUCGCCGUCAGCGUCCCCCGCGGCGUCGUCUCCUCCGAAGUGAACGUCUCCCCCUGCGAUACGAAGCGACGUCGGGGUGGAGUUGAAAGGCGUCAGAUGGCGUUGAAAGGCGGCGCGGGCGGGGAUUGAAACCGGGGGGUGGGCGGAAAGAGACGCCGCCCGGGAGAUAAAGUCCUCAAGGAAUGAAGUUCACAACGCGGACGCGGUCGUACGGGGACCGGUGUGGUACAUAAUAGAACGCGCCUCCGGCAGGCCGUUCUCGAUCCUCGCUGCGACGGAAAACAUCGCGUAGCGACUGCUCAAGUCCGGGUAACUCAAGCUCACGCGAUCGACGUCCGCGCGCACGAGCGACGCCUCGUCCACGGCGAGCGUGUACCCCGGUGCGAGCGCGCUGCCGAGCUCCUCCGCGACCGCGCGCGGCGCCGCGGCUCUCCAGUCCUCCGCGCCGAUCAGUUUCUCGCUGUCGGGAUGAUGAGUUUCAAAGGCGUCAGAGCACACUGGUCCCCAUACGACCGCGUUCGCGUUGUGAACGCCGAUCCUUAAGGACUCCGAUCCUUAACGACGAGUUGAAAGAGUUGAGAGGCAUCGCGGGCGGUGUGUCGGGAUCGUGAGCGAGGGGUGGGCGGAGAGAAACGCAACGCCGCCCGGAAGAGAAAGUCCUCGAGGAUCGGCGUGCACCGCGCGGACGCGGUAGCGCGGGAACCGCCGUGAUAGAUAAUGGACGCGCCUCAGCGGCGAUCCGCGCAUCCGCUCCGCGAUGACUUCCCCGGUGUUCGGAUCGUUCCAUCGCUGCGUCGCCUCCACGAGCGUCCUCCCCGCGUCGUCGCGUAUCAGCAGCCGAAGCACGCGGACGUUCCGUCGCGGGACGCCCCCGGGUCCGACCUCCAGCGUGCUCUCGCCGAGGUCAACCUCGAGCUUCAAGUCGGCGAGGCCUUUCGCGUUGUUCUUUCCGUAGCGGUCCGCGUCGACGCCGUGGGUUUUGAGCCAGGUCGCGAGCGACGCGGUGUCGCCGCCGGUCCACGACGACGACGACGACGCGGCGGCGUCGUCGUCCGCCCCCGCGCGCGUCGUCAUCGUCGACGACGACGCGCGACGUCCAGGGCUGCGAGGAUUAAUCUUUUUUUCCGCCGGAUCGAUGACGGACGCCCAGCAGCGCGGACGCGUCCACGCGGCGGCGGCGUUCCCUCGCGCCGCGCGCGCGAUCGCGGCGGAGAAUGCCCUCGCGCGCGACGUGGAGCAGGCUGUCACCUGCCGCGCCGCGAGGGACAUCGGCGUUCCCGCGCGCGCGAACGACUGCGGAGGCGAGGCGGUUGCAGCAUUUACACCGGAGUGCGGGGAUACGAGAUCCCUGCUAUCCCGCCGCGAUCGCGAUCGAUCGUCGCGAAUCGUUUUCAUCGGAGAUCGUUCUCGCUGACCUGCGAUCAAGAGGUCGACUCUACCCUUUUGAAACCGGCAUCGAAGCCGUCUCGGAGCUUCCGACAGGCGACCGCGCGUGAUUGGCUCGCAAACCGAAAACUUAAAUAAGGGUUUAUAUAUUGUAAAUUUCGAUUCUGGUCAUCUCUCAUCCGCCUCCGACGCAAGUCGGAGACCCUCCGAUCUCUCGCGCUUCAUCGCGCGUUCAGACUUGAAAACUCCGUAUGGGCAAACACCCUGUGGAGUCUCGAUGGUGUAGUUGGUUAUCACGUUCGCCUAACACGCGAAAGGUCCUCGGUUCGAACCCGGGUUGAGACAUUUUUUGCAUUCUUUUCAUGCAGUCAUCCUCCACAUGAUGUGAGGAACCUCUCCACAAAGUUUCAGGUCAAUCGGAGCAGUUUUGAGGCGGCGGCGGUCGCGUCACGUCGAGCAUGGUCCAACCUUCCCUAAAAAAUGUUAUUUUUUCGAAACCAAAAAACCAACAUCCCGUAACGUCGACGCGACGAGGACGGCACACACGCGCGCGCGCUCGGCAGAGAAACGCACAUGCGCCGACCGUUCCCUCGUAUCCCAAAGCUCCUGUACAACGCGGACAACGUCAUGGCGAUCCUCGGCUACGCGGUCUUCGCGUUCUUCUUCGACCGCGACUCGUUCGUCGCGCUGCGGCGAGAUUUGGCAACGAUAUCCGUCAACGCCGGCGCGUGAGAGUCCGCGACGACGACGACGACGACGACGACGACGACGACUGCACACAGUGUAUAAUACGCUAGCCUAGAAGAUGGGGUCGUGCGCCAGCGCGUUGACGCGCGAGGCGUCGAGCCGUAGGGACGAAGCAGACGCGGACGCGGCGGCGGCGGACGCGGUCGCGGGACGCCCGAGGCGCGUCCCGAACACGAACCGUCGCUUUUCUUCCUGCGCGACGACGCAUUCGUCCAUUCCCCGCAUUCGUCCGCCGACUGACCGACGUCUUCCGUCCGACUCUCUCACACCGCAGCGCGGUGAUUCUCACGCGCGCCGGCGUGCCCGCGACGUUAGUCAGAGAGCUGCUGCUGUUCUACGACGGCUUAGACGUAGGCGCGGUCGACGCGGGCGGCGGCGGCGGCGAGACGAAAAAAUGUAAAAGAUUAUUCCCCAGCGGCGGCGGCGAAACGCCGUACCUUCAGCGCGUCCAAACGCUCUUCGACCCCGAACGCGUGGGCGCCGUGCGUUUUCGGUGCUUCGUCCGCGCGCUCGCGAAGCUCGCGUCGCCGCGGCCGCAGUGCCCGGGGGAGACGUACUUCGCGUUUCGAUUUUUCGACGCCGACGACGACGGCGGCGUCUCGAAAAAGGAAUAUCGCGACGCGUUGGAAGCCGCGGAGGCGCACUUCGGCGGCGGGCGGGUGCGGUCGACGAAACCGAAACCGCGCUCACUCGACCGUUACGAUGCAUACGCACUCGAUGCCCCCAGCACGCCGAGCCGCCGCGGCGGAGGGUACUUCAACGGCGCGCGGUGCAACGCGAACGCGCGAGACGCGACGGCGACGCGCAUGUUCGACGCCUACGACCGCGACCGCGACGGCGCGUUGAGUCUGAGGCGCGUCCUGGUGGUCACACUGGUCCCCAUACGACCGCGUUGGCGUGGUGAACGCCGAUCCUUAAGGACUUUUGCCGGCGUUUCUCUCUUCCCACCCCUCGCUUUCGAUCACCGCCCUCGACGCCUCACGACUCCAUCUGACGCGCCCCCGAACUCCCCCCCCGACGUCGCUUCGUAUGGACAAUCACCCUCAGCGAGUUCACGCGCGCGCACGCGGCGUCGCGCGGCACGUUCGCGCCUCUCGCGGAGCUGUACGCGACGCUUCGUCCGCACAUCGUCCCCGCGUACGUCGUGAUGCGGACGCUGCGCGAGCGCGGGACGACGGACUGGGCGUUCAUGGACGCGGGAGAGAGCGUCGGCGAGGCGAAGGGCGGGUCGGAGAAUGAAGAAGCCGCGGCGGCGUCGCGCCGGCGGCUGGUCGCGGUGAAACGCGCGGACGAUGAGCGUUACGACGCGUUCGACAGCGUCUGCGAGGUCACGACGGCGGCGACGACGAAGACGAAGACGGCGUCCGCGGUCGAGCACGCGCGGCGCUCGAGGCGGAAAGCGGAGCGGAGGCGACCGAAGCCGCCUCGGAGCGUCGACGUAGACAGCGCGUUUUAAAAGAGUAAACAGACCUGGACAGGAAGCGCCAGCGAAGUUUCUCGGGGCGACCGAAGACCACCCGCGCCACAACAACCCGCGCCGCCGCACGCUCGCAGUCUCGCACCGCUCCAGAACGCGAUGAACGAGACAUCUAAGCGCCGUCGGGUCGAUCCAUCCGCGCCCGAAACGCCGGGCGGCGACGACCGCGCCCUGGGCGGCGGCGGCCUGGCAGCGCGCGUCCGCGAACUCGAAGAACUGUUGGAAGCCACGAGGACGGAGCUCGGGCGCAAGAAGGAGAAGCUCGCCGCCGCGGAAGCGACGAUCGCAGCGUACGCAAAGAUUUACCCGACGUUCGACGCGGACGAACAGCUCUCGAGCGCGGUGUUCUCGCACGUGACGGACGUCCGAACGCGCGUCGCCCUCGCGCAGGUGAACACCGUGUGGCGAAACGCUUCGAAAGUCGCGUCUUCGCUGAUGGCCUCGCUCGACUUCACGGGGUGUCCGGACAAGUGGAACGAGAAUAUGAGUUGGAAGACGAAGUGCGAAUACAUCCUUGGGAUCGAAGGCGUGCUCGAUCUGCCCGAAACGCGCUUUCACGCCCUUCUCGAACAGGCCGGGGCUGACUUGUCCAACACGAACGAGCAGUGCAACCUCGGUUUUUUCUACGACAGCUCGAAGCGUUACGACAAGGCGCUGGAGUGGUACAUGAAGGGAGCGCGUCAAGGCAGCGAGGUUUGUGAGAAUAACAUCGGAAUUUCCUACAGAUUCGGCCAAGGCGUAGAGAAAAAUAUCGACACGGCGCUGGAAUGGUUCACAAAGUCGGCCGAGAAGGAUCACGCCGGAGCACAAUACGAGGCCGGCGCUAUCCACUACGACGAGGGACGAUAUGAAGAGGCGUUCCAGUGGUUCACGAAAUCGGCCGCUCAAGGCGACACUGACGCGACAUUAGACCUCGGGGAGUGCUACGAGAAAGGCAACGGCGUGAAGAAGGACAUUUCCGAGGCGCUCAAACUGUACGGGAAGGCCAUCGAGAAGGGCCACGCUGAGGCGAAAGAAAACCUCCGUCGUCUGGUCGACGCGUUGCCGUGAACAUGCGUAGACGCGACGUCUUCGAGUCCGAUGAUGUAAAUGUCGCCAUCUACCCCCACCUUCUCUCCCCCUCGCUCUCAUCGCAACCUAAACGAGCACCGCGCGCCGUCUAAGCUCAAGAACCGCGUCGCUCAGCUCGAUCGGAAACGCGCGCGGCGACCGUCGACUGACGACACACAGAAAAAGUUCUUCCUCUCGACAGCGAGUUAUCCGAGAGGACCGCCGUCCUUUCCGCACUUCGUCAUGGCGCUCGCGGCGGCGACCGCGCCCGCGGCGUCGUUACGCCCCCCCGCGCGCGUCCAGCGGUGCGCCUCGUCCGUCCUCUCGUCCCUCUCUUCCGCUCCCGCCAUCGCGCGCCGUCGCCGCUCCUCGCGCGUCGCGUCGCGUCGCCGCUGACGUCGACGUCAUCAUCACCGCGUUUCGUUCCGUCGCGCGUUCGCAGGCGCCGUCGCGUCGUCGUCGUCGCCCGCGCGUCCGCGUCCGCGUCCGCGUCCGCGUCGCCCCCUCCCGGCCGCGCGACGUCGCCGCUGUCCCAACCCCCGGCCGACGCCCCCGCGGACCCGCGCGCGGCGCUGCGGGGCGUGAUGAUCCACCGCGCGUCCGACGGCGAGCUCGUGGACGUCAGGUGCGUUCUCCUUACACUGGUCCCCAUACGAUCCCGUCGGCGUAGUGAACGCUGAUCCUUAAGGACUUUUGCCGUCGUCUCUCUCCUCCCAGGGUCCCUCGCUUUCAAUCCCCGGCCUCGAUGCCUUUCAACUUCAACUGACGCCUUUCAACUUGCAUGGAAUGGCCCUCAGCGCGCAGUGGCGCGACGACGACAAGGCGGUCGUCGUCUUUCUUCGAUCGUUCGGCUGAUUCUUCUGCUGGGAGUUGGCGAUACAACUCCGGCGGGACGUGAAGCCGACGUUAGACGCGAACGGCGUGAAGCUCAUCGCGGUGUCGAUCGGGACGGUCGAUCGCGCGAAAGAGUUCGUGAGAGAGACGGAGUUCCCGAUCGAGUGCCUGUACGCGGACCCGGAGAAUAAGUGCUACGACGCGCUCAGGCGCGUGCUCCUCGCACUGGACUCCAUACGACCGCGUUGGCGUUGUGCACGCCGUUCCUUGAGGACUUUAUCUCCCGGCGCGCGUUUCUACCCGCUCACCCUUCGAUUUCGAUCCCCGCCCGCGACGCCUUUCAACUCCAUCCCUGACGCCUUUCAACUCCACCCCGACGCGACCCUCAGGCUGAACAAGUCGCUGAAAAACUUCUCGCAGAAAUCCACCCCGGAGAUGCUCCAGGCGCGGUGGAAGAAAGACGGCGCGAAGGAUCUGCGCGAGGUGUUCUCGCACUGGAAGCCGUGGAUCCCGCCGAAGCGCGAGCAAGGGUUCCAGCAGGGCGGCGUCUUCGCGUUCGAGGGCGACGAGUGCGUGUACCAAUUUUAUGACCCGAGCACGGGCGUACACGCGCCGUUCGACGACUGGCUCGUAACGCUCGGCGUCGGGCCGUUAGAGUCCGCCCCGGAGCCGGUCCCGAGGCCAGAGAAGAAGAAGAAUGAUGCGUGAAGUAAGUAUACGACGCGCGGUGUAGUAAAGUAGGUCCCGCGCGGGGGCGCGAGCGAACGGAACGUCCGUCGAAGUCUGGAUGACGCGCGCCCGCGUAAAACGCGCUUCGAACGAAGCGCGCCGCGGGCGCGUCGACGACGAAAACGCUUCACGACGGACCGUUAUCUCGACGCCCGCGCGAUGGGAAGCGCGCAGACGCGCGCGAUGACGAAUAGAGUAAACGUUAGCGGAGAGAAAGUGAGUUAGAAGCGAGACGCGACGCGGCGCGAGAAGCGAGAGCAUCGUCGAUUCUCAUAUAAAUUUCAUCAGCCCGCCUCGGAGGCCCUGGCUCGCUCGCUCUCGAGUCCCCGCCGUCAGUGCGCGGCACCUUUCGCCGCUUUCUGCUGCGCGACGCGCAUCAUGUACCUGCGAGGAGGAAACGCGAGGACCGCCGGGAAGGAAAGGUAAACGCGGGGACGUCAGAAGACGCGCGGUGACGGCGCGGCGUUCGAUCGAUCGCGGUCGUCGUUAGGGAUUGAUUCGUUCGCUCGCUCGGUCGACCGAUCGGUCGAUCGGGCGCGGCCCCCGCGACGCACUCUUUGUACUGGCACUUCUCGUACGCGUGCCUCUCGUGGCCGCACUUCCACGGUAUGUAAUACUCCGCCUUGCGGCACUCGUUCAGGGGGAUGAGCAGGUGCGCGCAGAAAUCGCGGUGCGCGAGGUCGAUCUUCGCGUCCUGCAUGUCCUUCUGCGUCGCGACCAUCUCGCGUCCUGCUCCGCCCAUUUGUGUUUUUCUUCCACGUCUCCUCCGCGCAGAGGGUCUCUCUCCUACUCGCGCGCGCGAUCGAGCGGUCGUUCGACGGCGGCGUUCGCGCGGGGAGGCGCGCGCGCGUCUCCGCGGUGGCGACGACGAGCGGCGAGCGGGGCGGGUGGACCCACGCGCGCGUUCGUAUGCGAGAAGACGAGGGAGAGACCGUGCGUAUGCUUGGUCCCUACUACAGAGACGAAAUGCUCCUGUGACCGCGGUCGGUACACCGUGCUGUCCCGGCCCGUUCGCCGGUCAAAGUCUUCUCCCGUUUAGGAAAUCCUUUCGCCGCGCGGCGUCGCCGUCGCAUUGACGAGCGGCGCCGGGCGGACGCGGACCCGGCCGGCUCUUUCUAGACCGCGAAGAGAGUCUCGACGAACGCGCGAGCGGAUUCGGAGUUCGCGCUAGGCGCUCCGAAGCUCGCGCGCCUUAACCGCCUCCGAUCUCCGGAGCGCUGGUGGAGGCGUCGAGGUCGAAUUUGAGACCGCAUCCGCGAGAACGUCGUCAGAGCAAGAGGGGGCUUCCUCGACGUGCGCGCCCGCCGAGCGCGCCGCCGCCGUCGUCGUCCUCCUCCUCCUCCUGACGCGUAUCGGGCAUCAUGGGCGAGGAUGACGAGAAGAAGCAGCAGAUGGAGGACCCGCAAGACGUCCUCCAGCGAUGGCUCAUCGCGCGCGUCGUGUCGUCGUUCAAGUGCAAGCCCGAGCAGGGCGACGCGCUGCUCGCGCAGGAGGUGUCCUACGGCGCGAUCAAUCAGUUCCUCACGGACGUGGAGUGCCCCCGCCUGAUGAUCAUCGCCUCGCCGGACCUCGUCGCGGUGCGCAUCGUGCCCGCGCCUCGAUUUCUCUGCCGCGGGUCUCCGUCCGCGAGGCGGCGCGCGCGCCGUCCGCGGCGGGCGGCCGAUCGUCGACGAUCGAUCGCUCUCGGAUCGAAUCCUCAAACGCCCCAAACGGCGAUAAAAUAAAUGAUGAAACGAUUCGAUUCGAUCCGCGCCCGCGACGAAUCGAUCGGUCGAUGUAUCGAUCGGUACAUCGAUCGAUCGAUCGACCCCCGCGCGCGAUCGCCCGCUCGAUCUCCACCCCGCCCCGCCCGACGCCAUCGCCAUCGCCAUCGCCGACGCCGUCCCUCGCCGACCCUGACCCCCCCCGCCCGCCGUCCCUCGACCGACGCGACGAAUGACAGACGACGACGCCGCCGGAGAAAUUUCGAAAGAAGACGCUGUGUUUCCUCAAGCUCAACCAAGAGGAACUCUCCCCGGAGAACGUCGACCAGGAGGUCAUCUACGGCGAUUUCGGCGACGUCCCGCUGGAACACCUCAGCGUGCUCGCGCGGGAGGUUUUCCUGCCGAUGCUCACAAACCCCCGGAAUCAGGUUGGGUGGCCCGAGGUGAUCACGCGCGAGGUGGUGGAGAACUUGCACAAGUUCAUCGCCAACGUGUACGUGACGAUCGGGCAGACGAAGGGCAAGACGCUGCUGCCGCUGCCGCCGGACGACGACGCGAAGCCGUCGACGUCGUCGAGCGCAGGGUCCGCGGCGGGGUCGGAUGCGGGCGGGCCUUCGUCGGACACGGAUAAGAUUCACGUGUUGGAGAGCGCCAUCGUGACGUGGACGAAGCAGAUCAAGGGCGUGCUGAAGAUGGACCCGGAGGCGGCGCUGAAGAGCGGGGAGAACCCCGGGCCGCUCGCGGAGCUGGAGUUUUGGGAGGACAAGGCUGCGAACUUGAACGCGAUCCACGAGCAGCUCUCCGGGUCGAAGAUUCGCAAAGUCGUCAAGGUGCUGGAGGUUACGAAAUCGUCCUACUACCCCGCGUUUCAUCGCCUGUGCGGCGAGGUGGCGCACGCGCGCGUCGAGGCGAACGACAACGUGCUGUUCCUCAAGCCGCUGGACAAGUACUUCCAACGGCUGAACAUCGGCGACGAGUUCCCGCAGCUAGUGGAGAUCUUCAAGCCCAUCAUGCACGUGGUCCUGAUGGUGUGGAAGCACUCGCACCACUACAACACCCCCGGGCGGAUCGUCGUGCUCAUCCGCGAGAUUUGCAACGACCUCAUCAUGCAGUCGCAGAAGUUUGUCGCGGGGAACGAGAUCUUCGAGGCGGAGCCGCCCGAGGCUGUGGAGAAGCUGAAGCAGACGUUGAAGGUGUGCGGCACGUUCAAGUCGUUCUAUUUCGACUACAAGUCAAAGACGAACAACGAGACGCCGCAGAACCCGUGGAGGUUUCAAAACUCCGCGCUGUUCAGCCGCCUAGACACGUUCCUCGAGCGCUGCCACGACAUCUUAGACUUGACGAUGACGGUGCUGCAGUUCAACAAGCUCGAGAGGGUGGAGAUUGGCGGCACCAAGGGCAAAUCGCUGACGAACAGCGUGCAGCAAGUCUUCGCCGAUUUCCAAGAGGCGGUCGAGAAGUUCCACGCCGUGGAGUACGACAUCAUGGACGUGGACAACAAGCAGUUCGAGAAUGACUUCUACGAGUUCCGGUGCGUCAUCAAAGAGCUCGAACGGAGACUCGGGUCGAUCAUCAUUCAGGGUUUCGAAGACUGCGUCACCGUCGCGGCUUCGUUCAAGCUGUUCGACAGCUUCGAAGGGCUCCUCGACCGCGAGAUCAUCGCGACAGAUCUGGAAAAGAAACAGAUCGAGCUCAUGCGUUUCUACGGCGACGACCUCAAGGACGUCUCGGAGAUUUUCGCGACGCAGAAGGACAACCCGACGUUGGCGAAGAACUCGCCGCCGCACGCGGGCGCGGUGUCCUGGGUGAGAGGCCUCGUGGCGCGCAUAAAGGAGCCGAUGGAAAAACUUCAGGGACUGAACAAGCUCGUCACGGAGACGGACGAGAGCAAGGACAUCCAGAAGCAGUACGACGUGCUCAUGGCGUCGCUGAUCGCGUACGAAGAGAACGAGAUCAAGCUCUGGAGCGCGGAGGUUGAGGCCACGGGUGAGGAAAAGUUGAAGAAAAAUUUGCUCGCGCCGGAUGAGAAGGGCGAGAUCCCCGGGAUCCUCCGCGUGAACUUCGACCCGAUGCUCGUCAGACUGCUGCGCGAGGUGAAGUACUUCCUCCUCCUCGGCGUCGACGUCCCGGCGUCCGCGUUGAAAGUCUACGAGAGGUCCGAGACGCUUCGUCAGCAGACGGGUAACCUCGACCUCAUCGUCGUGACGUACAACACGAUGCUGCGCAACUUGCUCGACGUGGAGAAGCCUCUCGUGGAGAAACGGCUCAAGGUGAUCGAAGACGCGCUUCAAAAGGGCAUCUCGAAGCUCAACUGGAACUCGCACAAGAUCAACGACUACAUCCAGGAGGUGAUGGGGUUCGUGAAGGAGCUCGACACGAUGCUCGAGACGAUCAAAGGGAACGUGGAGAAGACGCGUAAGGUGCUUCAGGGCUGGGCGGAGAACUUGAUGUUCAGCCGCAAGGAGGGUAAAACGUACGACGUCGAGGAGUUUCAGUCCGCGCAGAAGGACCUCCAGGCGAAGAGAAACGACGAGAUUGUCGAGGGCGCGGCGGCGAUCACGCGGUACCUCGCGGCGUCGAGCAAAGCGCUCAAGGACAUCCCGCGCGCGUCCAAGGCGUGGAAAGACUACGUCGAGUACGUCAACGACAUCGUCAUCGAGGGUUUCAGCAACGCGAUCAUGGCGUCCGUGGCGUACGUGAACGAGCAGGUGAACCCGGAGCUGGUGUCGAAGAACGAGACGGUGCCGCUCGUGGAGGUGCAGCUCGAGCUCCAGGCGCCGGACAUCUGCUGGAAGCCGGAGAUUGGCCAAACCGCGGACGGCGAGGGCGUGCGCGAUCGCUUCAACUCGUGGAUCGGGAACUUUCAGGCGAUCGGGACGCUGAUGAAACGCCUGGACAUCGGCGAAGGGAACUACACGCUGGAGCUCGAGGAGGAUUACAACGUCAUGGACGCCAUCUCGGCGAUUCAAGACGUCGUCCUCGCGAACGAGGCGGAGUGCAUCGCGUUCAAGGAGAGCUACACGAAGUACGAGUACCUGUGGAAGACGGACCUCCCGACCGCGCUCGCGACGUUUCUGGAGGAGAACACGAACGCGGAGGAGGGCCAGGACGAGCCGCCGCUGGAGUUAUUCGACGAGCAGAUCGCGCGGUACAAGGCUGUGCAAGAAGAGAUUCAGGCGCUGACGACGACGUCCACGAUCGCCUGGGUGAAGGUGGACGCCAAGCCGAUGAAGCAGGCGCUCGCGACGUGGAUCACGAAGUGGAUUUUCCUGUACACGCAGUACCUGUCGAACAAGGUGAUCAACAGCAUGGACGACCUGUACGCGUUCAUGAAGCUCGGAAACACCGUGCUGGACAUGGACCCGACGGCCAUCGCGGAGCCGUCCGCGGCGACGGAGCCCGCGGAGGACGCGAGCGGCGAGGCCGGCGAGGGCGAGGGCGCCGAAGGUGCCGAAGGUGCCGAGGGUGCCGAAGGUGACGCCGCCGCGCCCGCGCCCGCGGAAAAGAAGGAGAGCGCCGCGGAGAAGAAGCAAAAGAUGCUCUACGACAUGAUGGCGUACAUGCGCGACUUGAGGAAACGCGAGGAGAAGACGGACGUCAUGUUCGAACCGCUGCAGGCGACGGUUGCUCUGUUGAAGACGUACGGCAUCUCCACGUCCGAGGAGGUGCUCAAGCAGCUCGAGGAGGCGCCGCUCGCGUGGAGCGCGCUGAAGAAGAAGAUGCUCAACGUCCGCGAGAAGCUGUCGUUGAUGCAGCAGCUCGAGGCGCGAAAGAUUCGCGAGGAGUCGGACAAGUUUGGAAAGCAGGUGGAGGACUUCCGGACGAUGUUCCAGAAGACGGCGCCCGUCACGGUGGCGGCGAGCACGAUCAAAGUCGACGACGUGCGACCCGCGUACGACAUCCUGGACCACUUCCACCACGGCGAGAAGGACGACAAGUUUAUCUUUGGCUCGUUGUCCACCAUCGCCACGGAGGCGAGCGCGUUGAAUGAAAAGCAAGAGCUCUUCGAGCUGCACGUGAGCGAUUACCUCGCGUUGCAACGCAGCGCCGAGGACCUCGCCUUUUUGAAGGCGCUGUGGGACAUGGCGUCGUCGGUCAUCUUCACGUUUGACAGCUGGAACAUCACGCUGUGGAACGCCAUCGACGUCGAGUUUCUCAUGGACGAGACGAAGAAGCUCGCCAAGGAGGUGAAGAUGCUCCCCAAGGGGUGCCGCGCGUACGACUUGUAUAAAAUUCUGGAGGAUCAGGUCAAGGCGCUGCUGACGUCGCUUCCUCUCGUGAGCGAGCUGCAUCACCCGUCGAUGCGCGAGCGGCACUGGAAGCAGCUCAUGAAGGCGACGGGGAGGCACUUCGUGAUGGACGACAAGUUCAGCCUCGGCGACUUGCUCAACCUCGAGCUGCACACGUGCGUCGACGCGGUGAGCGAGAUUGUCGAGCGCGCGCAAAAGGAGAUUGUGAUCGAGAAGCAGCUGAAGAAGAUCGAGGAGACGUGGUCGGGGUUGAACCUCGACUUCAAGCCGUUCCCGGACAGCGAGGUGUUGAACCUCGUCAUCGACGACUUGAUCUUGGAGGCGCUCGAGAACGACAACCUCGCGUUGCAAAACUUGGGGGGGUCCAAGUACGUCCAAGGGAACGCCAAGUUCAACGAGAUGACCGCGGAUUGGCAGAAGAAGCUCGGCACCGUGGACAACGUCCUCAACGUGUGGCAAGACGUCAGCAAAAAGUGGAGCAUGCUCGAGUCCGUCUUCGUCGGCAGCGCGGACAUUCGCGUCCAGCUCCCGGAGGACUCAAAGCGCUUCGACGGCAUCAACGCGGACUUCCAGGCCAUCAUGCGCGACGCCCCCGACGUGUUGAACUGCGUCGAGGCGUGCAACAUGGACGGCAGACUGGAACGUCUCGAGGUCAUGCUCGGUCUCCUCGAGCAGUGCGAGAAGGCGCUGCAGGACUACCUCGAGACGAAACGCAUCGCGUUCCCGCGUUUUUAUUUCGUCGCCCCCGCGGACCUUCUGGACAUCCUCUCGAAAGGGACCAACCCGCAGCUCAUCCUGCGUCACCUCUCGAAGUGCUUCGACAACGUCCACAACAUGUCCUUCCUCGAGGACGAGAAGGGGAACCCGUCGAAGAACGCCAUCUCGAUGUGGUCCGGGGAGAACGAAAACGUCGCCUUCAAGGAGCCGUGCAUCUGCGACGGUCCCGUGGAGACGUGGCUCGGCGCCGUCGUCGACUCGAUGCGCGAGGCGCUAUUCGUCGAGUUUGAAGCCUCCGCGCCCAAGUACGACGAGAUGCCGCGCGUGAAGUGGAUGUUUGAGCAGUCGGCGCAAAACACGAUCACGGUGUCGCGCAUGAUUUUCACGCAAGAGAUCAACGAGGCGUUCGAUCAGCUCGAGGAAGGGAACGACAACGCGGUGAAGGACAUGUGGCAGAAGCAGGUGGAUCAGCUCGCGGGCCUCAUCGAGGUUGUCAACGGGAAGCUCGAGAAGCUGGACCGGAAGAAGGUGCUGACGUUGUGCACCAUCGACGUGCACGCGCGCGACGUGUGCCAAAAACUCCUCGACGAACGCGUCGACGUCGGCAGCGCGUUCCAGUGGCAGUCGCAGCUGCGGUACGGCGUCCACGAGAAGACGGGGAAGCUCAUGAUUUACGUCUGCGACGCGGAGAUUCCGUACAUGUACGAGUACAUCGGGUCCCCGGGGUGCUUAGUCAUCACCCCGCUCACGGAUCGGUGCUACAUCACGCUGACGCAAGCGCAGAGGCUCGUCCUCGGCGGCGCCCCCGCGGGCCCCGCGGGGACGGGCAAGACGGAGACGGUGAAGGAUCUCGGUCGCGCGCUCGGCAUUCAGGUGUACGUCUUCAACUGCUCCGAUCAGAUGGAUUACAAGGCGAUGGGGCAGACGUACAAGGGCUUGGCGCAGACUGGCGCGUGGGGCUGCUUCGACGAGUUCAACCGCAUCCCGGUGGCGGUGUUGUCCGUGUGCUCGACGCAGUACAAGACGGUCCUCGACGCGAUUCGCGCGAAGAAGUCGCAGUUCAUGUUUGAAGACGUGGAGAUUUCGCUGCGCCCGUCCACGAUGGCGUUCAUCACGAUGAACCCCGGCUACCCCGGUCGCGCGGAGCUCCCGGAGUCGCUCAAGGCGCUGUUCCGACCGGUGUCCAUGUGCGUCCCGGAUCUGCAGCUGAUUUGCGAAAACAUGCUCAUGGGCGAGGGGUUCUUGCAGUCCAAGAUUCUCGCGCGCAAGUUUGUGAUUCUCUACAAGCUCUGCGAGGACUUGCUCUCCAAGUCGGCGCACUACGACUGGAAGCUACGGGCAAUCAAGACGACGCUCUACGUCGCCGGCGGUCUCAAGCGCGACCAGCCGCACCUCUCCGAGGACAAGGUGCUUCUGCAGGCGCUUCGCGAUUUCAACCUCGGGAAGCUCACCGCGGACGACCACGGCAUCUUCAUGGGUCUCCUUAACGAUCUCUUCCCCAAGAUGCUCGACCAAGUCCCGCGUCAGCGGAACGAGUCGUUCGAGGAUAAGAUUGUGAAGUCCGCGGUGGAGCUCGGGUACCAGCCCGAGGAGGCUUUCGUGUUGAAGAUCACGCAGCUCCGCGAGAUUUUCGGCGUGCGGUGGUCCGUGUUCCUUCUCGGCCCCGCGGGGUGCGGUAAAACCGCCGUGUGGCGGACGUUACUUCUCGCGCAAAACAAGUACGGCGAGAAAUCGCGCGCGGUGCCGGUGAACCCCAAGGCGGUGUACCGCAACGAGCUCUACGGAUUCCUCCACCCGUCCACGCGCGAAUGGAAGGAGGGGCUGAUGUCCGUGACGUUCCGCGACAUGUCGAACAACAAGGUGUACAUCAAUCAGUGGAUCGUCCUCGACGGCGACAUCGACGCGGAGUGGAUCGAGUCCAUGAACACGGUGAUGGACGACAACAAGAUGCUCACGCUCGCGUCGAACGAGCGCAUCCCGCUGACGAACUCGAUGCGACUUUUGCUCGAGAUCAACCACAUGGUGCACUGCUCCCCCGCGACGGUGUCUCGCGGCGGCGUGAUUUACUUGAACCAGGACGACAUCGGCUGGCAGCCGAUGGUGGAGUCGUGGAUCCAGUCGCGCGAGGCGGUGGACUACCGCCCGCUUCUCGUCGAGCUGUUCGAUCGCUACCUGGAGAAGUCUCUGGAGCACUGCCGGAGAAACUUCCGGACGAUCGUGCCGCUCGUGCCGAUGAACAUCGCGGGCACGGUGUGCAAGAUUCUCGAGGGAAUCAUCCCGUCUGAGAACGUCCGCGGGCAGAAGCCGGACAAGAAGCUCCUCGAGGCGCAGUUCGUCUUCGCGUGCGUGUGGGCCCUCGGCGGCGCGAUGCUCGUGGACAAGGUGGUGGACUUCCGCCUGCAGUUCCACAAGUGGUGGAUCAGCGAGUGGAAGGAGGUGCUGUACCCCGAGGGCGGCUUGGUGUUCGAUUACUACGUUAACGACGAAGCGCAGAUGACGCCGUGGACGGAUAAGGUUGAGGGCUACGGCUACAACCCGUCCGAGGCGUUCGCGAACAUCUUCGUGCCGAGCGUGGACAGCACGCGCCUGUCGUAUUUCCUGAACAGCUUCAUCAAGAACAAGCACUACUGCAUGUUCGUCGGAAACGCGGGCACGGGAAAAACCGCGCUCAUGCGCGAAAACUUGAAGAACCUCGACGCCGAGGCGUGGACCUUCUCCACGGUGAACAUGAACAACUUCAUGGACGCGCCCGCGCUGCAGGUCAUCUUGGAGCAACCGCUCGAGAAGAAGUCCGGCGUGCGCUUCGGCCCGCCCGGCGCGCGUCGCCUCGUGUACUUUUUCGACGACAUCAACAUGCCCUUCGUGGACAAGUACGACACGCAGACGCCCAUCGAGCUCGCGCGUCAAAACAUCGACUACCGCGGCUGGUACGACAAGAACAAGAUCGUCCUCAAGGAGGUGCUCAACUGCCAGUACAUGGCGGCGAUGAACCCCACCGCGGGGUCGUUCAACAUCACGCCGCGCAUGCAGCGUCACUUCGUGACCUUCGCGGUGCAGAUGCCGUCGAAGGACGCGGUGCGAUCGAUGUUUUCGCAAAUCAUCGACGGCCACCUGAUGGAGUUUGACAACGACAUCCAGAAAAAGGCGGCGGCGCUCGCGGACGCGUCGAUCGAGAUUCACUCGCUCGUCGCGAACACGUUUUUGCCCUCCGCGGUGAAGUUUCACUACCAGUGGAACCUGCGCGAGCUGUCGAACAUCUGCCAGGGCAUCUGCCGCGCGAUUCCGGAGUUUUACACCAACCCCGUGACCAUGGCGCGCCUGUGGAUCCACGAGUGCGAGCGCAUAUUCUCCGACCGCAUGGUGGCGCAGGCGGACAUCACCAAGUUUGACGAGAUGCGCGUCCUCGUGACGAAGAAGUACUUCAGCGACCUCGAGAUGGAACAAGUCGAGGCGCGCCCGGUGUCCUACAACGCGUUUCAGCAGUUUGACAACAACGACGAGGGCGCGUACUGCGCGUGCGCGUCGUACGAAAAGCUGAACAAGACGCUCGUGGAAAAGCUCGCGGAGCACAACGAGUCCAACCCGGUGAUGGACCUCGUGCUCUUCAACCAAGCCAUGGACCACGUGACGAGAAUCACGCGCAUCUUGAACCUCCCGAGAGGGAACGCGAUGCUCGUCGGCGUCGGCGGCAGCGGGAAGCAAUCGCUCGCGAAGCUCGCGACGUUCAUCUGCCAGUACGACGUGUUCCAAAUCUCCGUGACGUCUUCGUACGGCAUCGUCGACUUCAAGACGGAUCUCCUCGGGUUGUACACGAAGGCGGGCGUCAAGGGGACGCCGGUUACGUUUUUGAUGACGGAUUCGCAGAUCGUGAACGAGCGCUUCUUGGUGUACAUCAACGACCUCCUCUCGAGCGGGUUCAUUCCCGACCUCAUGACCCCGGAGGACAAGGAGAACAUGUGCAACGCGGUACGGAACGAGGUGAAAGCCGCGGGGAUCGUGGACACGAAUGAAAACUUGUGGGACUUUUUCAUCGACAAGGUUCGCAAGUACCUGCACGUGUGCCUGUGCUUCUCCCCCGUCGGCGACAAAUUCCGCGUGCGCGCGAGAAACUUCCCCGCGCUCAUCAACUGCACCGUCAUCGACUGGUUCCAGCCGUGGCCGCACGAGGCGCUCGUCUCCGUCGCCGGGCGGUUCCUCGCGGACGUCCCGAACAUCGACGAGGCGCUGUUGGAGAACUUGCAGUUCCACUGCGCCUUCACGCACAUGGCGGUCAACGACGCGUCAGGCGCGUACUUCAACGAGGACCGACGCUACAACUACACGACGCCCAAGUCGUACCUGGAGCUCAUCUCGCUGUACAAGUCGAUGCUCGAUCAGAAGCGACUCGACUUAAAACACGCCAAGGAACGUCUGGAGAAUGGGGUGGACAAGAUCGCGCAGGCGUCCGCGCAAGUCGCGGACCUUCAGGCGAACCUGAAGGAGGAGCAGGUCAUCGUCGAGGAAAAAAAGGCCAACACCGACGCGCUCAUCGUCAGCAUCGGCCAAGAGAAGGCGAUCGUCGACGAAGCCGUCGAAGCCGGCAGCGCGGACGAGGCGGAGUGCGCGGCGAUCGCGGAGGAAGUCUCCGCGUUCCAGGCUGAGUGCGAGGAAGAUUUGAAAGCCGCGGAGCCCAUCAUCCAAGCCGCCGAGGCGGCGCUGAAUUCGCUGGAUAAAAAGUCGCUGGGCGAGCUCAAGUCCUUCGGCUCUCCCGCCGCGGAGGUUGUUCAGGUGGCGUCGGCGUGCAUGGUGCUCACCGCCCCGGGCGGGAAGAUCCCGAAAGAUCUCUCGUGGAACGCCGCGAAGAAGUCGAUGGGCUCGGUGGAUAAGUUCCUCAACGACCUCAUCAACUUCGACAAGGACAACACCCCGGAGAAUUGCGUCGAGAAGUGCGAGAAGGAUUACCUCUCCAACCCCAACUUCAACCCGGAGUACAUCGUGAACAAGUCCGGCGCCGCCGCCGGCUUGUGCGCGUGGGUCGUGAACAUCUGCAAGUACUUCCGCAUCUACCAAGUCGUCGCGCCGAAGCGCAAGCUCCUCGCGGAGGCGAACGCGAAGCUCGACGCGGCGAACAAGAAGCUCGCGGGGAUUCGCGCCAAGGUGAAGGAGCUCCAAGACAAGGUGGCGGCGCUGGAAGAUAACCUCAUGAAGGCGACGGAGGAUAAGAACGCCGCCAUCGCGCAGGCGGAGAAGACGCAGAAUAAAGCCAACCUCGCGGACCGCCUCGUGAACGGGCUGUCCGGAGAGAACAAGCGUUGGGGCGCGGCGAUCGAGCAGUUUGGCGUCCAGGAGACGAAGCUCGUCGGCGACGUCCUCGUCGCGUCGUCCUUCGUCUCCUACGCCGGCGCGUUCAACUCCAAGUUUCGUAAAUUUCUCGUCGAAGAAAAGUGGCUGCCGGAUCUCAUCGAACGCGAAAUUCCGAUGACGCAAGGGAUCGUGCCGCUGGACGUCCUCGCGACCGCGGGACAGAUGGCGCAGUGGGGCAUCGAGGGCUUGCCCACGGAUCCGCUGUCGAUCGAAAACGGCGCCAUCAUGAGCUCCGCCGCGCGGUGGUCGCUCAUGAUCGACCCGCAGCUUCAGGGCAUCCGAUGGAUCAAAGAAAAGUGGGGCGAUAAACUUAAGAUCAUCCAGCUGUCCAAGGCGAACUACAUCAACGACGUCGAGCACUGCAUCGAGAACGGGAUCCCGCUGAUGAUUGAAAACUUGCAGGAUGACAUCGACGCGGUGCUGGAUCCGGUGGUGGCGCGUCAGACGACGCGACGCGGGCGCAACGUCGUGAUGAAGCUCGGCGACAAAGAGGUGGACUACGACCCAAACUUCAAGCUGUACCUGCAGACGAAGCUGUCGAACCCGCACUACAAGCCCGAGAUCGCGGCGCAAGCGACGCUGGUGAACUUUUGCGUCACGGAGAAGGGUUUAGAGGACCAGCUCUUGGCGCUCGUCGUGUCCAAAGAACGCGCGGAUUUGCAGCAGCAGUCGUCGGACCUCGUCCGACAGCUCGGCGAGUACACCGUGCAAAUCACGCAGCUCGAAGACAACCUCCUCGUGCGUCUCUCCAACGCGCAGGGCGAUAUCCUGGAGGACAUCGAGCUCAUUGAAAACCUCGAGGAGACGAAGCGCACCGCGACGGAGAUCGCCGAGAAGGUGAUCCAAGCCAAAGAGACGCAAAAGAUCAUCGACGUGACGCGAGACGUCUACCGCCCCGUCGCCGCGCGCGGCGCGUUGCUCUACUUCCUCGUCGACGUCCUCAACGUCCUCGACCGCGUGUACCAGUACUCCAUGGCGAACUUUGUGUACAUAUUGAAGAAGGGCAUGGACGUCUGCCCCGGCGGCGCGGACAACACGCACGUGCCGCCGGAUAAGCGGCUCGCGGAGCCGCUCCCCGUGGAGAAGCGCGUCGAGGCGCUCAUCGAAUCGGUGUCGUCGCAAGUCUUUGGGUACAUCGCGAGCGGUCUCUUCGAGCGGCAUAAGCUCAUCGUCGCCGCGCAGCUCACGAUGAGCGUCCUGAAGAAGCAAGGGAAGCUCCCGGCGCAGCAGUUUGACUGGCUGUUGCGCGGGCCGCGCGUCGCGGGGGUGGAGAAUCCGCUCGAGGAGUGGAUCGCGCAAGGCAACUGGGAGUGCAUCCAGUCGUUGCAAGAGCUCGACGGCUACGGGCAACUGCCUGGGGAUCUUCAAGGGUCUGCGAAGCGCUGGCGCGAGUGGAUGGAGCUCGAGCGACCGGAGGAGGAGCCGAUGCCGGGGGAUUGGAAGAAGAUGGAGGAUUUCGAGAAGCUGCUGUUGUUCCGCGCGCUGCGGCCGGAUCGGAUGUCCAACGCGUUGUCCACCUUUGUCAAAUCCGUCAUCGGACAGAGGUACGUCACGUCGGCGGCGUUCGACCUCGCGGAGUCGUACAAAGAUUCCGCGCCGGGGACGCCAAUCUUCAUCUUCCUCUCCCCGGGCGUCGACGUCGCCGCCGCGGUGGAAGCGCUCGGUCUCAAGCUUGGGUUUUCGUCCGAAAACGGUCGCUACGCCGCCGUUUCGCUCGGACAAGGCCAAGAGCCGAUCGCGAUGAACAACCUGCAAAACUUCCACAAAAACGGCGGCUGGCUGCUGCUCCAAAACAUCCACCUCACGAUCGACUGGACGAACGGCCCGCUGGAGAAGACCGUGGACAAGCUCGCGGAGGGCGCGCACGCCGACUUCCGGCUGUUCCUCUCCGCGGAGCCGCCGCCGAGCCUCGAGCGCGGCAUCGCCAUCUCUCUCCUGCAAAACUCCAUCAAGCUCACGAACGAGCCCCCGGAGGGCAUGAAGCAAAACCUCAUGCGCGCGUACGGCAACUUCAACGAGGAGAUGUUCGAGGCGGCGUCCAAGCAGGGCGAGUUCAAGGCGAUCAUCUUCGCGCUGUGUUACUUCCACGCCGCGAUUCUCGAGAGGAAGAAGUUUGGCGUCGGGAACAUGCCCGACGCCGCGUCGGGCAUCGGCUGGAACAUGAAUUACCCGUUCAACACGGGCGACUUGCUCUGCUGCGGCCAGUGCGUGAACAACUACCUGGAGAACAACACCAAGGUGCCGUGGGACGACCUGAAGUACAUCAUCGGAGAGAUCAUGUACGGCGGGCACGUCGUCGAGGACUGGGACAGGAGGACAGUGGAGAUGUACCUCGAGUCGUACCUCCGAGAGGAACUCCUCGAGGGGAUCGAGUUUUUCCCGAAAUUCACCACGCCGCCGUCCAAUCUGAACCACCGGCAGACGAUGGAGUUCAUCCAAGAGACGUUCCCGACCGAGUCCCCGCUCGCGUUCGGGCUGCACCCGAACGCGGAGAUCGGGUUCAAGCUCCGAGAGGCGGAGCUCCUGUGCUCGUCCAUCUUGUCGCUGCAGCCUCGCGACGGCGGCGGCGAGGAGGGCGCGUCGGUGGAGGACCAAGCCAAGAUGGUGCUCGACGACCUCGUCGAGCGGCUCCCCGAUCAGUUCGACAUGGAAGACAUCCGCUCGCGCACGGACGACAU